CCCAAGCUAACUUGCAAAAAAAUCUCUUAUGGUUUCAAAUCAUACAUUCCAACCCCUUAUUGUUUGAACAAAUUUGAAACAACAAUGAAAAUUGUCAAAACUAAUAGAGGUGGAUGAAAUGGCACAAUUAUCCUAAUAUAUGUGGGCAAAAAAGACCGUAACAACCAUUCUGAUUAAGCAAAUAUAUGGAAAACACCUUAUGGUUGAACGGACCUAUGGAAAAACCCCCUAUGGUCACCUAUUGAUGGCAUCACCAUUCUCCACCUUUCACCCCCACUCUCCUCUUCAUCUAAAUCCCCUCCCCCUUCUUUUUCCUCCUUUCUCUUCCCCUCCCUCUUCCUCCUCCUUUCCCUCUCUUGCACCCACUUUCCCUAUCCUUGCAGCCCUUUUCCCAUACCUUCUCACCUUCUUCUUGUGACUAGAUCUGUUGUAGGAGGAAAGGAAGGGUGUGCAGGGAAGGGGCGAUCUAGUUGCAAUCUCUUCAUCGCACCUUCUUCCCUCUCUCUCUCUCUCUCUCAACCAACCAUGGUCGUUGAAAGGAAAGAUAGUGUAGAGAAGUAACCGUGAGGUGAUAAGAUGGAGUAUGAUACAGGGGAGAGGGAAAGGGAGAUGAGAAAGAAGGAAAGUGAUGAUGGAGGAGAAGGUGGCGAUAGAAGGAGAAGGAGAAGGUGGUGGUGAGAGAUGGAGGUGGUGGUGGAGAAAGAGAUAAUGGUGGUAUUUUAUUUUUAUUUAUUUAUUUUGUGUAUAGGGAUAAGGUGAAUUGUAUUUGAGAGUUUUUAUUUAUUUAUUUGUAUAUAGAAAUAAAAUGAGUUGUAUUUGAAAAUUUUGAUUCAUUUAUUUUGUAUAUAGAAAUAAAGUGAGUUGCAUUUAGGAGUUUUGGAUGGUUUUUGAGAAUUUUAUGAGCUCUAAGGACUAAGGGGUUUAAUAAAUAUAUUAGCUAAAAGUUGAUUUAAAAAAUUAUUUUUCAAGUCAAGCACUUGAAAUACGAGCGCAUUUAUUUCAAACUCGUUAAUUUAAAUGAUUUUUUAAUCAUUUUUUUUAUAUUAGUUCAAACCAUUAAGUACCGGAUUAUAUGAUUGGAAACCACAGGGAACAUUUUCUAUAUGUUUGCUUCACCACGGAAACCUUUUCUGCAUUUUACCCUUUUAUUUAAUUCUAAGGGUAUAAUAGGUAUAUCAAUUAAAACUUUAUUUGUUUUCAGUGCAAAUACUAGCAAAAGAGGUGUGUGUAUCUUAAAUCCGUUAAUUCAAAGGAUUUUCGUCACUUUUUUAGAUUAGUUCAAACCACAAGGUACCGAAAUGUAUAUUUUGAAAAUAUAUGGGCCUUUUUUUGUAGAUUCGCCUAACCACAGGAACUUUUCUUUAUUUUACCCAAAAAUUAAAAAAAAAAAUCGGGUGUAGUUAUUUGUCAACUGCUGAAUAAUUUGCUAGAGAAGGCUGUCUAACGAGGUCGUUUUGUUUAAGAACUUCAACUCAGGGUCUGUGACUUUUGGGCUUUGCUAAUAGCCUAGUAGAAAUUAAUUAUCAUGUUUGAACUUCACUGAAAAUUUUAAAGGAAAGUGAAAUUUUGCUCAAAAUAAGUCAAAGUAUAUUAAAAAUAAAAGAAGAAUCUGGAUAUAUGAUCCCAUUGGAUAUCACAAUCCGCAAAGAAAAAAGUUUUAAAUAUUAUUUUAUUUGAAUCAUAAAUAUAAUUCUCAAUUAUCAUUUUAUCUUACAUACAUCACAUCAUAAAAAGUGUUAUAAUAUUAUAUUAAAGCAAAAAUUUUCAUAUAAUCUAAAACUUGUGUUUAAAAUUUUUCAAAACACGUUGUCAAAACAGUAUAAAACAAACGAUGUUGUUUUGUCCUUUCCAAGCAUUCAAUUCCAGCAAUCCACCGCAUUGAAGAAUUCUUUUCAAAUGAGAAAAAAAUAACGCAAAUUGCAGGCAGUUAGAGUAUUUCUCCUUGACAACGGGUGAAAGAAUAGUGGAAUAGUAAUCUGUAGUGUAUAAUUCCCACCUCCAGCAAGUUAUUAACGAAGUCUCUCUCACCUACUUGCUGACUGACUCAGCUCGACAGUUUGGGAUAAAGAAGAACCUCAAGCAGAAGAUUUGUGAUUCUAAUAUAAUCAAUCUCCAUGCUGCAUAUCCAUUUCUAAACACCUGAGGUUGUAAACCACAAGAAAUUCUUGGCGCAUCCGACAAUGUAUUGUAUGGAUAUGUGCAAUAUUGAGUUGUGGUUGCAAAAGUCAACAAGUGUAAAUUCCUUGUAGACACCUAAUUUGAUUGUCAUACUUGUAGUUUUUUGUGGUCUGACCUCACAAAUAUCAGAAAUGCAACCAGGAGAUGCAACUUCAAAAGAGUUGAACUCAAGAAUCAGAGAAUAGUAGAUAAAGAAGGAAUAUCUACUUUUAUACGCAAAAGCUACUGCAUACAUAAAAGCUAAAGUACUUGAAAACAGACUUCCAAUGUGGACCGUCAUACUUGUGAAUCCGUUUCUUGCAAUACAAUUACAUUGAGUGCUGCUCCAUUUUUGGGAUUCAUAUUUUCUUUGAUAUUCACAUCUGUUAAACUAUCUUAUACUUGUAUUAUACAAUGCAGAAAGUUGAGAAAUUACCACCUAGCAUUGUACAAGUCAACCUAUACUCAAGAUUGAAAAGAAGCCCGAAGUUGCAUUUGCCACUCCAUACAGUCCUCAAAAUCGAAACUGCUUGCACAAUCCAAUAGAGCAGUUUGCUGAUGCUCAUAGCGGCAUAUGUAGUUCAAACCAACCAGUAGCUCACAGAUUGCAGCCUCCGUCUUUGCCUGGUCAGCAAAGUACAAGGUUUGGAGCAACAGCACAUUUGUCUUGGUAACUAUCUGCUGCUGCUCAAAAUUACGUUCGCUUUGCCACCUGAUCAUGUUAUGCGCCAUGGGGGCAAGCCACUUCAGUAUCUCAUCAAGCCUUUCCUUCCAAUCAUGGGCCAGAGGAGCAUCAUAGAUAGCUAAGUCUUUCACAUAAGCUUUCAGUUUACUCUUCAAAGUUUUUCUUAAGCUUGUUGGCAGCAUCUGAUAGAGGUCAUCCCUGGCUUCCUCACCAACCAAAUGUGGAUAACGGAGCAGCUUCUCUAUCACGAUGAUAACAUUUGCAUAAUGCAGGGCUAGCGCAGAGCCUCCAACAGUGCAGUCAGGAGCAUAAACAAACAGCUUACUUUUGGAGCCAAAUUUUGCACCGUUUGCCACAUUACUUUGAAGUUUCCUUGGAUCUCCACUGACGGACCGACUCAAUAAACCUGAGAGUGCAGGAUGCUCCCUCUUCAAACCAUUUGCAACACUGCAACAGCUGGAAAUUUGACUAGAUCGAUCGUAAUUAACUGUAUCAUCAUCGUCAUCAUCUACUUUUGAGGUAGAACUGCUCAAGCUAAGGCAUUCCAUAAACAACCUUCCAGGCCCUAUCCCACAAGUGAAGUUAAAAUCCUCAGGACUAAAUAAGCCAGCUUCACUUCGCUGCAUUCCAGCCUUUGGCCUAUCAUAGUUGACACCUUUAUUCUCCAACACCUUCUUUUCCAUCAGUCCGGAAUGAUGAUUACCAACACUCUUGCUCAAAGUUUGUUUCAUCAAGUCAGUCCCUACCUGAACACCACACUCACCGUUUAUCUGGCCCGAUUUUGCUUCAUAAUCUUGCUUCAUAUGACGCAAACUCCCACUAAAACCAACCUGUGGCCCUGAAACUGCACCAUUCAACGAAUCCCUCCUUAAAAUCGCAUCCCCAAAAACCAAAGCAAUCCUUGCAUAAAUUGUACAAACAGUUCUAGCCAACAACUCUACAACCUUAUCAUAAGUCUGAUUCCAAAGGGACACAUCCUUCAAAUGCCUAACAUCCUGUUUCUGCCAAACUAACUUCUGCUCAAAGGCCUUCCUACUCUCUUCAUGUUGGUUCUGUUGAAACUUCUUAGUGGCAAUUUCCAACUCAUUAAGAACCUCCAUUUCAUGGUAUAAAUUAGCUGUAAAACUGACAUAUCUUUCCAUUUUCCUCACUCUUCCCUCCAUAUCCUUAACCAAAAAUCCCAAUUCCUUUACAUCAAUCACCCCAGACAUAAUAUCCCCAUAAACAUGCUCAAAACCCUGCAGAGCAGGUAUUGUACAUUUCUUUCCCAACCUAGAUACAACACUAGCAACCCUUUGCAAAUCAUCAAGUUUUUCAACAAGGGCUAAUUCUAAAAGCCUUGUUUCAUCAUCAGAAACUAGUUUCUUUAUCCCUUCAGAAUUCAAGAUCUCAUUUUUAAGCUUAAAAAUUUCACUAUCAGCUAAAGAUUUAUGAAGAUAAAUAAUCUUAGACAUCACAUUAGCAACUUCGAAUGAAAGAAUCCCAAUAAUUUUCUUCUCUUGCUGGCCUUGUUUUUUAUUACCAGAAGAUGAUUUUUUGGGAUUUUCCAGAGCUAAAGAAUUCUUGAAACUGCCACUUACCUGAUUUCCCAUCUUUAUUAACCAAGGCUCCGCCACCAUCUCGACCAAUCCUUCUUCUGGAUAAGAUCUACAAGCUCAAGUUUUUGUCUUUUAGAUCUGACCAGCAGCCCUCAACAUUCAGAUGCUUCAAAAUGUCCAAAAACAACAAAUUCAUGGACACACCUUUACUUGGGGCUUGAAAAAAAUGCAACACAGAGAAAAAAAAAAGUUGGGAUUUUGUUGGGGUAUAAGGAAGAAAACAAACUUGUAUUCAAGAAUGCUGAAAAGGGCCAAUGAUUUUGUGCUUAGAAAAGUGAGGACAAUGCUCAUAAGGAAGCAAUAGGCAUGGCUUCAGUAGUAGUACAGUGCAUUCUUGCAAGCAUGGUGAAGGUGCAAUUGAUUGAUGAAUAGAGAGAAGGAACUGUGGGAGAAAAUGGAGGGAAAAGAAGUAAGAAUUGAUUGGCUUUCAGCAAAGCUUCGGUCUAUAUAUGAUUCUGGGUGUAAAUUUCAUGGAUAUGUCAUGAUGUUUUCGAAAAGGCAAUUGGAAGUGUUUGAAGGAGGCCAAAGCGUUGUUUUAUGGGGUACCCAUACAUCACGUCUGCACCUUUCGUUUUUGUUUUUGAGUUUGUCUUUCUGAUUUUCCUUUACUGUGAUUUUUUUCUGUUUUUGAGUGUUGGCUCAAAUCAAAUCUCUUUAAUUAAAGGGCGAUUAGUGUUCCUUGCGAAAUUCUCCUUUCAAAGUUUUUUCUUUAAAGGAUCUCCCUUCAAAGUUUCACCACAUUUGUGAGGGUCAAACUUCUCGCGUUCAAAGUUUUACCACAUUUGUGAGGGUCAAAAUUCUAGUGGUCAACACUUUAACCAGGAUAAAAAAUUUUGAACCAGGACGCUGUUCGGGCAUGCAUUAAUGAACACAUGGUGAACUUUAAAUAGGGGACUUGAUAGGUUGGCCUAUACCAUGUUGUUUGGAAGUGACCAAGAUUUGGAUUUAGUGAAGUGUUCAUUGUAUUUUGACAAAAAAAAAAAAAAGAAGUGCUCAUUGUAAAAAUAGUGAGAAAAUCAGGAUUUGAGGACUUAUAUCUCUAGGUGUUGGAGGUUAGUUAUAUAUCAAAUUUCAACCCAUAACUGACAAUAAUUGUUCGAUAUUUUUCACUUGUCAAACAAAAACAGACUUAAUUGAUAUUUGUGUAUAUUUAAUUACGUAACUUCUGUCAUUAGUACAAAUUUUAAUGAAAUUAUGAUAUUUAUAAAAAUAAAAAAUAAAAAUAGACUUUUUGAUAAACCCUUGUUUGGUUGGUUCUUUCUCAAUUUGUAGUUUAUAUGUUAAAAAUCAAAUUUGUGUUAAUUGUGAAUUCUUAGCUAUUUAGGGGCCAUGAGUGUGAAUGAAACCUAACAUUCGCUUGGUAUAGACCAUUAUGCAAUGAUGUCUUAAAUGUUCUUGGUGAAUUCUAGGCAGAGAGACAUGUAUGAUGAAAUAUGACGAAUUUAAGGUCAUUCAGAGGCUGGAAAUCUCUAGUAUUUGGUUGGUAAGAGGGUUGAAAAUUCUGAUGUGCUUCUAUUCUUUUGGGGUUGAAAAACAUUCAAUCAGAAGUCCAACAGUUGGAAGAAGGUUGGUUCCAAUUCCAAAGUCAAAUGUGUACACAAUUUUAUCUUCUUCGAGAAGGAUAUUUUUUUUUUUUAGAGGGGGAAUUCCAUCACGCAAUCAACAAGGUUAAAGAGUCCAACGGGUAUCCCACGGCCAUGCGUAGUUGGAUUGGAGUUGCUAAGAAGUUGAUGAAUACAUCCCCCUUUUUAUUUCUUGUGAAAUUUCCUAAGAAGAGAACCAAAAGCUGUUCCUAAAGAACGUGGAAAAUGCUAUAUGUUUGAAUGUUGAGGAGGAGUAACGAGACGUGAAAGGAUGAAGAUGGAAGGAAAGACUUUACAUCACUGUCAAGAUUUUAGCUUGAAAAGUAUAGAGUAAUUAUGGAUGUGAUUUUGGUUUUGAUACUCAAAUAUAAUAAGAGGAACCAACAACGAAUAGAUGGUAACAAGACUUUAAGUUAUGGGAUGAUUUUGUCAAAAGGUGACCAAAGUUGGAGUUGGUAACUUUGUUCUAUAUAACAAAGACAAAUCUUUCUUCCAACCAUGCACUCAAGCAAGAGAUCCAAAGACAAAACACAGGAUGACGAAAAGAAACUACCCAUCCACUACACCAAGGGCACCUAAGCCAAUUAUCUUUUACUGUGGAUUCGGAUCAAACAUCAUGAGAAGUGUUUAGAUAGACCCAGAACAUGCAUUUUCGUAUCCAGGCAUGUUGACCAGUAUUUAUCCUACAUGUUUAGAACAAUAAAUUAAGAAAAUGGAAUCUGGAAAGUGAACAAUUUAGAGAAUCAAAUGGAACCAAUCAAUUCAGUCUUGACUAGUAGUUCCUUUUAACGUUUCAUUAAUUGUUGCUGAAGAGCUUGAUUGAUUGGAGUCAGAACAUCUACUCUCUUUGGAUCAUGGGUCAAAGUAAAGUGGAAUGUUGGAGUUGCACUGAUCAAAGAAGGCUAGUAAAUAUAUCGGCUCCGAUCCACUACAGUGGGAAACCUGCUUUGUUUGGAAGAAAAUUUUUCUUCCCUAAACUUCAAAUUAUUGUCGUGUUAAAAAUCAGAAAAUGAUGCUCAAAAAAGUUCUCCAUAAUUUGUUUUUGUAUUUUAAUUAAUUAAAAUGCAUCCCAUUUUCUAUCGGUAACAUCUUAAUUGAAGGACUAACUACCAAUUAAAGAGGGAUAGUGGAGUGGACUAUCUGCUAAGUUUCACUUCACCAUGCAUAUUAAAUGGUAUUGAAUGAAUUUUAAAUCUUUCUUCUUUAAUUAUGAUUCGUAGUGGUAGAGUGAUAUAUUUCCUUUUUUGUUUUAAUCAAUUGUCAACUCCUACUCAACUCAAUCUGUACUAGGAGAGAGCUCAGUUGCGUCAAGGCAAAAUUAGAAGGAGAUGAUCCUACCUCUAAACCAAAGAGAAGCAUUAUUGCACAUUCUUAAAUUUUGCUACAGGUGCAGAGAUUUAAACCGCUGACCUAUAGUCAAGCCUGCACCUUAUUUCAAUUCAAUCUUUCAAGUAGUAUUUCCCUUCACUAAUGCUCGAGUGCAUCUACAUUAAUUUAGUGGACGCCUUAUUGUAGAUUUAUGUCAUUUGUAUAGCUUGUAGCUAUUGCAACUAACUACGAGGGCCUCAAGAGAAAAAAAAAAAAAAAAAAAAAAAGGCUCAAGGUAUGCAAAGAUUAAUAGUUAAAAUAUAAAACAUUUUUUGAUUACUUGGACCGAUUUUAUAUUGAAAAAAAAAAUAGGGCGAACCUAAGUAUGUGAUGUCAGUCAAUGAAUUAUGGCCGUCUUCUACAAAUCAAAAUAGUAGUAACAAACUUACAAGUACUAAGGAAUGAAGAACAUGAUGAUGGUUGAAGCGGUUUCCCUCCAAAUAUGAAUGUACGUUUGCAGUUGGAAUCAUAUCCUGAGUGGAGAAUAUAGGAGAAGGCUGUUGGACUUGCCCCACGAGUUCUUUUUAUGGCUCUAAAAUAUAUACUGCUAAUUUACAAAGCCUUGUCCAUGUCAAUAUCGGCAUGGAAUUGGAGGGACGGUUGCUUUUGUUCUUUUGUGUUUUGAAGUUUUAUGUCUUGCUUUUUGACCAAUUGUACAGCUUAAAGAUUGAUACAAAAAGUCAUCAAUUUGCUAACCACUAUGUACCAACUAGUCAGUAGAUACUAAUUCAUAAUGGUAAGCUUAAAGGAUAUGAAAAUGUGGGCAUAAUUGCUUACUUUGUGGGAUCGGUUUGAUUGAUUUUCAGACUAGCAGACGUCUUUUAAUUAAAAGGUUGGACGUUCCCAUGUCCUUUUUUAUUCUGUUUUCCGUGUUUACAAUAAAAUCCCUCGUGGGGUUUGAUUUUUUUUAGUGAGAGUUUCUUCUCUCUAAAAGAUUCCUCGUAAAAGUUUUCUCUUCUCCUAGAGAUUUUAUAACGAGAGUUUCUUAUCUUUCAAAGAUUUCUAACGAGAGUUUCCUUCUCUUCUAGGGAUUUUUAAUGUGAGUUUUUGUAAUUAGUCUAUUUCUUGUAUUAGAGCUAUUUUUUUUUUUUUCUGAAUUUGGUUGUCGUUAUCAGAUUUGAGAUUUCUUAAAUUUACCUUGUCAGAUUUCACUUUAACAUCUGAAUUUGAAUCAGUUUAUUAGCAAAUAUGGGAAGAAGCAAGCAGUAUAGUUAUAGUUGGAAACAUACAUAAAUGAUCUUGGGACUAUAAGUACUUUUAUCUUUUAAUUUUUUUUGGAGGUUCAAUGUAAUAUUCUACUGAUUUUCCAGAUCUAUAGUGACAAAGUAUUUAUUCUUCAAAUCUGUUUAUAUCUGUGUAUGGUUGAUAUCUGUAUAUAUAUGAUUGAUAUAAUUUCUGCCAUUAGUGCAGAUUUAAUAAAAUGACGAUAUUUUUUUUAUAAAAAAAAAAAAUGUUGGACGCUUAAGUUGGUGUCUAUAGGACUAAUUCGAUGACAAAACAAAUCAGCAUCAUUCACGUUCGUAAUCAUAUAAACCAAAGCUUCUAUUCUUGUCCAUGAAUAUCAAUGCAAAAGGUUCUAGGAAUCCCCAACUUUUCUAAAAGAAAAACUCCCUCCAUGGAGGUAUAAUAACCCAUGCAAAGCUUUUUGCAGCAUUUCAAUUUUGAAUUGCUAGCCGUGAACAACUAAGAAACAUUAAAUCAGAAUAUGUCAUAUAUGUAUACACACAUAUAUAUAUAUAUAUACAUACACCAAGUUGUAAAACAUAUUUAAUUGAUUUCCUCCGUUUAAAAUUAGAGUUGAACCAAAAUUGGAGAAAAGUGAAGUUCCAUCAAAUUUUCUCACUACUAUAUCAUAAUAAAGCGACUUCCAUUCAUAAUUUUGGCAAAUUUGUUGGAAGCUAUUUUGGUUUAUUUGCUCGACUUGGGUAAUCAUCAUGUUGUGCCCAAUGCUUCAGGCUGCAAUAACUAGCUUCUUACUUUCACCAACCCUUGAAAACAGCCUAAAGUCCUAAACUGCUGCUUUUAAGACCUUUUAUGAAGUGGUCUCUCAGCAUAUAUAAAGUUCCUGCCAUCUUUUCUUUUCCUGAAUCAAAAAAGCCAAAAAUCAGUACACAAAACAUUAUGAGACCUGAUGUAUUUAGGUAUUAUCUAGAUGCAAAAUAAAGUAAAAGGGCUUACUGAAAAUGAUGUAAAGCAGAAGAAAACAAGACUAUUUAGCAUUUUGAAGACCACCACUAUAUGGUCGGACCAGUUGGAGAAAAGAGAUUUCAAGUCGGCCAGCACAUGAAUGUAAACUCCAGCAAAAACAUGGCAUGCCAUGGUGUAUAUUUCGGAAAGAAGCCAAUUCAUGCACAUAUUUUAUUAUAUAUAUCAAAAACAUGGCUAGAGCUUUCAAAAAAACCUAUCAGGCAGCUGACCUAAAUCAGAAAAUUGCUUUCACCUACUGUUGGUUGCUGUCUAAACUCUAAUAUGAUGGCCACUACGCCUGUAGCUAUUUCUCUCAGCUACCGGACUGGUAAGCCCUCCAUUACGCAUGCAUGGUCGAGUAAUUAUCAAAAGGAGCUUUCAAAUACAAACUUUUGAUCAGCUUUCUUUUUAUUUUUUAAGCAGGAGGUUUUGAACUCAGGAGUUUCUGCGUACAAUCCCUUCUACUUUACUGCUGAACUCAACCCUCUUCCUUCUUGAUUAUCUUACAAAGUCUACAGCAAAACAACCUCAAUUAUUUAACUGGGGGGGGGGGGGGGGGGGGAGUAGUUGUAAAGCUGUGCCAGGGGACAUAUCUUCUUCAUUGACAUUAUUAAAACCAAACAACAAAUUAAACAAAAAAGUGAUCAAACAAGGGUACCAAAACAAGUAUGAGACUAUUGUGUAAGUUGGCAAGAUCAAAAACUGACACAACUUUUUAUUCUUUUACACGUUUUUUCUAUUCCCUUCUAUCUGAUGCAGCCCAUGUCGUUAAGUUUAUUGUAAACGAAUCUCAUAAUUUUAUCAAGCUGUUAAGGGGUGAUGCAAUUUAGAAUACAAAGAAAAAUAUGAUUUUAUUUGUUUGGACAAGAGAUUAUUUGCAAAAUAUUAUUUAAUUACAUCAUAAACACAUUUUAUAACCACUUUUUUUAUAUUUUCAAUUAUUUUUUAUUUCACAUAUAUCAUAUCAUAAAAAAUAAUACAGCGCUGAUCCAAAAUAUUAUUUCAAAUAAUCUCCUAUCCAAACACACAAUUUUCAGACAAUUAUCCUGUGCUGUCAUUAAUUUGGUGCAGUUGCAACAGAGUCACCUCUGCAAGAGAAGUUAUGAUGAGCCCUAUCAAAGACCCAAACAGCCUGACCCAAAUCUAAAUCCUAAACAUCCCAAACACGCAGUGUGGACCAAAUGUUACUCACAAUUCACCCAAUCGUCAGAGCCCAUCUGAUCAUGGACAUGAUUUGGUUUCGAGGGCUAGGUGCAAAGACACCAUUCGAUAUGUGCUCAUGGACCUCAUAUAGUUCUCAAUUGAAUUUCUAGCUUGCUGUCGAUUGAUUAUUUUAUUUGAUUAUAGAUUCUGAUUUUAAAUAACUAAUUUUGAUAAUAUUUUAGUUUACUUGUGUAUUCAAAUUAAAAAAUUUUUAAUAUCCAAAAAAAAUAAAAUAUUUAAUUAAUCAAAGAAUAACUUUUACUAAUUCUGAUUAUUCUUUAUAAUUAAAUUUUACAAAAAUCUAAAGCAGACGAAUUGCAUCUGUUCAUUUUUUCAGUUUGCCCAAUAUGUUUUUAUUCGUGUAUGGUUAGGAUGGCCAUAAUUGAGAUAUAUAAUCAUAGCAUCAAUGUGUGUGAUCAAUUUGUGAUGUACAACGAGCUCAAUUUCAAUGUUCAAACAAUUGAGAGCUUGCAUGAAUAUGAAUAUGAAUGUGUAGUAGUCCUUGCUUUUUAAUUCUUGUCGUAAUUGGGCCUAAACUAUCCCCUCCAUUAGUGACAUUCUAGGUGGGUAGCCUUUUUAAUUUCCUAAAAGUUUUUUUUUUUUUUGGAUGAAUAAUAUACUUUUGGCUAAAAAUAUAUUAAAUAUGCAAUAAAUUUAAAUAGAUUUGAAAAUCAAUUUACACAAUAGAUCUUAAAAAUCAAUAAAGACAACAUUAAAAUUCCAAAAUAUUUUGCUUUGAGACUAAAAUUUUGAACAUCUUCUUUUGCAAAAUCCUACCUGAAUGUUAAUCAGACUUCAAUCCGAGACCUAUUUAGUCUAAGGAAUAAUACCUCAAUCAACCCAGUUUUAACUUUCUUUCAUGACCUGAAAUGUGAUAAUGCAGCAUUUCCAUCCAUGGCUUUCAUUAGGAAGCAUUUUGUAUACUCUUCAAUGGUAGUCUCCCUGUAGACUGGAGGGUUUUCUUCUGACAAUAGCUCCUUGACAGGUCCAUAUGGUCGCGAAACAUACCCUUCACCGUAUUGUGGCCUGAGGAAACUUGCCACCGAAAUUCUAGGUCCGAUCUUAUUAGCGAGUACUCUAUGACGAACACUUUUGAAUUUAUCAUUUGUCACAAUCUGCAUCAAGAAGGUACCAGUUUUUUUUUUUCAAAAUUUUUGUGUAAUUUCUCCAAAUACUGAGCUAUAUUAUGGAGUAAUUAUGAAAGCAAAACUUGCCUGAAGCAUGUCUCCCAGGUUAAUUACUAAGGCACCGGGCAAAGGAGAGACAUCAACCCAUUCAUCUUUAUGUAAAACUUGAAGGCCGCCAAGUUCAUCUUGAAGGAUUAUGGUCAGAAAAUCAUUAUCUGUAUGAUCAGCAGUACCAAAAGUCAGUUCUGGUUCAGGACAAGGUGGAUAGUAAUGCCCCUUCACCACAAGUCCAUCAGCACAGCCAAUGUUUUCAAGAAGCGUAGCAUCGAGUCCUGCAGCCUCUGAGACCAACCGUAACAGGAUAAGGGCCAAUUCCAUCGCGCAUUUCGAGUAUUCAAUUGAUGCAUCCCUGCAGCAUAAACAAGUAUAGUUAAAGCUUCAAAGAAGUCAAAGAUCUGGGAUACACGUAAUGAAAAGCAUACAUGUUGUAUAUCUAUACAUUUGUCUAUCUCUAGAGCACAUAUUGAUCAAGUGCUAGUAAGAUUCCUCAAGUGUACAAGUUUAAGUAAAUGUUAUGAAUAUUUGUUUGUAGCUUUGAUCUGCAAAUAGAUUGGACUUCAAUAUCUGUAAUGGCCAAGUGAAAUUUAGUACAUAACCCUUGAUUCCUCUUGUCCCAAUGACUAAAAGUUCGUAGCAUCACCUAAAACUUUAGAAGAUCACAAGAGUGUCUAAAAGUAGAGGUGGGAUGUAAGUACAAUUUAAGGAUAAAGGAAAUGGAAUACCUUAAUUAGGUUUGGGAGAAUUGAGAGGUUGAGAACUGUUUGUAAUUUUUACAAUCACACCUCUAACUUGCUACUUUCCUAGUGUUGUGAUAGGUUGAGGUCCUGUUUGAUAACUCAGUUUAACACUUAAAUUUAAUAAAUUUAUAUCUUAACAUAUUCAGACCGUUUGAUAACCAAAAAUUAAACAUCUGAAUUAAUUAAGUGACACUAAAUUUUCUAGAUAAAACUUGCUUCCAAAAUUCAGUGAUAAACCAUUCACUUAUCACUGAAUGUGAUAUGCUCUUAAAUGUAUUAGAUGUAAUAUUUAAUAAUUCAAUAAUUUAAUGAAUUCAGACUUUAGAUUUCAGAUUUCAGUUUAAUCACAGUUUAAUCAGACGCACUCUUAAAAGCACUCUGACUCUCAAAUGUUUUAUAGUACUAAAGAAAACAAACGGAGCAAGAGAUGCAAACCUGCAAACCAAGGGAAUUUCUUCAGGUUCUGGUGGACAAGGAACCAUUUUGAAAGUAAUGGUAUCUUUCCAUACAGCUGCCUUUGAAUAAUACAAAUCAAUGUUGCUGUGAUACACAACUUUUUUGGCCAGAUCCCGGCUAUAGUAUUUCCUUUUUGCCUCAGCUUCUUGUUCGUGAAAGAAGCGCACCCCUUCCAGCAUAUUGCCUAGUGUAACUUCUGGUAUUCCAUGAUUGAUUACCUGAAAGAAUCCCCAGUUUUCAGAUGCAUGGCGUACCUGAUUAACAAUCUCGGAAUGGUUAGUACCUCUCAUGUCAAUCACAGGAACGCGAUAAUCAAGCUUACUGCUACUGCCGGAUUUCACUACAGGAAUGUGGUGCUCAUGGACAAACAUACGAGGAACCUUAGUAACUCCUGCGUCGAAUAGUCCCUUGACGCCGGCUUUGGAAUCAUCAAAGGCUUUCAAUUCCCUUUCGCGAUCAUCACUGGGGAAGGCAUGUGAUUCAACUUCUCUGCCGCCUGCGACAACCAUUUUGUUCCGCUCUUAAGCUGUGGCCUGCAAGAGCUGGUUAAGCUAGAAAAAAUCAAACGCUUGAUUCAGUUUCGAAGAAAUGUGAACAGGGAUGUUGAUUGCUGAACUUCAAAGUUCAAAGAGAGAGAGAGAGAGAGAAGGCUAGGCUUUGAUGAUUCAUCGAUCGAUUAAAUGCACAAAUUGAUCCGUCACUGACAAUUUGAUAACCAUUUGUUUAAACACAGGUCUUGUCGUGCUUGAAUCAUGCACGUGGCCAAGAAAUGGAAGGAGACUGGUCCCUUUUUUCGGGUCAGUCUAAAAGCUACUCAUACCUCUAUUCUAACUUAUUCUAAGAGAUGAUCCAACAGGAUCACGAGAAAUCAACGGAGAUUGAACUAUACCAUCAUCGUACCAUACCGAUGUAUUACGCACUCAUAUGAAUUUAAGAGAAAGCAUAUCAAGUGACAACUUUGAUGGAAGAUAAGAGGUUUGAACCUUGAUCUCCCAUCCCACAAGACAUAUGAAGGCCAACUACUCUAGAGAUAGUUGAUUAGAAAGAGGCUAGUACUCGAAGAUCCAAUGAUACAUAGAGAUAACCAUCUUACGCUACUGAUGAUAGGGCAGAUGUUUUAAGCCCAACUAACGCUAAUUAUACAACGCAAAUAAUCAAAGGAGACAACUGGAGCUUGGAAAGCCAUGUUGCUAAGGUCGAUACAAUUUAUGUUGAUGAUUAUUUCUAAUUUCUAGUUGAUCCAGGACUGAGAGCCUUGAAAUUUUUAGACCAACCCGGGCCUGUUGUUGAGGAGAGACACAUGUUGCAUGAAAUCUUGAACUUUUAAACGACAGAAAAAAAUUUAAAAGAAAAACACUUUUUUUUUUUAAGCAAAAAAUAAUAAAACAAUUUACCCUGGGUUCUUCUCUCUUUUGUACCUCACGAAGGCAUGUUGGUUGGGAAUUGGGAUGAAGGUUUUGAAGGGAUCGAGUAUUGGGUUUGGUUUAUAAGUCCCUGGAAGGACCUCAAGAGUUGCCGGCUUUUGAGGUUUCUUCUGGGAUUAGGUUUAUAAAAACCGAAUUUCUAGACUUCAGUUUAGAAAAGGUCAAGAGUAUUGUAUUCUACAAUACACAGUAUGAUAUAUGUACAAAAAAAAAAAAAAACAAAUGUGAAUAUUACUACAACAAAUGUGGUCAAUAAUCAGAAAUUUUGUCCUAUAUUCAGUUUCAUUAGUCCAAUUUUAAAUUAAACAUGUCGGAAUCAUAGACUACACCAUUUUCUAACAAUUGGAUAAUUACUCAAUCCAGUUGGAAGAAUGGUCACAACAAUUUUUGUACUAUUUUAUUUCGGGUUAAUUCCACUUUGUCCCCCCAAACUUUGGACGAUUAGCCACUUCAGUCCCUAAACUUCAAAAUGGGACACUUAAGUCCCUAAACUUAUAAAUACCUCCCACUUAAGUCCCUAAACUUAUAAAAUGGGACACUUAAAUCCCUAAACCCUUAUAAAAUGGGACACUUCGACCACCAACAGCAUUCAGAAUUUGUUAACAAUUUUCCUCAAGUGGGAGGUAUUUAUAAGUUUAGGGAUUUAAGUGUCCCAUUUUGAAGUUUAGGGACUGAAGUGGGUAAUCGUCCAAAGUUUGGGGGGACAAAGUGGUAUUAACCCAUUUUAUUUCACCUCUAACAUUUUUUUGUUUAAAUCGACAAAGUACCUGCCAUAGUGAUGUCAUGGCUAUACCUAUGAAGCCCAAAUUUGUUGGGGUGAACCGCCAAAUAAUUGUCUUAGGGCUAUGUCUAUGAGGCCGUUCCAACUUCUGGUGGGCCAAAGAAGACGAAUUGCUACAAAAUUUUCUCUUCGAAUAACUUCCAUCUUAUACACGAGCUUUUGUUGAAAACAAAAUUCGUUAGUCUUCAUAUUAUAUGAACAAUACAGUGUAUGACUUUAAGGUAAAACAUUGUAUGGUUCACAAACACCAGAAAAGGCCGAGCAUAUAAAAUGAUUGAAGUAAAUGAACGAUGUGAUGUAAACAGUAGUAUAUGAUUGGCUUAAACAAGAAGUAUGUCAUAUUUUACCUUCUUUUUACUAUCAACCUUCUCUCCACUAUUGUUCUUUCAUAGGAGGGAAUCUUGACUUCAAAUCAAGGUCUUCCUUGCUCUUCAUCUGUUGCUUUUGUUUUACGUUUGAUAAAGUCUCUCUUAGCGCAUUCCAAUGAGCGUUUUUAAUCUCUUAGUAUUUAUUAGUGAGAGUUUUCUUCUUUUUUAGAAUAUCCUAAUGUGAGUAUUGUUUAAUUUUUUGUUAUUUUUACUCAGAUCUAAGAAUUUUUUUUUUAGAUCCAUAUAUUUCUUGAAUCUUUUCAUCAAAUCUCAACAUCAGUUUUAAACUUGAACUAGUUGGAUAGAAGAUUGAGAGAAUAGGCAUGCACAAACUUGGUUAGAUGUGACGGUUCGUAAUUUACAAUGUAAUUUUUUAUAUUUUGUAUCUGUUAAAUCUAAUGAUUUUCUAGAUCAAAUAUAUCUAUGAUAUGUUUUAUGUAUGUUGUCCAUUAGUGCAACUAUCUUUGUCAAGCAAAUCAUACGUGUUGAAGAAUUUUAACCUAGUUUAUUAAUAAUAUCGACUUUUGUUUCAUAAAAAAAAAAGAGGUAUGUCAUUUUUGGUAGAAGGGAUUGUAAAUAGGAGUUCAAGACCUCCCACUUACAAAAAUAAAUAAAUAAGAGAGGUACAUCAUUUUAUUUACUAGUCAUGUAAGGAAAAGAAUAGUUGUAUUAUCUUGAAGUACAAUGUGGAGGAACUUCCAAAUGCUAGAUAAGUGUAUUAUUUUAGAGAUUCAACACCAUUCGUGUCAACUUGAAAAACCAUUAAUCAGAUAGAUAAUUUUAAUUAAUCUGGUUGGGACAACAAAUCUUAAUUAUCCAUUUUUUUGCUUGGGCUUGAAAUUUAGCCUUGUUUGGUAAUCUUAAUGCAGUUUUUUCCUUUUCUUUUUUCCAUUUUAUUCUCGGAGCACAAGAUGGGAAGCAAACAAAAAAGUUUUUUUUUUUUUUUACGUUGUAUAGGCAUUAAAUUUCUGUUGGCAUUAAAACUGCAACAUCCAACUCAAGUUUUGUGUCAAAUUCAUCAUUCAAAGAUUGUUUGACCCGUGAGGCCAUGACCUUCCCAAAUUGCUUUUGUGAGUCAACAACAAUCUUUAACAUUUCUGCAAACUUUCCCAUGAAUACACUCAGUUACCAAACUCAAACCCAGGUAAGGUUGCUUCUGGGAUUAUGCUUAUAUAGAUCAGGUCUAUAUAUAUGGAUUGCAUCUCCAAAAAAAGAAAAAGAAAAAAGGGUUUCAUGUAGAUUUUACGUGUGAGACGAGACACAACAUAUAAAACAGGGUUUACGUAGAUCGUUGUCCAUGUGGACUGUUGCAGAGGCAAAAUACAAUAUUCUUUGCACCAAUGCAUCCAUGAAUUGUACCGUGAUAGAUAUUGGACUAUUUGGGCUACAUAAUCCACAAAAGCAUAUUAUAAAAUUAGAACCAGAAGAUCACGAGUCGUUGUAGCCAGAAAACAGCCAUGUGAAUCCUACCAAACAACUUUAUCUGUUCUGAGAAAGUUUUAAAGAGCCCAGAGUCUCAGUUUUCUGAACUUCCUUUGAAGAUAGUGCAUGACAGAUUACGGCGUUCAACAUUGUUGUGCUAUCAAGAUUUUCUUUACAGGCAAAACACGUUUUGCAUGAGUUGUUCUUACUGGCUUUUUAGCCUUAGACCAUUCAAAACCAGCAAAAGAGGUAAACGUCUGAUAUCAGUGCAAUUGUUACUUGUGUGGAAGGGCGGUGUUGGCAUGCUCUGCCGGUGGAUAAUGGGGCUACUUUUUGUUUGUCUAAUUUAACUCUUUUUUUCUCUUUUGUCUCAAUAAGUAUGGAUCUUUCAUAUUGGAUUUACUCUAAAUUGAUUAUUUUAACUGAUUAUAGAUUUUGAUUUUGGAUAAUCAGUUUUUUGUGAUAUUCUCAAUUGGUUUUGUAUUCUGAUUAUAGAUUUUCUAAUGAUUAAAAAGCUAAAAUCUAUAAUCAGUUAAAGAUCUAGUAGUUUUUGUUAAUUUUGAUUAUGUUAAUAAUUAGUUUCUAUAAUCAGAUUUUGUAAAAUCUAAAACAAUCCCAAAUAAGGCCAUUGUGUUGAACAAUGUAUCGUUCAUUGAUGUUUCACAUUAAUUUGGAUAUAGUUUAUGCAAAAGUAAUUGAAUAUAAUUAAAAUUUCCUACAACAAUGAAUGCAAACUUAAAAUUCUUCUAAAGAGAACGUAAAUUUCAACUGUUGGCCAAAGAAAAAAGAAAUCAAGGGUAACAAUCUUUGUGGAACAGAUAAGGUCAAAUUGUACAACUAUUACUAGGAAUCAUCCCUGCAAAUCUAACAAAACCAUCAUCCCAUGAACCAGAGACAAACCAUAUGAAUCAGCAUUGUGCCCUGUCCCAAAUAAAGGUUACAAGAAACUUCUCACUUCCCACUGAUAAAGUAGGAUCAGUGGCAGAAGAAAAUGGAUGUCGUUUUCUUCUUCUGUUGGUUUCUGUAUCUGUGGAUGUGCAGGACAGUAAUGGUGUAGGAUAAUGUUUUUUUUUUUAUUGUGGUUGGAUAAUUUUGUGGUUUAGUCUCACUCCUGAGCGAGAUUAACCUGCAAACAAAGCUGAUUGUGAUAUGCAGAGGUGAUAGCUAGGUUGCCUUCUUGCGUUUGGAUUGCAAUUUUCCAAAGAAAAAUUGUAACGUGUUUUCCGUAGAUAUAUAUUCCAAACAUCUUUUUACUUCACAUAUAUCAAAUCGUUACAGUAAUUUUUUUACAAAGGAAAUUCAGAUACCAGAAAAAUGUAGAUACCAGAAAAAUGUUUCUUCAAGUGGCGGUACCAGUUUUAACCAUUUCUUCAAGGUUACUAAGACUGCCGUAUAAAAUAUAAGAAAAUUAUAGAGACAGACUCAAUAGAAGGCCUAACAACAUAAAAUUUUCGAUUGAAUUAUUGGAAAUUCACGUCUUAAGGCUUGUAGCAGCGAACGAACAAUUGAAUAUAUGAAUCAGAAUAUAAUUUAAGCUUCAACACAACAGUUUUCCGGAAUCUAUUGACUUGAAUUUAGACCAACUAAAAUUGAAUGUAAGUUUGAGCAGCUCCAGCAAGGCUUUAGUCUCCCUCAUCCUAAUUAAUAGAGAUGGCAAUUAGAGCGGGUGCCUGUAGUAAGAGUGACGGGGCGGGGAAGAUUUUCUUCCACCUGUUCUUAAAUAGAGCGUCACCCAACCCAUCCCUACAUAAAUAAAUAAAAGAUAAAAAAUUAUACAUAAAAUAUAGUAAUGAAUAUUAUUAUUACGCUGGCUUAAUUACACCAGCUCAUAUAAUAUACUCCCUCCGUCCCCCAAUCAUAUAAUCAUGUUUGGGGAGUUCAACUUUUUAAAAAUAGUGAUUUGAUUGUGAUGUUUGUGUUUCUCUUUUCAAUUUUAUCCUUACAAAUUCAAAUUUUAAAUUUAAAUGGUAACAUAUAUAUGAUUAGAAAGAAGGGUUAUAUUGAAAAGAGAGAUUAAAAGGUGAUUUGAUAUUUCUAACGUAACUAACUAAUGUUUUGAGACAUCCAAAAAUAAAAAGUACGACACUUUCAAUGAGACGGAAGAAGUAGCAUAUAUAUACCCCUGCGGGUUUAAUUACACUGGACACUACUAAUGAUUCAACUCAAAACUUUCGGUGCUUGGUUUUGCACAGGUCACUGGGUUUAGCCUUUCUCCUUUGAUGAUACCAAUGCAGGGUGCAAAAUUUUUUCAGUUCGAUUGCAGUUUCUCGAAAAAAGUAGAACUGCAAAAUAUUUCGAGCUUUAUCUGAGUUCAUAUGUUUUUACAUGUGAUUAAGAGAUAAGAUCUGAUAGUUAUAUAUAUAUAUAUAUUAGCUUGGAUUCUCAAGUAAAAAUGUGAGAUGUUCAAAUAAAGGUAAUUUUCAAACCAUGCCUGCAUUUCUUUCCGGAAGCUUUUCGGUUGUGUUUGGAUUGCAUUUUCCAUCAUUUUUCAUGAAAAAAUUACUGUAGCGAUUUGAUAUAUGUGAGGGAAAAAGGUGAUAGGAAAAUGUGAUCACGAAAAACGACAAUAUUUUCCGACGGAAACAAGCAAUCCAAGCAUGACAAAGUGUUUGGAUACCCCAAUUUGGCCAAAUAAUAUUUCGCUUGCAUCAUAGAUACAUUUUCCAACACACCUUUUUAUAUUUCAAACCACCUUUUUAUCUCACAUACAUCACAUCACAAAAAGUGUUACAGUAAUUAUUCCAAAUAAUAUUUCAAAUAAUACACUAUCCAAACAAACUCAAUUAUAUUUUUCGACGGAAACAAGCAAUCCAAGCAUGGCUACUCCUACAUGUCAAUGCGUGUAUUGGUUGCCAUUCCUACAGGUCAAUUUUCAAACCGUCCUGUUGCCAAAUUGCCAUUCCUACUAAUCAGUAGUGUUGCUUCUUUCUUUCUCCUCCUUUUUAUAUGUUAUUUUCUUUCCUGACAAACUACCCUAUUAAGACUUUCGAUUUUGAAAAAUAUAUAGGUUAAAAUAAAUUAAUUAAUCACAACCAAAUGCAAUUCCUGUGUUGAAUUGCAGAAUGGGCGGCCGAACAAAGCAGGAAACAGUAGACCGGCGGCCACCCGACAAACAACUUGCGGUUUGAUGAAAAUGGGAAGGAAAGAAGAGUUCAUUCGGUCAGACAGCAUUCUAGGCCUGUGUAUGGUCUUCACUCCUCUGCAUAUCAUCCUCAUCCCAAUUUUCAGUUUCUUGGGAAAAAUUUGUAUUGAACUUGGUUGGUAAUUAAAGUGUUGGAAUUACUUACUGUAUUUGUUUGCUGCUGUUGUUUUCAUCCCAAACAGUCCUCAAAGUUAGUAUAAACCUGCAUUUGUGUUUUCUCAUCUUCAAGUACCUGAGUGAGUUUUUCCCCUCCCCACAUCACCCACACACGCAAAACACAAUAAUUACACUAAUUGUUGCACAUCAAAGUUCUUCACUAUUGAUGUAAAAAAAAAAAACAACAAUCUUCUGAAACUUCAAUAAUAACCAAAACUAAUCACAAUUUUAGAAGGGGCAACAAAAAUCAGAGACGAUGUAUAAACUAUUAUGUCCAGUUAACACCACAAAAAGUAUGGUUGCAAAAUCACCCCUGCAUUUAUCCCCACUAUAGAAAGUAGUAACUCUUAACUCCGUUAAAUAUUUAUGAACAAAGAAAAGGCUAAACUCCAUCUACUAUGUGUAUUUCUGCUAUCUAUCUACGCCAAAUCCCGCGGUACAAACAAACGGCACUAACGGAGCUGGCUCAUAACAAAACGGAGCUGCCGGAUGCUGCCAUUUCUUGAACGACGUCGCUGCACUAACGCCGGGCUGCAGCUUUUCCUUCUUCUCCGACUCCUCUACGCCACCACCCGAUCUAGAUUUAAUCUCAGCCGUUAGAUUGGUUGACCCGGGCGACGUCGGUGACGUAAUCAACGGCGACAAUAGAGGUAUAGCCACGUUCCAGUCGGUCACUCUAUUAAUCUGAAUUGACGCCGGAGCUCGCCGUUGUAACCGGCUUGGCUGGCUCCCGUUGCCGGAGCUGUUUCUUCCUUGUCUGUUAUUGUCCGCCAUGGCGGAGAGCACGGGCAGUUUGGGAAUUUUGUAUUGCUGAGAGAGAAAUGGGAUGCGUGUGAACGGGAAGGCUGGGGCAAGCGAUGGGGGGCCUUAUAAAGGAGGGGCGUGUGGCGGACACGCUGUUGGUGAGGGCGUGCAGUUGUAACUUAAGUAAGUAGAUUCAAUCAAAGGGAGAAAAAGAGAGAAGGGGAGAAAUUUUCUGCUUGUUGUAAAACGGCUCGGCUUAGCUUGAGCUGAUUUUGAAUUUUACUUCUUAAUAAAGAGUUAUCAACUCCGGAUUUUCUCCAUAGUUAUUAUUCACCCCUUAUUCAUAUGGAAGCAGCUAAGGCAGAAAAGCAAUAGGAUAUUAUUGUCCAUCUAAGGAUAAUGGAGGAAUCUUAAAUAAAAUUAAAAUUCUAACAUGUUAAAUGUCAAAACGGUUCACAAUUAAUUCUAUGGUUGACACAAAAUUACAUUAAAAAAAGUCACUACUGUUUGGUUACAAAAUUUGUAUGUUUUGUGUUUCAAAAUUAAGAUGGUAUCUACACCAUCAAUUUAAAAAAGCAAAAUGAUAGCUGAUUUUUUUAAACAUAGGGAUGUAUUAAUAAACUUGAAACCAAUGAGAUGCUAUUAUUAAAUUUACAAUAAUAUUGAUGAUGCAAAUAUCGUCAAAUUGACAGAUAAUUAGAGAAAAGUGAAUAAUAAUAAAUCCAAAUUCUAUGGAAAGAAUUGCCUAGCUUUUUCUUUUUUUUUUUGUGCCUCAAGUGAAUUUAAUUAUAUAAGUAUGAUGUACCAAGAACAAAUGUUGUGUCCAAUUACUUUUCUUCCUUCGUUCUUGUUACGAGAGUUUCAUUCUGCCAUGUUUGUUGGUUUCCAUUUUAUAAUUACAAAUCAUAGUGAAACUUCAAACUCUUAAAUUCUAACUCCUAAUUUUAUUUAUUUUUUUGAUAGAAACAUAUACAGUUUAUGUUAUUAAGAAAGAUUCACGGCAAGCAAGUGCAGUACAAAAUGAGCAAAAGAUAGAGGGGAAUCUCCGCUCACAAUAAUUAGUGCGUGACUAUCUUUCGUUUGGCUUCUUCAUGCUAAUUUUGUUGUCCAAUUUAUCCUCACCUGUGGCUCAAAUCACAUUUUAUUAUCUUUAUGAUACUAAGAUGUUUGGUCAUUAAUUUUAAACAUUGCAACUAUGGAACUUAGGGUCCUUGGCAAAGCCAAACUAAGCCAAGCUUAGAGCUGGUGAGCAAAGCCAACCAACCCAACUUGUAUCAUAACUACUUUCCAACCGAAAGGCUAAAACGUUGCGUCAAAGACCAAACCAGAUCUCUGCAACUACUGUUGACUGUCCGCUUUUGUUUAAUCUAAUCUUCCACCGCCUCCCGCCGUCAAUUUCAACGGACCACCGCUCACGGAAGAAGAAGCCCAUUUCUCAAUUUACCCACACCCAUCUAUCUCUGACGGUGACGGACAGGUCGCAUCACCUCCUAGCCACUCAACUGAACCCACGUGUCAUCAUAGUCUUCUGUUCUGUUCAUUAGUCCAACGGCCACGAUCGAAUUUACGUGGCCCUUCCUAAUCCCAUAAAAGCAAUUCAAAGGUUCUUUGUCAGAAACGCACGUUGGAUUGAGGCCGUCUUUUUGCCCUUUUUUCCAUUUCUUCCUUUGCUGUCUCUAUUGUCUUCUUCUGACUUUUGUGGCGUCUAAUAGGCCCCCGGAGGACCAAGUAAAUUUAUCCUAUCCUAUGGGCCAUUUGUUUGUUGUCGAGAUUUGCUGGUUUUGAGGCUAGAAUAGUCAUUUGGAUCUAGAAUAUUCUGAUAUUGAACUUUCAUCCCUUUUCUUUUUUAAUUUUAUUUUUUAAUUUCAUUUCAUUUCCUCAAGCAAGCAUAGCAAUUGAACUUUCAUUCUAGAGCCAGUCAAAAAUGAAUACUACUUUUGAACCGCCUUUGACAAGGAAUAUUGUGGUUGGAUGGACUAAGAUGACAUAAACAAAAGGGGGAGAAUCAAAUCAAGAAUGUAUUGCUGCUAAUCUUGGACUUUUUUUAAACAAAAUUUGAGGCCGUGAAAUUGGCUUUUUUCAUGCCAAGAAGAAAAGUCUUCUAGCCCUCUAUUUAAUUCUAGCAUAGCAUAAUUUGAUUUGAUUCCCUUCCAUGAUUAGCAGUAUUCACAAAAUUAAGGUUUAAGACAACUAUUCAACGGAAGAGCAUCUUGAGUUCUUCGAUCCUCGCCGACCGGACUUCCUCGUCGGUGAGGGCUCCGGCGAUCAUUCUUUGUUUCCUAGCUUGGACUUGUUGCAACCGUUCUUCCACCGUCCCCUGCAUACAUUUCAAGCCAUCAGCCAUGUGGCGGUGGUCCUAAGUCAAAUAAUUCAGCAUAGAAAUGGAAAGAAGGAAAAAAAAAUAGGAUCAGUGAGGACAGUAAUUUGACUUUAAGCAAGGUAGUAGAGGAGAUUAUCCUUAUUUUAGUUUGUCAGUUCUUUGUAUGUUCAUUUGGUUUCUGGUAAAAGAAAAAAAAGAGGCCAAUGUCAAGAUUUGAAAAUUCACUAAUGAUUGACCAGUUCAGGCAGGGUUGUUUUCUAUUUGGCCUUAGCCUAAAAUAGUCCAUGAAGAUGGACAUGACUAAAAUGCAGAACGUUGGACAUAUAUGAGCUUCUUUAACCAUGCUCUUAUUCUACACUAGAGUCACAAACUGCCUAAUCUUCCUAUAAUUUACACAAAUCCUGCAAGAAUAGAAACGCCAAUUGGCAUCUAAUUUUUGCUUGAAUAGUCAAAUGCUGUAAUCAGGAUUGGAUUUCUUGAAUCCCAAACCUUUGAUUAGAAUUGUGACCAGAUUUGAGAAAAAAAAAAGGCCAAUCAAUGAUUUAGAUGCUCUUUGAGGAAACAUAUGCAGGAGGAGGCGUUUUACCUUGACUAUAAAUCUUCUAACUCGAACGGUCCUCUUUUGACCAAUGCGGUGGAUACGCAUGAUUGCUUGCUCCUCCACUGCAGGAUUCCACCAUGGAUCCUGUAUUUGAUUGAUAGGUUCAGAUGCCAUUCAAGAACUAUCACACCGCAGAAUUAAAAAAAAAAAAAAAAAAGGAGAGAAACAAGGAAUUUACCAUAAGAAACACAUUAGAAGCUGCAGUUAAAUUGAGGCCUACGCCACCUGCUUUCAGUGACAUCAGUAACACCUGAAGAACAUUGAAACAAAUUUUAGAUCCAGCAAUGUCUGAUUGAAGGAUCAAGUGCAUUGUGCUCAUCUUGAAUUUGAUGACAGCAAGCAAGAAAUGCUUACCAUCUUCUCUCCAGUUUCACUGAACUCCCUCAAAACGAUUUCUCUCUGCUUCUGAGACAAUCUUCCAUCAAAUCUCAAGAACCCAAUUCUUCUCCUUUUCAAAGGUAUCUCCAACAAGUCUAGAAAUGAGGUCCACUGGCUAAAAACGAUGCUUUUCUCCCCAGAACCUGACUUCCUUAGCCGUUCCAAGCAAUCCAAGAGCUUUGAGACCUUUGAAGACUCCUUCCAGUUCUUCUCAACAUCAACUCUGAACCGAUUCUCAGACGGACAGGUGAUUAUCUCAGUCUUUUUAAACACUUGCCUGCAAAUUGGGCAUGCCCCAGCUGUUGGAGAUCGCCAGCUUGACAGAAGACAUUCUCUGCACAUUCUAUGUGCGCAUGGUGUGAGCACAGGGUCAUCUGCAGACUCCAGGCAUAUGGGGCACUCUGCAUUUUCACCUUUCCGAAUACCUUCAACAACCUCCUCAACAUAUGCUCUAGAAGGGAUCUUCUGAGUUGCAGAAUCAGGAUUUGUGUCAAGGAACCUUCUAGCAAGCUUAUUCAGGUCUGCAAAUUCUUGUGUAUCACUCCGGCUGCCAACGGUAGAAGUUUGAAAUUGUCAGAUAAGACGAACUGCAAGAGGCAAGUUCAUCCUUGAAAGGUAAACGGAUUAAGACACCAUUCUCACCUCAUCACAAGAAAGGGGUGGUUGCAACAUUGCCUUAAUCGAAGUAACAACUCAAGGAUGUUUGCAUAGUUGUGAAGAACUUUGCCUUGUGCUACAAACUGGUCAAAUUGAACCUGUCCAUAUUGCAAAAUUUUAUGAAAAUCCUAUCCAAAGACAAAAAAAACUAUGCAAUGUCUAAAUUAACAAUACUUAGCUUAUUUUUAAACGAUAUUUAGUUAAGAGAACUCGAAUAGUCAACCACAAAUAACUAAUUAGAGGUCCUAAUGUGACAGACAAUCUCCGUUGCUGCAUGAGUAACACUAAGCUCACCUUAGAUCUCCUAAAGAGGGCAUCAUAGAAAUCAUGCUCAGCUUCUGAUUGUUCACACUCUAUAAUUUUGAUAUCCGUCGGGGGCAGAACCAGUAUAGGCCUGAUGAUGGAGGCAUAGAGCAUGAAAUUGUCACAAAUAUAAAAACAGGUCCAGUCUAAGAGAACCAAAAGCAGGUGGCGUAGGGCUCAAUUUACCUUCCUUCUUUGUCUUUUGAAUCCUUUGUUCGCCUCAGCAUUAGUGGCCUCAAAAUAGCCUUGAUCAGUUUCAUCCCUCUAUAAUCACCACUCUCAUAUGGCUUCUGAAUCAGUUUUUGCCACCUAUAAGCAGUAACAAAUUUCAGCAAAUGGGAAGAGCGAGGGAACCGGCUCAUUUGCAUUAUAAUGUUUGAUUAAAAAAAUAAUAAUAAACAACAAAAAAAAAGAUUCGACCAUCUUUAACUCUUUGAACAAUUUUCCUGGGAAAUGUAACGCAAAAACUGAAUAGUAACACUUUGUUUUUCAAUCAUCCCAAGCAUCAGCCAUAAAAUCAUCCAAAAAAAAUUAAGCUCACCAGGCCCAGUUGCACCAUGGUUCAACAUGCAAGAAGCAAAGUAGGCUAUAAAGGUCUUCCAACUUGUUCUGCAAUAAUUGAUAAUGACUUUAAUUGAUACAUGCUAGACAAUAGCUAGUGGUUUAUUACCAAUCAGGAAAACAUUACUAGGGCAUUUGUUCAACUAAUGCCAGAAUUCUUUGCUGCUGCCAUACCUGAAGAGGGGUACCAGUAAGACACCACCUGCAAUAGGAUGACAAUUUGAAGGCAGCCUGGGCACCUAGAGUUUUAGAGGACUUGAUGGUAUGAGCUUCAUCCAAAACCACUCUGUACCAGUCAACCCUGUGGAAAAUGCUAUUCUCCCCAUCCUGUGUUGAACAUAUAAAAUAGUAAUCAUUAACAAUGUUUCAACAGGGGAAAAGAACAAGCACCAUUCUGGUGCCAGUAAAGCAAUUGGAUUUAAGUGGUGGAAACUAAAAAAAUGGAAAUGGCCAGCUUUUCAUUCUUAUAAGCUGCAAGUAAAUGGAUUUCAGUGGUGGAAAGUCACAAGAAACGGAAAUAGCUAGCUUACAUUCUUAUAAGCUGCCGUUAAGACACCGUAUGUGGUCAAGAUCACGUCAGGUUCAGCAAUCACUCUAUGGUCACUGCUCCUAUCCCCACCAUAAAAGACAGAAAUGGAGAUACUAUCUGGCUUUGAGUGUGUUUCAAGUUCAUCCUGUUCAUCGAGUAAAAUUCUUAUUCAGAGAAGAUGACAGCAUAUCCUUGUGCCCAUUCAUAACUAACAUACGAUCAGAAAAUCAGUAAUGCAGUUUUAGAAUGGUGUAGCUAAAUCUAUUCAGAAAUCAGAACGCAUACAAACUCAGAAAACUUCCUUAUUCUGGCUGAAUCAAAUAUAUUAUAGGAACUCACCUUCCACUGGCCAAGCAACGCCAUAGGACAAAUAAUGAGGGUGCCACCUUUCACUUUUCUAAUAACUUUGUGAUCAGAUUCCUUUUUCUUUUUCUUGAUGUACUCUGUAUCACCCUCACUUUUGGCAAUCGAUUCUUGAUCCUCGGGGGUACCUCUGCCUCGCCUUGCAAGAAUCAGAGCAAUAGUCAUCACAGUUUUCCCAAGCCCCAUUGCAUCUGCCAAGAUCUGCAGAACAUUAUACGGCUUAGAAUAUAUAAUAAUUAACGUUGCUACUCAAAAUGAACAAUCAGUAACAGUAGCAAAAGAAACUUGCCCCUCCUCUUGCCAUCUGUGUUGCUGUUGGAAGUUGUGUUGUAGCUUCCCCAGAGAAAAUGUUAACAUAUAUUGCGGAAGCCCUCCUGUAACAAAUGAUCAAAUAGUAGCAUAAUCAAACUCAAUGCAGUUAAUGUCCAUGGAUUUUAUAAGCAGCUGUUCCUUUUUCUUUUGUUCUUAAUAUUUCAAGGACAGAAAAACAUACUCAUCACAUAUACGAUAUGCUCCCCAACAAGGAUGAAGAGUUUUUGCUGCUUCUUCAACAUCUACUCCCUUCUCAGAUUCUGUCAUCCAAAAAAGGGCUUGCUUUUGGUACGGUCUGAGAUCACACAUAAGGGUUUCUGGGGGCUCCAUUUCCUAGAAAAAUCCAGUAGUUAAAAUAGUUAAUGUAACUGCAAAAUCAUCUCCCCUGUAGCAUAAAGUUUAAAGACAAAAAUAAGGACAAGCAUCCCUAUGACUUGUACCUUCAAGUCAUACGUAUCUGCUGCACCAACAAGCUUAUUCAAAGAUGAUUCUGAAAUAGCUUGCUCAUCCUUGUUUUGAUCCGGAAGUUGCGGGCAACCCUUUCUUCGUUUUAAUGCAGGCAACAUUGCCACACUUUCGUCAUAAUCAUCCUGCUAAUUUAUAAAGAUUUAAGAGGUUUUUUAGUCUAGCAACACAUACAAACAAAAUACCUGUCUUGCCAUAAUGCUAAACUUAGAAUCCAAUCGUCAAGUUGGUAAAGUGGUACUAAGUUCAAUUAAAGUUUCAUUUAAGAAGCAGAAUGUGCAAAGAUUUAAUUAAAAUGUGAAUUUUUAUAUCUCUAAAGUGAGAAAAAUGCAUGUCUACUCUAAAAUGAAAGAUCAGAUGAAGCUCGAAACUUUAGUGGAAGAUAUCUAAUCUGAGAACGAGACAAACAAAUAGAAAUGCACUCACUCCUAACUUCAGCGAGCGUUUACGGGAGUCUAGUUCUUCUGGGGUAAAUUCAGCCUGUAACAUAGCAACAAAUUAACAGGGCAAAACAAACUAGCAUAACUAAAAAUUUUAUCAUUCAAUUCACAAUCAACUUAUAUUGUGAGUGGCAAAAUAGGUCAUACCUCCUGAAAUGGCUUCAUUUUCAGCAACUUAAACAAAGUCAACAGAGGAUAUGUCGUGGUGUCAAUAUCUGAUGGAGCAUCAAGCUUCCAAGAAGACUUAUCACCUUCUGUAAAGACUGAAUGAUGAAUGUAAAAACUGCAAAAUAAUAUGAAAAUGGAUGAAAUUUUUACUAUCAAAAGGAAUACUCGUUGCAAACAUCUCAAGAAAUAGGGGAAAAUAAAAACCGAAGUAGUUCUUUUUAUCAGUUUUUUACCUCAAAUACAGCAUAAUCUCUUGCAUCAAGUGAAGAUUUGUAGGGGCGGCUAUACAUCGUCCAAAAACUUUAACUUUUGAAGAAUUUACGAGUGGAGUGAGACAUUUUGACCAUUCCAUUGGAAGGCGGCCAAUCUAAUUAAUUCAUUUGUUCAACACAAAAAAUGUUUAGUAAUUAACAUAUCAUUCGCAAUAUUCCGAUACCAUGAAGCAUUUACACAAAAUCUAAAGUACUGUAAAAAUAAGAGUUUACCUCUCCAUUUCUUUUGGUGGAAAAACGAACAAUGGCUGACUUGAUCCAUGAAGUAUUUCUGUCAGGAAAUGCAAUGUGCACAAUCUCAUUAUUCUCAAGUUUCCUUCCCUUAGUAGUCGAAAGCCCCAUGAUAACAUGCCUCCCAACCAACAACCAGUCAGGCUCUUCUGGAAAAUCCCCAUCUUCAAUCAGAGUUGUGCUCAGCAUUCUAUCCUCAACCUUGUCCUUCUUCGCCACCAAUGACUGCCCAGUAUCAUUACCAUUAGCACUCAUUUGAACCCUCCGGAACUCAUCAUCAGACAUUCGCCAAGUAGACAACGGUUGAACACACAUUAUCUUUUCCACCUCCUUUUUCACCAUCCCUUUAUUCUCAUUUUCCAUCUUAGCCACAUCCAAUCUCACGACAGCCUUAUCAUCAACCACCACAUUUGGCUCCUCUUUCACUCUGCAUAGUUGAGAAGGUUUAUUCUUUUCUUGUUCUUGUAGCCACUCGUCAAAGCUCAAUCUUGAUCUCCCUACCAAUCCAUUCGACAUUUUACCAUCGGAAAUCACUUUCUUUUCAUCCAAAACCUCUUUUUUCUCAAAACCCACAUCAGAUUGAUCAAAAUUCUCCACCUCCUUUUUCACCAUCACUUUAUCAAAACCCGCAGACCCUUUGAUUUCUUCGCUGUUUUCCUGCUUAAUCUGGGUUAAAAUCCUAGCACCAGUGCUUGUAACAGUCCUCUUAACUGUAACUGGUGGCGCUAAAAUCCCAGGGGUGUCAAUGAGGUAAUUGAUGGCUCGGGUGACAUCGUUGUGGCAUUGAGUAAGAGCAUUGGAAAUCUCCUGUUCCGAUUUUUCAAGCCCAAAAAGUGAUUUGAUCAACUUGACUUCCCUCCCUUCCUCUGCUUCAAUUGGUCUUGCUUCCAUAGCUCUGUUUAAAUUUCUUCUUUUGGGGUAACAAAAGAAGAUUGUUUUACAACAAAGAAAACAGAAAGCUGGUGAAAAGCAAAAAGAAAGGAGGAGAAAAAAAAAGAUUGAAUUUUUGGGUUGUGCCCAAGAGAGAUUUGAGGAUCAAGGGUGGAUUUUACAGGGUAAGUAACAGAGAAAAUUGUAAAGAGAGUGAGAAGGUUAUAAGUAUGAAGAGGGAAAUAUUUUGGCGGCAAUGGUUUUGACUUUUGAGGCUUGUUAAACUUGGCGCUUCCGUUUUUCAAUUGCCUCCAGGAAUUUGUUUUCCGUAGGUUGAUUUUGGAAAUUUUGGCGCGAAAUGGUGGGUAAAUAUUUGUGGUAAGUGGUAACAAAGAAUUUUCACCACAGCAAAAGUGUAGCUGGGUUUUCAAUUUUUCAUGCGAAAUCUUGCACGAGGCAUACAUUUUACUAGUACAAAACAUAAGAAGAAAUACACAGGCAUCAGACGGCCCAACUUGAAUCAUUAAUUGUAAUCAGAUAUAGGAGUUGUCUUGAUGUUAUGGAUUGCAUUUUCCAUGAUUUUUCAAUGAAAAAUUACUGUAAUGAUUUGAUGUAUGUGAGGAAAAAAGGUAAUAGGAAAAUGUGAUCACGAAAAACGACGUAAUUUUCCAAUGGAAAACGGCAAUCCAAACAAGGGUACUUUUUUUUUUGUCAAUAUUCACGACAAAAAAAAAAUAUGAUACUUUAGCAUUAACAACAAUCUUGACUUUUGAUCUGACUUGAGUUGCAAGGAGUAAGGAAGAAGAGGUGGGAGGCGCCAAAAAAAAAAAAACAAACAACAACAACAAACUAGUCGUACUUCUUUCUUGACAUUAAAAGGGCAUUAUAGUUAUGUGAGUAAAAAUUGCUCUGAUAGGAAAAUUAAUUAUUUCUCUGACACUAUCGCUAACCUUUGAGAUUACACAAACCUAAGUGCAGAUAUAUUUUUUAACAAUUAAGUCAAAAAGUUGAGAAGCCCAAAAUAUAGAAAAAGGCAAAAGGAACUUUUCAAUCCAGUGUUGUUAGAUCCGAACCAAAUCAGAAGGUUCGAUCGGUAUGACCAUAAACCAACCUUCUCGAGAGAUAGUUCGUAACACAAAAUCGCUUUAAUAAAAAAUCAGUCAAAACCAUUAAAAAUCGAUCAAACCAAUGACUCGAUUCGACUGGUUGAUCCAGUUCUCAAGUUUCUCUUUCUUGUUUUCCCCAAACUAGGCUUGUCAAUCGGGACAUAUGAAUCGAGUUUUCAUAAGUUUAGAUUCAACUCAUUUAAUUUGUAACAUUUUUAAUUUUCGGGUUAAGAAAUGUGAUGAUUAUACUCAGCUCAUAAAAUAUUCGGGUUUUGAGUCUUAUUCCAGUUUAGUCCAAACUCACUUAUUGCUCCUCAAUUUUCUUAAUAUAAUUAUUAUAAUUAUUGAGUUGUAAAACUAAUACAUUCACAUGAUUACAACAUUAAAACUAAAAGUCAACAAGUAAUAGGUUUUAAAAAGUACAUAAACCAAUAAUUUUUCAACAAUAUUAUAUCAAAUUCAUUCAAAAUACAUGAAAAAUAGUAAUAAAACAUGUGGUCAUAAGUCAAUACACCUUCAAAGGUUGGAACUUCUUCAUAGAUUUGUGACUUGAAUCCAAACAUGUUUGUGUUUCUAGACAAAAAAAAAAAAAAAAUCAACCAAUAUUAUGCCAACAUAAAAAUUUAUUCAAUCAAUAAUAAAAGUUAAAAUUUUAGUUAUGCAUUACCAAUAUUGACUUUCAAGAAAGUUAGUAGAAGAGUUUAUAAAUGUAUUUUUGUGUUUUAUAAUUUGUAUAUAUUUAGUAAUAAUAUAUUUGGAUAUAUAAUUAUAUAUAAUAUUAAAAUAUAAAUGUUAUAUAUAUAUAUAUCAUUAUAUAUAGGUAAUUUAAGGACUGGGCUUAUAUCGGGUUUGAGUCUAAUGAGGCCCAAUUUCGACUCAUAUUUAAUUCGGAUCUAAUUUUUAGAAUUAAACUCCGACCGAUUUACUAAAAGGUCAGAUCAUCGAGCUUUUUUCGAGCUGAACGAGCUGACCUCAGGUUGAUCCGACCCCAUUAACAGUCCUACCGCAAACAUAAUUUGAACAAGUUAAUUUGUGACACUUUCAUUUUAAUAGGAAUAAGAAAACACCACCCACUUAGGGUCUGUUUGAUUCAAUGUAAAAUAUUUUCAACGAAAAAUGUCUUCCAUGAAAAAUUUUAUCGGGAAAAAUAAUUACCUUCUCCAUGUUUUUUCCACUGUUUUGGGAGGACUCAUAAUUCAGUAGUUUAACCGGAUCGCUAUUCGGUCCGAGUUUAACAACAUUGGUUCAAUUGGCAUCAGGGAGGACUCAAAUCAAUCAAGCAAGCGCAACAACGUAACGCGCUUUGAUAUUGAGCGCUUAUUGCCUUAUACAAGCCUUUUUGGCCUCAUAAUAGUCUGGAUUUUUUUUUUUAGAAUAGUCAGGAUUUACUUGCUUGACUUUGAAUCAUGGAAAAAAUUGCAAGUAGAAGGUAGGUAGUUGAAGUUCAAGGUGCAAAGCGCCAUUUUCCGAAUACUUGAGGAGUACAAAGUGCAUUUAACCCUUAUUUUUAACGAAUCCACAACAGUUGAAUACUAACAAUUUUUUGAAAAAAAAAGUCACAUGCAAUAAGAGCUGAACUUAAAACUUGUAAAUUCUAGAUUCGGGAUUAUAUAAUUUAUAUUACAGUUGGGAUUCGACAUUUUUGGUCUGCAUGAAAUAUUAUGAACUUAUUCGAUCGAUUGAUAUACGCACUAACUUGGAAAAAUUGAAGGAUUGUUACUAUGAGAAGUGUUCAGGUUAUCUGUUAAAUAAUAGAAUUAAUAGAUAUGAAUAAAUUAUUCAUAAUAUAUUUUUAUUCAAAUGUAUACAUUCACAUUUAUUCUCUCUUCUGAUAUUUAAUUACUAUUAUUUUGAUUUUAGUCAUUUUUUUAGAAUUCGUUUACAAAUGCUGAAUUAUUAUUUGGAUGGAUAAAACCUAUAAUAGGAUUUACAAAAAUAUUAGUACUUGGAAACAAAAUUAUAAAAUACUGCACAUUAAGAACACCACUGAAGAAUUAAUUAAGCAGUGAAUAAAAUAAUCUUAAAGGCGGCCACUGCUAAAAAUAAAAGAAUAAAAAAAAGUCUUGAAGGUGGCUAUAAUUCCACCACUACCGGGCCAUGGAGAAUACGACUAUAUAACGCUCUGAUCUCAUUAUUCUCAAAGCUACCCUGUUUCGCACAUCCCAAAGCAGCAUACAUAUUGGCCCGCCGGUCGGCCGCCGAUCAACUUUUCAGCCGGUGAUAUGUGCACCUUAGAGAAACGCGGCAACAUCUUCUUGUUAACGUUAACAGGUGAUGACGAGCACCGGUUGAACCCGACCCUCAUCGCCUCCAUCAGGUCGGCUUUAGCUGAAGUCAAGUCUCAAGCCACCAAAGGCUCCGUUCUUAUCACAUCGGGUCAGGGCAAGUUCUUCUCCAACGGCUUUCACCUCAGGUAUUUCCAUCAUUAUCAACAAAGUAAGAAGGAAAAAAGAAAAGAAAAGCCAAGUGGAUGAAGUCUUGGAUCGUGGUUAAUUUUAUCAUUUUUUUUUUGCUUUAGCGUGGAUUUAUAUUUGGUGAUAAUUAUCUUCUAGUGAUAUUGUACUAAAUCAGUAGAUCGUGUUAUCAAUCUCUUCUCAUGUUUAGAGAAUGAUUGUUUGAUUUUCCGAAUUUUAAUUUAUUUGUUAAUAUUCGAUAUAGAUUUUUAUUCAUACUACGAAAAUGUCCCAUUUUUCUUUUCCAUAAACUUGAUUGAGACCAAAUUAUGAUGUCUAAAAUUUACUUUUUGCGUUGUCCAUGUCCAAAAAUGUUUUGGCUUUAUACAAGCAAACCAUGUGAUUCGAUUGAAACGCUAGAGUAACAGAUUCACCGUUUCGAUGUGAUUAGACUAGUGAAGUUUAAUGAAGAGGAGGAAUUGAUGGAUACAGUACAAUUUAAAUGUAUGUAUAUAUAUGCACAUCAGGUAUGCUCAAGCUGCUGGUUCAGUUCAAGGUGCUAAGGAUAGGCUUAUGAACAUGGUACAGAUCUUCAAGCCGUUAGUGGCUGAUCUUAUCUCCCUUCCAAUGCCCACAAUAGCUGCCAUCACGGGCCAUGCGGCUGCGGCCGGCUUGAUGCUAGCCUUGAGCCAUGACUAUAUCACAAUGAGAUCAGACAAGGGGGUGUUGUACAUGAGUGAGCUUGAUAUAGGAAUGACUUUGCCAGACUAUUUCAAUGCCAUAUUUAGGUCAAAGAUCGGCUCGCCCUCGGCUCGGCGUGCAUUGCUAUUGAGGGCUUCCAAGGUGAGGGCGGAGGAGGCGGCGGGGAUGGGAAUCAUAGACUCGGUUCACAGUAAUGGAAUGGAGACAUUGGAGGCUGCAGUGCGACUAGGGGAGGAUUUGAGCAAGAAGAAGUGGGAAGGGAAGGUGUAUGCUGAAAUUAGGAAGUCAUUGUAUCCUGAACUUUGUGGCAUUUUGGGAUUGAAAGAUGAAAAGGUUCUGCCUUCACGGCUUUGACGAGCAAAGAAACUACAAUUCGUGUUUUCCUGGUUCACCGGAGAUUCUUAAAGUCUUGCUACUUGUGUCUUUACUUCAACUAAUUACAGGGCUUUGGAUGAGGCUAAGCAUGAAAUUGAAGAAUGAAUUUUCUUGGAAUGACUGUCUUAACCCUUAUGAGAUUCUUUUGUGCAGUUUGGAAAGCAAACACGAGACAGAAGGACCAUUUUGUUCAACAUAAAGAUGUUAUCCGUACUACUUUUUGUUUACUCUGAUUUCAAUAAUGUAAAAUGUGAGGAAUACUGCAUAUGUUAGAACUCAUUAUAGUAGUAUAAUUAUAGAUGAUAUGGUGCUUCUUUUGGCUUGCUUUUGAAGCUAGCAACGCGACCUUCCAAUGUUAUUGAACAUGGAUGCACCUUGCAUGAAAAUUUCUUAAGAAGAACUAGAGCUGAAUUUCGAUUAUGAGCUUGAUGUACUAUCAAGUUACCAACUACCAUGUUGGAAAGAGACCUAGAACUAACACUCAAUGACGUUUCAUGGUCUGCAAGUACACCACAACUUCGGCAGUGUUGCGUAGGUGUUGUCCUGUGUGAUCAUGUUUGGAAUUUGGUCCCCCUUGGAGUGUGGACCAUGUGCUAUCAUGUACAUAGCCAGUUUGUUCUUUGUUACCCAAAAUGUCAAUUUUUGGCACUGCAAAUUUCCCAGGCAAACCACCGAACUUUGGCGUAAUGGCCAUCAAAAAAGGAUUAAAUUCUUCUUUAAAUUGUGGAUCGGGAGUUCGAACCCCAUAUGUAAUGAGAAAAUUCAAAAAAAGUGUCAAAAUAUUCAUUUAAUCGGGUCCGUAAACCUGCUAAUCCCUUAAAUAAGAAGAAAAGGGUAAUAAGAAAAAAAAAGGUAUCAGAGUGUCCUUAAAUAAAAAAAAAGGGUAAUAAGAAAAAAAAGGUAUCAGAGUGUCGGGUUUGUAAAUCUACUAAUUCUUUAAAUAGAAUAAAUUAGAUUAGAUUCUUUAAAUAGAAUAAAUUAAAUUAGAUUAGAUUAUACAAAUGUCUGUUACUGUUAUAAAAAAAAAAAAAUUGAACCAGACAAAUUGGCAAUACGUCACAUUUGGUCCCCCUGAACUGGUCCCCGUACAGGUGAGAACGUCCACUCUUGGUUGGCAAUAUGUUUUCAUGUAAUGUAAAUAAUAACAAAUAAGCUUAAAGACUUGAGAAUGGAGGGUCGGCCCAGCGAACCAACCCUACAGGCUCCACAAAUUAUGUCGGCCAUAUGUCUUGAUAGCCAUACAGCUCUCACCAACGCGGGCAAGAGCGGCAUAUUUAGCCAACCGACCCUUUUAAGAUUUCUCCCCUCGCAGCCCGCUUCAUUUUAUCUCAUGCGCCUCUGAGUAUACAUUUUACAUAUUCCGAUGUGGGACGAGGAGAUUUUCGCUCCAUUAGUUCUACUAAAUUCGAGUUAGACCCCGAUUUUGAUUGUAAUUAAGUUUUUGUUUUUUUAAGCAGGUUAUAAUUUACCACAGAUUAUUUGUGCAAGUGUUUAAUAAGAAUGUAAUGUUCAAUUACUAUUCACGUAAAUUCACACAUAUCAGUUGUAUCAGAUUUAAAUUGUAGUAUAAACUGUACAUUUUUGCUUACUUUUGCUCACUGAUAACUGUUCUUGUCCACCCAAGCCGACAGACAGAAAUUAUUUGCACAGCAAUUCACCAUCAAACCGACAUUUGCUGCCAACUAAACCAUACAUUGUUUUCGCUGUAGAAAGGUUUCUGUUGUUCCUACAAAGUUGUUGGUAUCUUAAUUACAGCUUAUAAUUGGUAACUAAUUUUCACUAUGGAGAGGUGUUCUCUGCCAUUGCCCCGAGUGACCCUCAAACUCUUGAUUGGGACGCAAGUGCCAAAAAGUUUCUCGAAUCAGAGGAUGUUAGCCUGGUGCGAUGUUUAUUCGACUAGGGAUGUUCAGCCGUCCCUUUUACUACUUUCAGCACUUUUACAGCAACCCAUAUGGUCCGAUUCAGUUCCCGUCAGUUCCCCGUGACCUUAUUGAGCCACCCCCUAGUAUAGGUUAGAGUAAAAAUAAGACUAAGUGCAGGUGUAAAUGGUGACAAUAGACCAAAAAACAAAAAGUAGCAAGCUAAACACCGUAGCAUAUCUUUGCUAUCUGAGUAAAUAGAAACUCCAUUUCAUAACAAGUGGUCUACCAUUCUACCAAUCUCUGCCAAUAAGAUUCAGAAAUUCUGAGGAAGAUUUCAGGGAAGGUAAGGAGAAGAUUUAAGAGGGAUAUUACCCAGCUUUACAAAUAAGUCCAAAUUCCAAGCUGUCUACUGCUAAAAAUGGCGCUAGUGUGUUAGGUCAUUAGUAAGGCAAGUGCUGCACGGAGUAGACUGCCUCCAUCUCCUCAGGACAAAGGGUUUCAUGCUUCUGAUGAUAACAACAGCUACGUGCUUUAACCAACCAAAUUUCACUUUGAACGUUUGUUUGACAGCAAAAAUUCCACAAUUUACUCAGUACUUUCACAAGUCUUGGUACUCGCAGCUUCAAGCGUUAGUCUUUCUAGUAAAUCAAAGUCCCAUUUACAGCCUGACGUAAACCUGCAUGCAGGCCAGAAGAGUGAAAAAAAGGGUAGGGCAGAGGUUUCUGAAGAUCACCAUGUUUCACAAUUAUGAUUACCGGAAUGUCUCUUAUAAACACUGUUUUGUACCAAAUGCCUUAAGUAACCAAAAUAAACAAACAAAUAUCCAAUAAUGAAUGUUCCAUACCAUGUCUCAGGAAUUUAUGUAACACAUUGCUUGUGCCUGGAGGAAAUAAGAGUCCUUGUAUUUUCUGCCACUACCAAUGUGAAUCCCACUUCGAAUCCAGUCUUCCCGAUGUAUCCAGGCAUCUCGGCUGAAAUCAAGUACACCAAGUAUCUACAAAGAAGGUGAAUGCCAUGAAAGUGAGAAACUUAAUUUCAUCUCUACCAAUGGAGCUUUUGCAGAUACCAUGUUCUGAAGAUACUUCAAAAUCCAUAAUGAUAUCAGAGAAGUAGAAUUGAUGAUUCAAAUACUUGCAAAACAGUAUCCUGAGUGGCUAAGUUGUGUAUUCUAAACUCCAAUGGACAAAAUUAUCACAAUCUUCGUACUAUUGUUAGAAUAGAUAACAAGAAGAGAGAUCUCCAGGGCAGUUAACCAUAAGAUAGCACCGUAACAGAAACUUACUGCUCCACCCUUCCAUGCAACAAAGGUUGGAUUUGUCCUUGAUUGCAAAACCUAGAUAUGAAAAAAGACAAGCAGAAGUCAACAACAUGAUGAAUCAUUAGGAACUGGAAAACCAGAACGAUAUUAUAGAGCAAAAUAUCAAAGACAAAUUGAGGUCUCGAAGUCAGAAAAGCACAUAAUGCAACGAGAUUAGGUUCCAAAAUAUGCUUCAACAAUUACAUGAAGCAGUGACAUUAGUUAGCAUUACCAAGUUCCACAAUGCUAUGGCAUAGGAAACAAGACCCAACACAAGUACAGGUUACCAUUUAUAAAAAAAAAUUUAUUUAUUAACUAAACCAGAAAAGUAUGAGAUGCACACCUCCACAGUAUCAAUGGCUUCAUUUGGGGGAAUCGCAUGUAACACCCUGCCCAGAAAAAUAUCAAGAUAGUUGGAUAAAAAAAAAUAUGAAGGUUUUCCUGCCAUGUACAUAAAUUAAGAAGAAAGCGUCCACCACAGAAUGAUAACAGUGCCAAAUAACGAAUAUGACUCACAACAAUUUCUUGCUUUCUCAUUUAAAUAUUCAGCUUCUCCUGCUACUGCAUGGCAAUUUAAGUAUAAAUUUCACAAGAAAUGAAAAACUAUGAUUAAAGUAUAUCUAAGUUAACAACUUAGAUAAAUAAUGAUUGUUUUGUUUGAGUGGCUGCUCUAUCCCCAUAAAUCAUAUGUCAGUGCUGGGGCAUAAUGUGAUCCUCUAGGCAUCUACAUCAGCAAAUACUAAAGUAACCGCUUGUUCUUUGUCCACACUACUACAUUUUGCUGUAAGUUAAGGAGCUUCAUCACAAUCAUGUAUCUUAUCAAGACUGAGAGAGGAUUUUGAGAAGGAAAAGUGAUCAGCUGGAACAAUAAAAUAGUCCGAAAAAAUAUGGUCUGCUUUAGAUAACAGAAAAGACGAAUUUCAAUCCAAAACAUGGAUUGCCAAUAAAAUGCUUCAGGACAGGAUUGCAGAUGGUGGCAAGUCCAAUUUGAAGCAUAAAUUGGAGAAUAAAAAUGAUUGCAUUAAUUCUGAGUUUGGAAAGAUGUACAAUUUCAGCUGGGAAUUGCAAUUAACUUCAGUAAAAUUGUUAUAUAUUCUAUUUGCUUCUGGGUAUUGCAUAUUAUCUUUUCCGCAAUUGUGUUAACAGUACAAGCCUGUCUAGGAGCAAUUCCUCUAAGCAACUAUGAGCCUAAUCCAUUUGUUUGUGUGUGUGUGUGUGUGUGAGAGAGAGAGAGAGAGAGAGAUUGAAGCAAACCUCUCCUCCAUGGCAGGAAUGAGCCCAUCAAUCAAAGCCACUCCACCAAUCUGUAUCAUUGAACCAUGUAAAAUUAUAGAUCGACAUAAACAUUUGCGAGAAACAAAUUGAGUAUUUAGACCAAAGCUCAAAACUUGCCAGUUGCAUGCUACAAAACAAUUUCCUCUGCAGGUCUAUACGCCCUGGGGCAAAUAAUGAGGAGAGGUAAGAGAAAAAACACAUAAAGCUUUAACAGAGAAAACUCAAAUACCAAGUCAACCUGUUGAGAGAAUGCUUUUUGUAAUAGCUUCUGCAAGACCAAUAUUGUCCUCUUUCUUUGGCCUUGCCUGAAAAAUUGGGUAGCUCUCCCACAUUGGGAAUGCAGAAGCACCGCUGGGGAAAAAGCCCUCAGUAUGCCAUGUAUCUUCCAACAUAUCAUCAUAAUCCUUGAACCUGGUGAAGCAUAAUACCAUUUUGGGAAGUUAGAUAAUGUGCAAGGAGUUAUUUAGUCAAAAAAAUUAUCAAUGAUUGGAAAGUAUCCUCACCAUGUACGGGGUGGUGGAGGAUAAACAUCUGGAACCAAAAGCAUUGGGUAGAACAAACCCAUUGGUGGAACCUGUUUAAAAACAAUAAGAAGUACUAGUCAAUCUAAACAUGUUUUACUGUUGUGACAGUAAAUGCAAAUAGUUACAAGAAAUAAUUGCUGAGCCAAGCAUUUAAAACUCAACCUUCACUGCAUUAAAUGACCGAAUGCCUAGCUUAAUUGUACUUGCAGAACUUCAAAUUAUUAGUCUACAGGUAAAUGCAUAAAAAGCAAAUUAAACCAACACAGAAGCAUUAACUGGAAAUAACUUUUUGGAAACAAUAAAGGGGAAUUUUGAUCAAGUUAUACAUUACUUACACUUACAACAUUAUCCUCUAGCUUUUACAGCCGUUAUGUUAGCACCAACAUAUUUAUGAUCCCCUAACUCAAUCUAAGAAAGACCUGAAGCCAUUGGCACAUUUAAAGACAUCCCUUGUUGUAUAGAAAAUAUGUCAAAUUCAUCGUAACUGUCAUAUCAAAUAUAGGGUAACUGUGCUUGGUAGAUUUUUUGAAAUAUAGAAGUUAAAGAGGUCUUUAACUUUUGCAUCUUUCUUUAUAUUAUAUUCCCUCUUUUUUUACUUUUUUUUUUGUGGGUUAAUGAGAAUGCAUAUAUACGUUAGAGCCUUUACGAAACCUUUUACACUGUAGUAUGCUUCAGUCUAAUGUAGCAAAUUGAAUAUUGGCAACAUGAACUAUUGUUUAAUAAAGGGAAAGGAAGUUAAAUGAGUUUUGAUUAUCAGAGGCAUACAUUCAAAGCAGUUAGCCUCGUCUUAUGAGACCCAGGUGGCAUGCCAUCUUCAUAAGAAUGAACAACUGCAACAGUUUCAAGUUCUCCUUCCUGAAUGUAUAAAAUAUACUGUGUCAAUGUAUACAUGUCAUAUAAAAGGUCUCGAAUGAAAAUUUCAGUAAAAUCCAAGAAAAGAAAUCCUACAAAUUAUCAAAUAAAAGUUGAUAAACCACCAAUUAGAAAUCAUAAUUGUAACACACUUUCUUAAGGAAAGACAGAUCCAAAUAAGUAAUAUUGGCAGGCCCAAGAUAAAAGUUCAAAAUUUACUCAGCUUAUAAUAUAUUCAGAGAACGCCAACCUUAACUGGUGUAGUGGUGUUACACAUGGUACAUUAACAAAUUACCAAUAUUGCAAGAUGGAACCAGAUAAUUAACCACCCAAACAGCACGGUAGAAGCAGAAGACAAGGAAGGGUCCAUUAACUAUCAUAUUGCAAAAACUAAAGAGAUUUAGCUUCAUUGAAUAUCAGCAAAGGCAUAGUUAUAUCAACAUUGAGAUUAUGUGAAUGUAAAUUAACAAUUACACCUCUACUCACACUGAGGAAAAGAAUACUUCGCUGCUGGAUAAAACAGAUAAGCUGAACAUGACAUAAAUACAGCAUGCGAUAGGGAAACAGCCAAAGCACUAUAGAAAAGAGAAGUUGACAAAACUAAAAAGUCGAAUGGGUUAUAUCUGGUGACAAGGUUGAGUUCAACUACAAAGUUCAGUAAACAUUGACUAAAGUAAAAGAGACUCUCUAAUAUUUAGGACCAUAUUGACUAGAAAAAUUUAACUUUUAAUAAAAGAAAUUAGAUGACUCACUCUAAUCGAGCAAUGCGACUCUCUAAGCCUGUUCAACAUCAACAAAUCUACAGGCUUUGUCAGGGCAUCUGUACGAACUGGUGGCCAUGUUUGAUGAUGCCUUUGUGUCCAAAGCAAGCAUCUUGAUAUAUCCUGAAGUUGUUUCUUACCAAGUCAAAACGUGACCUUUGAAAAGAAAGUGAAAUGUUUGAAAGCAAACAAAGAAUUGGAAAGGUCAACCUUAAAAAGAAAACAAAUGCCUGUUAGUUCACACAUCAGAGAGCAUUUCAUUGCUCCUUCAGAUUCCUAUGUUACGCUAAAAAUGGUAAGGCAUAGCAUUCAACAAAAACAUUGAACAAGUUUAGACAUAGCAUUUCAUUGCUCUUUUGCUUCAAAAGUUUUACUGUCCUUAACACACCAAUUAAUCACAAGCAGAAGCAUAAUUUUUACUAACUGGAGAAAAAUCUAUGGUAAAUAGAUGUCACAUGGACUUCCUCACAGUGAUAAGAGCUGCAUAAGAAGAUAGUAAUCAAGUUGAAGAAAGGAAGCCAUAAUCCUUACCUCUCCACCAUAUCUCAAUGUCAUCUGUGUUGUAGGUAGGACUGCUCCAUCCUAAAGAUGAACAAAACUUUAAGUGUCAUGGAGAUUAUCUACAAAUGCAAUGCCAAUUUUCUCAAGCAAGAUAAAUACUUUGUCAAUCCCUUCUGUUACAUCAUGGCAAAAGGAAGCUUAAUCUCAGGAAGCUACAGAUGAAAACCUAAACUGAGUGUUUGUCAAAUGGCACUCAAAGCACCAGAAUAAUGUGUGCCAGAGGACUGGAGAAGAUUGUGGCAAGUGAUGCAUUGUGCUGGUGAAGAAAUUCAAAGAAUUAGAAACUUCGGUACCAGAAUUUACACUGAAAGUAGAGAAGUUGACAAAGGAAUGCUGGUGGAAAUUAAGUUGUUAAUCCUGUUAAGAUGGUAGUAUUUAGCAAUUUUUCCAGCAGAGCAGUAAUUUUUGAGGCAGUAUAAGCAGUGGAGCCACCACAGGCAGUCAGUAACUUGGUAAUCAUGAUUCUUUCUUUAACAUGAUUCACAUGAAGAUCCAGAUUCAAUUCCUCUAGAAUGAUAUUUGUUUGAAAGUCUUUUUUCCUUCCAUUGACCAAUUAUUGGAGUCUUCCAACUUACACCCCAGAUACACUUCAAGAAAUCAUUUUGCAUUAUGAGGUAAAACAGCUUAAUAAAAACAUUAACUGAAAGAACCGAAUUUCAGAAAUAUAUAGAAUAUACCUCAACACAUAUUACCGAUGUCACCUGGGCACCCAGAUUUAUGAUGCACGCUGUUGACAUACCAUUUCCAAAAGCUGCAGCAAGACCUUCCUGAAUCAAUUUGAUAUAAGCCAUCUCUGACAAGGAGAGACUCAAUGCAUAUGGUACAGGACAAAAUGAAAAUGUAACAUCACAUUAAGGUUAAAUUGAUGCUAGCACUUAAAUUUAACCUAGAGAUAGUUCAAAAUUAUAAGACGGAAGAGAACCACCUGGUGAACUACCGCUGAGCUGAAGUGCAGAUCUCUUAAGACAAUAGACAGCAUCUCCUUUACUUCUGCACAUCCAAAAAAUCCAAACGGUCAAGCUGGUCACAAUAAAAAACCAGUACGUUAAGUUUCCCAUUUACAUUUUCAUAAACCCAAAGAAACACCUGGUUUACUUAUAUCUUUAAAUUGACGGAUAAAAUAGAGUUAGCACACAGAAAGCAAAAGGAAAGAAACCUAGAUUUCCUAAAGUUAAAGGCCAUAUGUUGGGCUUAUAUACAAAUAUAGUAUUGUCUUCCAAACAAAAGCUUACUUUUCUAUUAAUAAAUGGAAAAGGCUCCGUUUUAGUAUAAAUCCAUUCCUAAAAUUCUCAAGUACAUCAAAUUUUUUCAGUUAUAAUGUGUCAUUUCUCAUCAAUCUCUUGAAUUUAUCAUUAGUAUAUUGUGAUCCUUUCCAGGAAAUGCAAUCCAUGUUUGAUAGUUGGAACUAUCUUUUAGCUUGUAAGAUCACAUUCAGAUACUCAACAAAUUAGACAUGAUUAACGGCCUUCUUAAUUCCUCCUGCAGGAAAGUCAACUUCAUAAUGCCAACUACUGGACAAGUCAGGCUUGUAUAUUUUGACCAAAAGUUAUAUUUUGGCUAUUGACUCGAGAAAUUGACUUGACUACCAAACUCCAAGACAAUAUCAAGAAAAAGUAUUUGCCAACAAGGAUAAGCAAGCAUGUGAAUGAUUCUAACAGAUGAAAUAAAAAUACCCUAGAGUACACUGUCCAAUUUACACAUCAAGGCUCUAAAUGCUUAGAUUUUUGAAAAAUACAUGUCAUUCACUGGGAUAGAUAAAAAACAUUCAUCAUUACAGUAUUGUCCAAAAAUCCUAUUAACACUGAAAAAAACUUUAAACUUCAAUGCAUAGCUAGGCUUCUGUAGUACUGGAAUUUAACUCAGGAAACUGGUCACGGUAAAGAACUGUAAUAUCUACCACAACAGAACUUGGGGCGUGGCUACUUGGUUUUAAACAAUUGGUAACUUUAUGUAUAAUCUACAAUGUACAGAUGAGUAUGUGCUAUAAAUACAUCUUAGCUCAAUGCAACUGUAGUACAGCUCUAAAAGUUGUAAUGGACUUAGUUUACUCAAUUUGAACAUCAGCUAUUUAAGAAAAAAAUAAUUCUGUGGCUCAUGAUCCAAUUAUAACCUUUCUUAAACACCAACCAGUAAAAUAAAAUUACUAAGUUUCAACGUUGACAGAUUAGGCAAACAAGAAACAAUAAUUAGUCACUUGACUAAAAUCCGGCAUCUGGAACAAAAAACAGGAGCUCAUAGUUACCACGAUUGUCAAAUGUCUCAGGAAGAACAAGAAUAGCAGAGAACAUAGUCCUUUCACUCAAGGGGAUAUGAAGUUUCUCAGUCAAAAUCCAAUCCCAAAUUACAUGCAAGUCUUCUAAUACCUGCAAGAUGAGCAGAGAGAAGUCAAAAAUAGAGAAGCAGAAUACAGACCCUGGCUUAUAAAAAAAAAAACUCUUAUUUUACUUAAAUAUAAAAUGCAUUAUGAUUCAAUAAACUUAUGCUACAAAUGACGAUUUCAGAUUACAGCAAGAGCCCCAAAAAAAAUUUUCUUUUCAACAACUUCGUACGUAAUUAAGAUUGUACCUGCUGCAUAGGAUAAUAUUGAGAGAUGUUAAGAUGACCCCUGCGGAUAGGACGCCGUAAGCAAUAUGGUUCAGUUGGAGAUAUUCUCAGAGCUUCCUCACCAAAAAUGCACUCCCUAUAUCUUGGUUCACUUGAAUUGUUCUCUCUAUAAUCGUGACCUUCCUUCUCAACAGAGGACUCAUCAUUUUGGUCAUUUCUCAGUGGGUCUUCUGUUACAUCAAAAUAGAAUUCUGCAACUUGAAUGUUGAUGUAACAUUUUAACCGAAUUUUCAUUAAUUUUAUGCAACUGAAAAUCAUAAUAAGAAACGAAGUCCAAUAUGAAUAGCUUAUAAAGGGUGCUCCGAUGGGCGGUACUCGAAUUAUAGGAGAAGAAAGACCACACAUCAUUGAAAUCCAAAUCUUUCAAAUAAGUUGGCUUACGCUGGACUAAAGCAGAGUAAAAAGGUCUAAACCUCCUACAAUACCACAGUUGGGUUACGUUCGAUUGACCAGAUUCAUUUCUGACUCUCGGAAGUAAGUGGCAUGACAUACAACUAAUUUGUAAAACUCUUUGAAACCAACCAAAAAGAAAGUCCUGGAUCAUGACCAUGGACAAGUAAAAAGAACUUGAUAUGGCUGUGAGUUGACAUCCCAAGCCCUAACAUGUAUCUAGUGAUACUUCGAUCAGAAAAGACAUGAGAUUCAAUGUCACAAGCUCAUAUAUUCAAGAUGAGGAUAGGAUUACAAAUUUUGAUUGCUUCCAACACUAGCAACAUACCAGAUGCAGACGAUGGAAUUGUCUUCUCAUAUACAUCAGUCCAACUGAAGGCUGUCUCUUUCUUGUUAGUUUGAGGAGGGUAUACAUCGAUACGACCCAUCUGCAUAGCAGUCAAUUUUACCGAAACAAAACAUAGAAAACUCGAUAAAUGUGCAUUCAACCAUGCCAGCUAGAAUAAUAAAGCUAAGAUCAUCUACUUCUGCAAUAUAUUACAGAUUUGGUUUAGCUCCUACAAUUAAAAAAAGAAGAAGACGAAAGCAGCAAGAGACCAAUUCUACCUUUCUGGGGAAUGCAUUGUUUGUAACCUCUUCAUCCAAGAAUGGAAUUUUCAACAGGGAUGCAAUCUGGCAAAAAAAAGAACCAUUUUUCAUUUUAAAAAUCAAACUAAAAUCCAUACUUGAGAAAAGCUUCAACUCCUCUAAACUCACAAUAUCAUAUGCUUUCUCACGUUCCAUGUGUUGCGCUGUGGUAACCUGAGAAUUAAGUCCCUGAAACACAUAAAAUCACAAGGGCCCCCAUUAAAAGAAGGGGGUGGAGAAGGAAAAGAGACGAACAGUUUCAUCAGCAAAGGAAAAUUUUCUCCAAGCACAUAAAGAAUAAGUUAAAAUUAACCAAAGAAUGAAAAGUAAACCUGGUCUAGAACAUUUUUCUUAGGGAAUUGAUUGGCACCAGUGGUUCUUCUAGCAAUACAAUGAGGGACGUUCAACGGGGCGUCUUGUCGAGCUAAUCCUAUUCUUAUAUUUGCAGAACCUAAACAAUUCAAGAAUCCCACUUCACAGAUUAAUCAAAUUUCACCAAUCACCAAGAAAAAAGUAAGAAUACAACUAAAACUUUAUAUGCUGAAAAUUGGCAUACACAAUUGUUGGCUAAAAGAUUAGUAGUAAGGUGGGAGUUGAGAGGGACCUGGAUUGAUGACAACAAGAUUGGAGCCACGUUCAGCAAGAAAUUGAGAAGGAACUAUUGUUUUCAGAUAAUCCUGCAAAAUUAACAAACACAAUAAAAUAAAAAAGUUCACAACUUUAAACUAUUUUCGUUCGAGAUAAUUACUGUGCGAGUGUGUGUGAAACAGAGUGAUAGAGAAAGUGACAGCAAGUGUCUACCAUUGGGAAGCAACGAGUUGGGAGGGCUCAGAGCAGUCAGCAGAGAGAGCCGAAUAAUACUCCUAGAAAAGAAAAAGUUUUUCCUUCGUGGGUUGGCUUUGUUGUGGUCUUUUAAGCUUUGGAACUUCGACCUUGGAACUGAAGUCUUCAAAUUAAAAUCAGAAAAGGAGGACAAUCAACGGCAAGAAAACCUACGCACAUUAUGGGCGCAAAAGGUACAUAAAUAAACAAAGAAAUGAAUAAUGUAACAUGUAAUUUCAUCAACUUAAAAAUGAAUUGCAUUUUGUCAUCAAAACUUCAGACGAAACUUCUUUGGUAGAUGGGAAUUGACUUGUCGUCUUAAAUUCUACUAGGCUAACAGGUUGUGUAUGAUUUUUCAUUUUCUUUUUGUUGCAUUAACAAUUUUAAUAUCUAUCUAUACUAUAUAUAAAGGUUGACAAAGGGAUUUGAAGUUAACAUUGAAAUUAACAUUUAUCGUCACUUUAUGAACUUUCUAGUUUACCCUUAAAAAAACUAUUUUUAUUUUAACUACUAAUAACCAUCCAUAACUAUUUUUACUUUUAACAAUUUAAGUAUAUGUUUUUUCAACAUAACUAUCCCUAAAUAUUGUAACUACAAAUAUAAAAUUAUUUUAUGAAAAACAUUUAAAAGAUUAAAGUUUGUUUCAGUAAUAAAAAUUUUAUUUAAAAUAUAUAGCCAUAGAUAUUAUGUUUUUUUUUUAUUAUUAUUGCACACACAUUGGGUGUGCAUUGAGCACUAGUAUUAACCGUAGAUUAGAAAGUUUUUCUAAAUGAAUAUCUUUUUUCUUUCUUAACGAGAAAGGUCAAAUGGUUGAUUUUAUAACUUAUAAACUUGUGUCAGAAAAUGGCUAAAUUUGGUUUUACCCAACUGUAGGGAAGGGUGAAGAUAAUUUAUGAUAAAGCCUACAUUUACAGUAGUAGUAUUUUGCAUCUGAUGACAAAGGACUCUAAAUUGAUGGUUCGUCGUCUGUUUUUGUAGCUGAGUCAAUCAUCAACCAGAAAAAAAGGGACGAGUUUACCAAGCUUAUCAUCGAAUAAUAAAAUGUACUAUCGAAUAGGAGCAAGAAUUUCAUCACAAAAAUGCAUUUCUUACUAAUACAGGAAAAACAUCAAAUGUUGUAAUCCAUGACCUUCUGAACUUUGCUCUAAUAUCUCUCACCCGCUAAGGGUGGUUGGUCUCAGCAAUGCGUCUAGUUUAAAGAGUGUAUUCAAAAAAAAAAAAAGGAGGAGAUGGCCAACUACAGUGGAAGAUCAAAGAAAAUUCUCAAGAACCCCCAAAAGCCAAAAAAAAAAAUCCAUUGUAAAGAUCCCUGGGAACUGUCUAAUCCUCUGCAACUUCUGCUCAGAUAAGGCUAAGCUGUCUUUGGUUUGGGGGUCUUUUUCUUGAGCUGCUUCCUCAAAAUUGAGUUCUUCAUCCCAAGGAAAAAUAGCAAGGCUCCAAAAAGAGCCACGCACUGCCAAACAAUGCAAAUCAUCAUAUUAACCAAAACUCUAUUCACGGAAAAUAAUAAUAACAAUUAAAAACCUAUGAAACCACAAGGAAGGUGAACCUGCAAAAAAUCCUGCAGAUGACUGAAAAAUUCUGGUCCACCAAAUUCAUAGUUGUAGAAGUCAUAGUACAGUGGAGUGGUGUACAGCAAGUGAUACAUCUGAAUUUUAGCAAGAAACCAAGAACCAAUUGGAAAAUUGCUUCAUAAGGUCAGCAUCUGUGAUUCUAUACAUCACCUGCUGAACAGCAAAGAAAUAAAAAUUCAAAAACAUUAAACUGAAACGGAAGUUCAAACCAGUAGGUAAGCGCCCAUUUUGCUACCAAACACAAAUAGCAAGCCUCCCAACCCCUUCAGAGCAAUUGAUCCAGCAACAAAAUGCCUAACCUGCAUAGAGCACCCCCCCAACAUUAUGGUGGCAAAAACGUCCAUUACAAUAACAUGCUAAAAAUAGAAUAUGUCACCUCAAUCACAGAGUAAUUAACAAACAGAACCACAUCCUUACAUCAAUAUUUGGCCCCCCUUCUCCAAACUUUGAUUUCAGAAACUUCUGGAUGGGAACCAAUUUAGGAGCCCACGCCCUGGCUGCAGGCCCUCCAUCAUCACCAAAUUCAUUGAACCUACGACAAUAUACGGGUACUGAGAUUUUGCAACACAGAGUUCUAAUGCUACGUGACAAUAAGUUCAAUGAUACGGUUGAAAGAUGCAUCUAAAUAGUUUUUAAGACAGAGCUUUUGUACAAGUAAUACAUCCGCACAACCUUAUAAGUUGGCAAAACUAGGAAUUUGCUCACAGCCAGUUCUUAAUCAAAAUUGACCUAAAAACUGAUAGAAACCUUCUGUAAAUUCCCUCAAAAAGUAUAAAGUGAAUGACUAUUAAAACUUCCUUGGAACAACAUAAAGUGAAACAAGCUAUAUUAUAAACCCAUUUGGGCAAUGCAAUAAUGAGUCCCAUUGGAAGUCAAUGCAAUAUCCAACGUUCGAUACCGGUUAUGGUAGCAACCAAAUGAACCAUCAAACACCUGAAAGCAUAAAAAGACAGAAAAAGAAAAAAGGGACAAACUUCACCUCUCUAACUUAAAAUAUGCUUCUUUAUAUACAGCCUACCUAUAAAUUAUUCGCAAAAGGAGUGGGUGAUUUGUCAACCAAAUAAAACCAUCAGCUAAGAAAAUAGCAAACAAAACUGUUAAAACCAGUCAUACGGAACGAAUCUAAUGUUUUGUAAUAAAAUUAGGAAACAAAACACAGAUUAGAUACCCCUUCAGGCCACAACACCGGAAAAAGAAGGUUCAACUUCUAAACUGGUUAUAAAAUACAUGAUAAAAAUCUAAGACAACUGGAAUACUAAAUUGGUCAAAUUUCAAUGGCUAAGACAAGUGAAACCUCCGUGAAAGCAUGACCCUGCCAAAAAUUAUCUCAUCUGCCAAACAUAUAUCAAUUACAUUACUUUCAAAAACUUGAAAACAACGAGCACUCUCAACUUUGUGAGAUACUAAAUUACUAGUCCUAUGUUAUUAUUCAUGAUACAUGUAAUGUACUCUCCGCUACAUUAUAUUCACAAUGUUUAGGGGCAAAAGCUAUCAUUGAAUCCACAAGGCAUCAGCAAGCAUACUCCUCACUCUAAUGGUCUUUGUCAUUCAUGCACUGAAAGCAAAUUGGAAAACCCCAACAUUGUGUUCGUCAUUUUCGCAAUAGCUUCUUCGAAAAGGAAUAAUUAAGUGCAUCCCCUCAAAGCCUUCAAACUGUUUAACAUGGCCAAAAUGCCAUACUUAAUAGAAAUGGAUAAAUGCAGUGAUCCACAUAACUUUAAGUACUCUAGGAAAGGAGGACUUACACAUAGUGUUGGAACUGAAGAUGCAUAAUACCAAUCCAGUAUAUUAUCUCAUUAAAAUCUUAUGUAGAUAAAAAUUCAUACUCAAAAUCUGCAUGAACUCUCCGGUGCAGAUCUUUAUAUGAUUUCUUAACAUAGCAAAACAGUUCAACUAGAGUAGCUAAAUCAUUGUGGCAAAUACAACUCUUCUAUCGAAUGUUCAGUUGCAAUAAUUGGCCAACUAGUAAUUCGUUAGCAUGAUAUCAGGCAUACAUAGUAACAUUAUCAUCGUAUCAGAAUGUACUGGGCACAAAUAUCAUGAGUGACGUUUGGAAGAAUUUUUCUUCUUCGUUUCUCUCUACUAUGUAACAGAGGCAACAUUUGCCAAAAUAUCUUAGCUGCUUCAGUCUACAAUCUUAUGGUGCAUUGGCUCCAGAAAGAUGCAACGACACUGAGCAUUAGCAAAAAAUAUGCACAAAAAAAGGUCAAAGGUAAAAAGCUGAAGAAGUUAGAUACUGUCCAUGAUUUAGCAAUUAAAACUGGAAUGCAAGACCAAGCUUUCCAACACUUGACACAAAACCAAUCAGAACUGAUCUAAUAGCCUUGUUCUUUACCCACCUUAUUUCAAAAUUUAGACAAACAGAUUUAAAGUAAAUCCACUGUUCCAUAAGUACAUCAAACAAAAGACAAAAUAACCAAGGAGGUAGGUGGGGUCAUACCUUCCCAAUCAGAACGCUGAUACUAAUUAAUUAGGCACUGACAUCAAAACUUAAGCUAAUGAGUCAAUUCAACAACUAGAGGCUAAGCUAGAUAGCAUUCAAAUGCACGACCCAGUCAAAACCAGCCAAUCUAUGAAAUUUUGCUUGCAGAGAGGAAAUAUAAGCACCACAAGAAAAGUCGACCAAGACAUCUCACCCAACAAACUCUACAUAUUCAAACUUUACAUCAAGAAGAAAAAGGAUGUGACACAUAUUCAAAAAUGGAUCACUUGACUUCCAAUCAUAGAGAAAUCCCAGAAUCCGCGUGACUCUACUACCUUUGAGGUGCUCCCAAGCAAUAGCUUAACUUCACCCCCACCCCCCGAGCGGCAACCCAAGUGAGCAAGUAACCAAAGUGAAUACAUCAUACCAAAAUUAUCCAUCUAUUAUGAUUAUCGAACUGCUUAGGGCAUACACCAAAAGUGCAGUAUGGGUUUAUGCAAAAUUGCAAAUGCAUCAUUCGUACUAAUCAACAAACAUAUUAAGCUAGAUCUAACAACACACAAAACAAACUAACAGUUCUAAGGAAAAAUGAAUUACUUCCACUACUUCACAAAGACUACUCAUUCAACAGAUCUACAAGAUUAAAACUUUGAUGAGAUGCAGUAGAAACAUACAUUUGCCAAGCAGCGAGGAUGAAGAUGGAGGCAAAAAGCACUCUUCCCAAGAAAGAAAAGAACCCCAUAUUUUGUUCUUUUUUGCUGACUGACCCUUACAGUAAUUUUUCAAGCUCGUAUGGGCUCAAAAUUUUGCUUCAGAAAACAGGGACAGAGAGAAGUAAUAAGAGGCGGGAAUGGAUAGAGAGAGCGAGAGCAAAUCUGGUGGGUUUGGUCUCGCUCUGUUUCUCUACUUGUCUGCCUCUUGGGGAUUGUGAGGAAAUUGAAUUUUGGUUGGUGGAGUCUUUCGACUUUGAAGUUGAUGAAAUUGAUCGUGUGUGGUUUCUUGGGUAGGGAGCUCUGAAGUAAUGCCUAUGGGGAUUAUGGGAACAGUACCAUUGUUGUUCUUUUUUGGGUUUUUCUUCUUUAAUUUGUCAUGUCAACAAUCUAAUUUACACUUACUUUUACUCUUGUUUCUACUUUAGAGGAGAAAUGAGUCUAAAAAGACUUGUACAGGAUUAAGACAACCCACCAGAUCAAACAACAAGUACAUUACUGUACUUUCUACAGAAAACACGCAUAUUUCUUGACCACUAAAUCAAACGAGCAUUACUGCACUUUCUACAGAAAACACACCAGCAUAUUUCUUGUAUGCUUCACUAGGCAUGGUUUCAACCUUUAAUCUAAUGCAUGGGAAAGCAGGCGGCCAUUGGACCAAGGUUGGACAAUAAAUAUGGCCUUGUUUGGCAGACAAGCUUUUUGUCAAAUUUAUUUGCUACAAGUUUUUUUUAUAACUUUAGCUACAGUAAUCUCAAAAAAUUUGUCAAAGUUUUUAAGCUAUACACUUCAAAAUAUUCAAAAAUUUACACAUUUCAAAAAAAAUUUUAAAAGCUUCUACAGUAAGUUACAGUAAAAUUUUAGACAAACACUCAAAAAAUUCACUUGCCAAACGGAGCCAAUACUGCUAGCAGCAUAGCAGGGGAAGAGGAACCGAUCAAGAAUUUUGCCCAACUGGAUUUUUUGGUUUGAGAGAGAUAAUAUGCGUGCAUUAUGGGCGGGGGAUUCAAAAACAAAGGGCUUAAAACAAUAGUACUAGAUCUUUUGGUAUAUUACAUAGGCUUGUUAUUCGCUGAUUUAUCUUAAUUGAUUAUAGAUUAUUUCGAUAAUGCAAAAUUCAUAAUUACAUUUUUAAUAACUAAAAAAAUUAAAAUCUAUAAUCACUCAAAAAGUAGUUUUGUUUAGUCUGAUUAUCCUCUGUAAUCACUUUUCAUAAUCAGAUUUUACAAAAUCUAAAGCAAACGAGAACAAGGCUCGGGGUACUUGUUAAGAGCAUGAUGAAAUUAUAUAAUUUCUUCUAUUUUAUACCCCAAGCACACUGAUAAAAGGUGAUGCUAGUUAUGUUGUGUACAAAUUUAAAGCGUGCUUGUACUAUUUUAUGCGCAUUCCAUGACCAAUGCCUUUUCAUGCUCUUUCUUUCUUUUCGGGCAGCGAACAUUCCAAUUAUUUUAUUGGCAAAUGCAGGAUAACUUUUUUGACAAAAUGUGGUACGAAAACAGGAAAAAGAAAAAGUUUAGAGGUUAGAUUAGACUACAACAAACCAACCUUAGACGACAAGAUUGACUGUGUAUUUAUUUUGUAAACUUCAAACUUAGUCACCGUCGUUUACUGCUGUUUCCACAUGCGUUCCAUCUUCCACAAACGACAAAUGGCAUUUCUUUUUCUAUUUUGUCAUUUGGGUUAAUGAGUGUGUUUGGAUUGAAAUGAUUUGAAAAAAAAAAUAAUUUGUUUCACAAAUUUCAAUCACCUUUUUAUAUUCUCAAUCAUCUUUUUAUUUCACAUACAUCACAUUAUAAAAGGUGCAACAUUAAUUAUCUCAAAUAAAUCAUCCAAACAAACUCCUAUCCAGAUUACUACUUUUUGUUGCUAUAGAAAACUGGGGUAUUCAUAAGCAAUUGAGUUAACUAAUUUUUUGAAAAAAUACUAUACUAAUUUUUUGAUGCAAUGUAUAUAAAAUAAAAAAGAUAGUUGAAAAAUAUAUUGAUAAUACAAGCAAAUAAACUAAAUCAAUAGUUGACUAGCUACUAUUACUUUUCAAAAAGAUAAAAUACAACAAAAACCCAAGUCAUUGUUCAAACAUGUCAUUUUAUACUCGGAAAUAUACUUUGACCCGUGCAUUUUGGUUAAAUUUGUCGUUUUGCCUAGAAAAGUUGUUCGAACAUGUAAUAUUAUUAUACAUCAAGUUCAUUUUUCAUACUUAUUAGGUACCCACUAUUUGAGUUCUAUACUGUUUGGAUUGUUAUUUUUAGAAAUUUCUAUAAAAAAAUACUAUAAUUAUUUGAUAUAUAUAAGGUAAAAAAAUGAUUAGAAAAUAUGUUCACGGAAAUGUAAAAAAUUUUUUUACGAAAAAACACAAUCCAAACAAGGAGUUUUAUGUUGCUCCUUUUGAAAGAGCAAAAGUUGGCUUUAAAUAAUUAUUGCAAAAAAAUUUUCAAAUAAUCUUCUAUCCAAAAACAAUCAUGAUUAUCUCCUUCAUCAAACAAAUUUUUUUUUUUUUGUUUGGGAACAGAACAAAUGUAUAUUACACCCAAUUGGUCUGCAUUGACUCAUGAACAUAGUGGCAGUUUCUUGGAAGCUUUGUCUUGAAUUUCUUAAAUAUGCUGUUUUGCAUAUACUACUGUAUUAAGUAAUUAUUGCAGAUCUCAUCCACCAACAAUCUCCUUCAAAUUGAGCUGUACUCUGUUAUUUGCAGAAAACAAAGUAGUAAUGAUAGGAAUAAUUAGCCAAUAAACAUGUGAUUCCCUGGCAUGCAUUAGAUCAGGGAAAGGAAUAAAGUGGAAGAAAAGGUUAUAAAACUGCGUGCUUGCAUAUGACAUUUAUUAUUUCAAUUUACAAUUGCAAGUCAAGCGUUUUAUCAAUUUACAAUUGCAAAAUUACUGUAGCGAUUUGAUAUAUGUGAGGGAAAAAGGUGAUAGGGAAAUGUGAUCACAGAAAACGACAAUAUUUUCCGACGAAAACAAGCAAUCCAAACAAGGCCUUGAGAGUGUUACCACUCUACUCAGUAUAUUACGCUUUAUUAACACCUAGGGUGGCAUAAUGAGAGUGUUACCACUCUACUCAGUGACCCUUGAUUACAAUUAAACCUAUUCCAUUACAGUUAAACUCUUGUCUUUAACUUUAACUGGUUAAAAUGAAGUUGUUCAUAUUCAACGUUGGACAAAUGAAAACUCGUGGGGUUGUAGCCUAAUUAUACAAACGGUAAACACUCAUAAGUAUAGCAACAAAUGAGAAAUGAUUGAAAAAUUAUUUAUGAAGUUUAUGCAAUUCUUCAAAGACAAGAAAAAAGGAAAAAUUGUAGUGCAAUGCAUUCGUUUAAAACCCAUGUUUGGCAAGCAAGUUUUUUGUCAAGUUUGUCUGUUACAAGUUUUUUAAUAAUUUUAAUUAUAGAAAUAUCAAAAAAUUUAUUAAAAUUUUUAAAUUAUACACUUCAAAAAUUUUUCCUACAACUUCGAUGGUAAAUUAUUGUAAAAUAUUAGACAAAAAAAAAAACUCAUUUGCAAACGGGCCCCUGGUAGUAAAAGCUUAUCAUUUACUCUUCGUGAUUGAUUGGUGGUAUAAAGCUGCGUAAUUCAAGGAAGGAAAGCUAUUAGGACAACAUAUUCAAUUAUCUUCGGAAAGAUGUCUUCUUUUCAUGCAAAUUCUGUAGAAUGUCGAAAACCAAUUAUGUAUAGUUGCAAUUAAUAAUUUGCCGUAAGGCUAAAGAAUAAUAUGCCAUCCAACACAGUAAUGUUGAAAAAAAAUGAAAAAUUUCCAUUUACGAAAUCAGAAAAAUAUGCUGCCACGUCCGCGCCUAGUAGAUUUUGUCAAUGCAUUGUGAGCUUGUGAUUGGUCCGCACGACGUGUCCCCGAUCAACUUCAACCUAUAACACUACUAUAAUAACAAAAAAUGUAAGGGUAGAAAAGUAGAUGCUUGUUUGGAUUGCAUUUUUCUGGAUUUUUUUUUAGAAAAAACUACCGUAGCGAUUUGAUAUAUGUGAGAUAAAAAAAGUGAUUGAAAAAUGUAUUCACGUAAAAUAUAGCAAAUUUUCUUUAGGAAAUUGCUGUCUGGAUUAAUCUUGAUAACAUGAUGUCCAAUUCAAAGUAAAUCACAAGGAUAGGUACGGUAAUUUUUUUUAAACAAAUGGUAAGACCUAUAUUACACUAGUUUGGAUUGCCAUUUUCAAAAAGUUUUUUACAUUUUUCGUAAACACAUUUUUCAAUCAUUUUUUUAUCUCAAAUAUAUCAAAUCGUUAUAAUAUAUUUUUAUAUAAAAACUUAAAAAAAUAACAAUCUAAAGGGGUUCACAAGAAACUCCUAAACUAUAGUCUACUUCACAAUCGUUCAAAGAUUACAAUUUAGAACAAAAUGAAGACAGCGUAUUGGCAAGAAUGUUAGACCAUAAAGAAGUUAUUAUAUCUCAUUUAAAUUGGGUCAGCCUCUUUCUGAGGUUUCAUAUUUCAGGACUUUAUAUUCAUAAUGAUACCAUCCUUGCCUUUGACACGAGAAGCAAAUCUUGAUCGAACCUAUAUUUGCUCAUGAUAAAACUUCAUAUGGGUUUGACGUACUUUUAUCUUGAAAGAGCGAACCAGCAUUUGAUGUGGGAUGAAGUUUUUUAAUUGCAAGAAAAUUUAAAUCCCUAAUGGCAAACUUGUCAAUGUAUGUUGAUAGGCUCAUUAGCUUCCGGCUUCCGCCUUGUAUAAUUUCAAGACCCAAAGAGACAAAAGAAAAAAAAAAAAAAAACUCAACUGCUAAGGCGGCAAUACAAAAGUUCGCUUGGAGGAAUUUCAAAAAUUAAACCACGGUAAAAAGUUGUAGUAGUAACAACUUGUACUAAGUACACUAUUUUACGAUAUAUCCGCAUAAACUAUAUAACUUUUUUACUUCUUACAGACCUCUUUUACUGCUUUUUAUUUGAAAAGUUCAUUCACUAUUUAAUACCAACACAAAAUUUUUAUUGCGUAGAAGAUAAAAUAAUAUAAAACUAAUAAAGAUGAUUAAGUACUAGUUAGUAGUAGUACUAAUUUCCGGCAAUCAAAAGAGGAGUACAAUAUUACUCUUCUGGUUCUACCUUUCCCAAGCAUAAUUAUAAAACUGGUCUACCAUUAGUCCUCUAUUUAAGUCCAAUACAAAUUCCCGUGGUCCUAGGAUUUGAAUCUGUUUUCUCUGUCUUGUCCCCUAUAUCUCUAGAGAGAAACCCAAACCCGGCAGGCAGUCCUGUAGAGAGAGAAACUAAAACCAUUCCAGAAGCUGCCCGCACCAUCACAGCAAUGGCGUUGAUUUCUUUCGUCGGAAGGCUUCUCUUCGUCUCUGUCUUCGUUCUCUCCGCUUACCAAGAGUAAAUCUUUUCUCCCAUUGAUUUCAGAUCUGCCCUGUUUUUUCUCUUUUUGUUUUUGACGCGCACUAGACCACUCUUACUGCGUGUUCUUAGAUUUUUAGAAGCUUAAUUUAUUACUGCUGUUUACUUAGUUUAUGUUUCUGGGUUUUCUUUAUUUUUUAGUAAUUGUUUUUUGUGUGAUGUUUAGCUUGGAUCUGCUGAAGUUGAAUGCUUGGGAAUUGAACUACACCUAGAAUGCGAUUUAAUUUUUCUCACCCUGUUCUUGCCGAGGGAUUCUUCUUCUUCUUCUUGUUUUUUUUUUUUCGUUUUUGUCGAUGGAUUUUGGGGUUUAGUGGUGAAUAUUCUUUACUUGGAUUUUAAGUUACUAGGAUCACUUGAGGUGAAAGAAAAUCUGGGUCUGGCUUCAAAAGUUUAAAUUUUUCUGUGCAGGUUUAGUUUUGAUUCAAGUAUUUUUUUGGCUUGUGUUUAAUAAUGAAUCUGAAAUUUUUUUUUUUUUAAAAAGGCCUCUCCCCUGAUUGGUAUGGUAUGUGUUCAUCAUUGUUUGUUUUUGAAAUUUUAACUACGUACACUAUUAGAUUUAUGUUGAUCAUUAUUGGAUUAACUAAGGAUUUUUGUUAGAGUGAUCGCCUAAUUCAGUUUAAUGUGUUUGUACUGUUGUACUUCAUGGUUGAGCUUGUAAUAUGGUGGGAAAGCCCAUUGGAUUUGGAACAAACAUAUGAUAGUUGUUUGUCACAGAUAAGCUUUCAAUUGCUGGAGAAUCAUGCGUGAGGCUUUUGUAUGAAUGUUCAAUAUGUUGAGGCAUAAACUUUUAAAACUAGUUGGGUUUCUGUGAACUAGAAUAUUGUCAUUCGUGAUGCUUUUGCAGCUUAAAGGGACCUUUUCCUUGAUUUGUAGUAGCUAUCAUUCAUCUUGUCUGCCGCUUGAAGGUAUUGGAAUGUCAGGUUAACUUAGCAACACUCUUUUUCGCAGGAGUUUCUUUUGAUUUUAGUCUUUGUGGAUUGUGACCAAGUCAUUGUGAAAUAUGUGAUAAUACAACUCAAUUUUGGUCAUAUUUUUUUCAAGUGACUGUUUGAAAGAAUUUUUUGAGUUACCUUUUAUGCAUGGUUAUGUUUCCUUUUCUGUUAUUGCUCUUUUUGGUAGUCUUUACAGAUAGAUUAAGUUUUCAAAUUUUCAAUGGGCACUGCAGAUGAGUUUCUAGGCAUUGUAACUUUAGGAGGUGAAGUUGAGUUACAGUAGGAUGAUGUAGUAAGCUGAAGGAUUUAUAAGAAAUUUUUUGCUGCUAAUUGGGAUACCUUCUUGUUAAUUGUCCUCACCCCUGCUGUCUUGUGAUGAAGAAUAUAAUUAAGAAUGCUGCAAUGCGAUGAACAUGUUGACCUUGGAUAAAGCUAUAUUUUUAACAUGAUGUGCAUGUAGAUGGCUAUUUUAAGUCAACAUUUGGACUGAUAGGAUAAAAGCUUAGUUUAACAUGCCAUUACUUGCACUUUUUUCCCCAUAACGAUCUGUAGGUUUCUCUGCUCUUUGAGUUACUUUUCUAAGUUGUCCUCUCUUCAUCAUAGGUUUUCUGAAUUUGGCGUAGAUGGUGGACCAGCAGCAAAGGCACUGAGCCCGAAGUUCAGUGCUUUCUCAAAGCAUGUUACCAGCCAAACUGGGCUUCAUUUGCCCCCUCUAGAAGUAAGGAGUACUUUAAUGUGAUGUCAGUUUUGAAUUUUGUUACCUAUCAACUACAUGUUACUAAUUUGGAGAUUUGUUACUUACAGAUGAAACAUUUAGUGUUGGGUGCUAUACUCUUGAAGGGAUUGGGAAGCUUUCUGUUUGUCUUUGGAAGCUCCUUUGGAGCUUAUCUUCUGGUUUGAAAUCAAUAUCCUAAGCAUUUACUGAACUCUAAUGUCAAUUAAGUCAUUGUAACAAAUUUUCACUUCAUCUGCUUUCUUGAUGCAGCUUUUGCAUCAGGCAAUUGCUUCCCCUAUCUUGUAUGACUUCUACAACUAUGAUGCUGACAAGAAAGAGUUUGCUCAACUAUUUGUCAAGUUCACCCAGGUUAGUCAUUUACUUGUUUGUAUGUCAUGAAAUCCUUUGAGUCAAUGGUCUUUAUGCAGUGAUUCAAGAUGAAUGUUUUGGAAAAGUAAAGUUCAUCUCCUAAGAUGUUAAAUUUGGUUCAGAAUUUGGCUUUGCUGGGGGCACUUCUCUUCUUUAUUGGCAUGAAAAAUUCAAUGCCAAGGAGAUCAGCAAAGAAGAAGGCUCCGAAGACAAAGACAGUUUGAGAAGGGGUUCAGAGUUGCUGUUCUGUUCGGUGGAUCAUAGCCCUAUUACAGAACCUAGAAGCUCGCUGAGGGUUUGGUAGAAUCGUAUUUUUGCAGCUAUACGCUCUAAAGCUUACGUCAUCUUGUUCCUUCUCCAAUUCAACAUUUGUCUUACCUUUUAGGUUACUUUCAGUUAUGAAUAUUUUUGAUUUUUUUUUGGAAUUCCUGAAAUCUGAGUUGCAAUGAUGAAAUUUGAUUUAUUAUUGAAGCCCUGGUAGUUUACAAUUUUUCCUGCUCAUAGUUGUUGAGAUGGGAGCUUGCUCAUCAUUAUUUUGCUGUUUAAGCGGGAACAAUGGGAUGGUAGGAGUAAGGAGCAAUCUCUGUGAAAUACUCACAAUGGAAAGUUCUCUUGGUUGUCCUAAACUGCAUCUGGGUAUGUUUACAAGUACAUAGGUAUCUUUGUUGUGGACUUUGGUAUGUUUACAAGUACACAGGCGUCUUGCCAGUUUGAAUUUGAAGUUCAAGAUUAAACGUCGCCAAUAUCACGCGUCUUGCUCUAGGCAAAACAUUUCCAUGAAAUUGUCCGAAGACUUCUUGAAAAGCUAUAUAUUACUACUAUUUUAGUUAGACACUUCUUGUGCUUUUCUCCAAACAUGUGGGGCUUGCACGUAGAAAGCCCGGUGGCCCCUUUUGGGCGGGAGAAUUUCAUCUUGUCCCUGUCAUUGGUCCUAUGAUUUUGAAACAGAAUUUUGUUUGGGAUCUGUUUCCUUUUGUUUUUCAGUGAACAGCCACGUUAUCACUUUUUCUUACUGACGGGUAAAACUGUCGGAAAACAGAUGCUGCAGGUAUUUCUUGAAAGUUGAAAUGGGUGUCAAGCACACACACUAGACUACUUUCUUUAUAAUUGUUCUGGGGUGGAAUAUGGGUUUAACAGGAAACCCUCCUAACACGAUGAUGUUCAUUUAAAAUUCAAUUUGUGAUUAUUUGCAAAAAUUUUUUUUUCUAGGAUGGCUAAAGAAAUCCUAGGCCAAAAUGCUGCUAAGCUUGAAUAAUGAAUUUUGAAUUCCUGCUUCCAAGUUUUCCUCUCCCAAGUAUCUUUGAUCAUCGAUCACCAAAGAUUGCUAGUUACGUGUGGAUAUCAAUUAUGAGAAGUUCCAUCCAUUAGGUGUUUGGCAAGUGGAACUCAUACUGGAAUGGUAUGAAAUUAUGCCUAAAUGGAUUUCAUACAAGUACAUUUUAGAAUGAUUGUAUCAAAUCCUUCAAUCAAUUCUUCCGAUAAACGAAAUGAUUUUAAAUUAAUGCUUUUAACAUUUAAGAAAUCCGAAGUUUGUAGAAGAAACUCUCCUAGUUCUUCUUGUGAAGUUGGAAAAAAAAAAAAAAAAACCUGACGCAACUGGUUGGUGGAAUCUGCAACAAGAAGCCAAUAAAUGCUCUCCAGUCUUUAUGCCGAGGCCAAAUCAGAAUGGUACAACUUGUACAAGACGUGCCAAACAAAUCAAGCUAAGCUAAGCUUUUGCAGAGGCAAAUAGUGAAUUUGAGAUCGAUGUUUCAUGAAUACUGUUACCAGCUAGGGAUAGACAAAUAGCCCUGUAUGAUCUUUUUUUUUUCUUGAUUGGUCAAGGACUGGGACGUCAUUAUUUGGUAUUUUCUUUUAUCUGCUUUUUUUUUGGACCAUUGUAAUUGGCGAGAUCAAUCAAGUUUUCUUGACCAAAUAUUGAAGGGGGGAGGGGCAGGUCCCGGCAGCACACAAAGGAAAUGAAAACAAAAGAUACAACAAUUAGUCAGAAAUGAGAAAACCACCAAACUUUGUCACACAUCAUAGCCAAAAGCUCAACGGAACCAGCAGAGUCAACUCUAAUGGCCGUCCGGCCGGUAAAUUUUAGAUUCUUUGAUUUCCAGAAUCUACAAAUAUUACUAUAAUAUAGUCUAAGUCAAGACAUUCAUUGGUCUGGGACAAAAAUAUGUGGAUUUAAAAUUCAUAGUUGCGUCAAGAUGAUAAUCACUAUUAGUAUAUUGUGUCAGGCAUCUAAGCUGUAACAAGAACGCAAAUUUGUACCACUUUGCAUUGUCCAUUUUGCGCUCUAAUUAUCUGAGUGGAGAAGAAAAUGGCAGCCAACAGCGUAGCUGAAGUUGAAGCUGAAACCACAAGCCAGCAGAACUACGACAGAAUCAGUGAAAUUAAAGCUUUUGAUGAGACCAGAGGUGGGGUUAAAGGGCUAGUUGAUGCAGGAAUCAAGAAGGUUCCCAGGAUGUUUUAUUCCCUGCCUGAUGACUCUGUCAAGGCUUCUGAUAACAGAAAGGCUGAUGUUGGUAUUCCAGUGGUGGCCCUUGAUGACAUAGACGGAGAUCCCAUUCAUCGCAAGAAGGUGGUUGACAUUCUUAGAGAGGCAUCAGAGAAAUGGGGCUUCUUCCAAGUGGUAAAUCAUAGCAUCCCAGUUGAGGUUUUGGAAGAAAUGUUGGAUGGUGUCAGGAGAUUCUAUGAUCAAGAUACUGAAGUCAAGAAACGGUGGUAUACAAGGGAUGGUUCAGAAACGGUAGUGUAUAAUAGCAAUUUUGACUUGUUCAGUGCACCAUCGGCUAACUGGAGGGAUACCAGUUAUGUGAAUAUGGCUCCAAAGGUUCCCAGGGCAGAUGAAUUGCCCGAGGCAUGCAGGUAUGACUUUUUUAGUUAUGCUGCUGGUUUUUUUUUUGGGGGGGUCAGCCCUGCAAAUUAGUCAAGUACUCGAUUGAUCUUGAAAGACCUUAUUUGACUAAACAAUAAUGAUCUGGAUAACCUGAGAGAAUUUUCUGAAGUCUCCUAUAUGAAUCUGCAGUGAUAUUUUGAUCAAGUAUUCUGAGUACAUCAAGAAGCUGGGUCGUUCUUUAUUUGAACUACUGUCUGAGGCUCUUGGGCUCAAGCCAAACCACCUAAAUGAUAUCGGCUGUUCAGAGGGGCUUGCUGUACUAUACCAUUGUUAUCCAGCAUGUCCAGAACCAGAACUUACCCUGGGAGCAACCAAACAUGCUGACUAUGAUUUCAUGACAGUACUACUGCAAGAUCAUACAGGAGGAUUGCAAAUUCUUUAUGAGAACAAGUGGGUUGAUGUUCCUCCUGUCCCAGGAGCUCUGGUGGUCAACGUUGGAGAUCUUUUACAGGCAAGAUAUCAAUCAGUAAUCUGCAUCUGUUUUAAGCAUAUUAUGUUGCUCUAAGAUUCACAAUAUCAAAUUUGUUUAUGCAAAAUUAAAAAAAAAUUUGUUUAAUCACUACAUGCUUGAUCCUUAACACAAAAUUGCAUAUCAAAUUGGCAAGAGGUGCUAUAUAUUUGUAGAAAAGAAAACAAGAAUUCAUCCCAUCCUUGUUUUUGAAGGAAAUGAAGAAUGUUUUAUACCUUUUGGACUGGAAAAGUAAAUCAUAGGUAGGAAAUGAACUAGGAUUGAAGUUUGUCACAUCUGUACCAGGACAAGAAUAUCUGUUUCAAUAAUCAAGCAAUUGUACUUGAUUUGAAAAAUUUCAGCUGAUAUCAAAUGACAAGUUCAACAGCAGUCAACAUAGAGUAUUGGCAAACCGUGCUGGUCCAAGAGUAUCUGUGGCAUGUUUUUUCACAACUGGACUGGCACCAUCAUCAAAGAGAUAUGGACCAAUUAAGGAGUUGUUAUCAGAAGACAAUCCCCCAAGGUACCGCGAAACUACAGUGAGAGACUAUUCGCUUCACUACAAUGCAAAAGGACUCGGCACAACUUCAGCCCUGUUGGACUUCAGGAUUUGAAUUUGGGAAAAUGUUGCUAUCAUUUGGUGGAUGAUGAAACUACUCAUUCCUGUGUACCUUAGUUUCAUCUGUAGACCCUCAGACGAAACUCAUGGAUACACACAAAUCUAAAAGCAUUAAAUUCUUUUUUCUUUUGGACAAACUAUGUACUCUGACAAUCCAGGAAGCUUGAUAAUACUAUAGAUUUGGAUGGUAAAGCGCAAGGAGCUUCAAGAAUAUUGAUCAUUCCACACUUAUUUUGAAUGUCCCUGCAAUUUUUGUCCUUACAAAUAUUAGCUUGUCCUCAAUAUAUUCUUCCUCUCCUAUUUUUAUUUUAUUCUCUAGUGGAAUGACCUGCAGAUUAUGCUCAAAUUGUAGUCUGAAAGGAAGACAUUUUAGUCUCCUCUGAACUUGGUGUGAAACCUACUUUUUUUGUUUGAAAGUCAAACGUACUUUUGUGCGUGUGUGUGUGUGGCGGAGGUUGGGGGUUACAUCCUUAAGACAGAGAAACUCUCCAUUGACUGCAUGGCAUGCUCAGAAUCACAAAAUCCACCAAAUCAAAUCGACCGGUGCUUGAUAUAUUAUAAGUCUGGGUCAACUCCCAAGAGCAAGAAGCUUUAUCUACAUAGCUCCUUCAUUGUUUGCCUGAUUAUUUACAAGAUCCAAUUCUAGUCCUCCAAGUUCUGAGUAACCUAGGGACGAACAAUGGAGGAUGGUCUAACUGAAAUUAGGGAUACAAACGAACCAACAUAUGAUCGGCGGAGAGAGCUUGAAGCUUUUGAUCGCACCAAGGCAGGUGUUAAAGGACUUGCUGAUUCUGGGAUCACCAAAGUUCCAAGAAUUUUCCUUCAUCCACCAGAUGAAACUAGAAAUAUACCCAAAUCUGUGAACCUCCAAUCUGCUAUUCCAGUGAUAGACCUUGCUGGUGCGGGAAAAGCACCGAUCUUGCAUAAAGAGAUAGUUGACAAGGUUCGAGAAGCAUGCGAGAAAUGGGGUUUCUUCCAAGUGGUUAACCAUGGUAUACCAAUUAGUACUCUCGAGGAAAUGAAAGCUGGAGUUCAUAGGUUCUUUGAUCAAGAUUUUGAGAUUAGAAGACAGUGGUAUACUCGAGACGUCAAGCAAAGAGUGGUUUACAAUUGCAAUUUUGAUUUGUUUAGUGCACCAACAGCUAAUUGGAGGGACAGUAUUUAUUGUGUUAUGGCUCCUAAUCCUCCAGACCCACAAGAAUUGCCUCUGGCCUGCAGGUAUCUGACAUUCCUUUCUCAAUAUUAUUUGUUUAGUGGCUGUGGAUGUUUAUUAAUGAGCCGUGCUUUUCUCUGAUAUUGCUUACUUUUGAUAAGAGUGAAGAAGUCGUGGUCCUUUUUUUGUCUUGACUGCUCAGUGCUCUAUAAGUUAUGUAGACAGCGUGAAACAGCCCGCGCAUGUCUCUGAGCAAAAAAUUUAAGGGUUAAAAAGAAAUAUCCUCAUGACCUUCAAUUAAUUGUUAUGCGUGUAAUUUUAGAAGAACCUGAUGUGUUAACAAGAAGGGGGCCAUCAUCAUGUCUUUGUAUAUUUGCUGUCAUUUCCUUAGUUGAGAAUGAAAGUUGUCAUUUCCUCACCCUCAGAUCCUCUCUUAAAUUUGCAGAGAUAUUCUGAUAGAGUUCUGUAAAGAAGUCAUGAAAUUGGGAUCUACUUUGUUUGAAAUAUUAUCCGAGUCCCUUGGACUUGAUCCCAAUCACCUGAACAGUAUUGGCUGUGGUGAAGGCCUUGCUUCCCUGUGCCAUUAUUAUCCUGCAUGCCCUCAACCAGAGCUAACUUUAGGUACCAGUAAGCAUGCUGAUAGUGACUUCCUGACAGUGCUGCUACAAGAUCAUAUCAGAGGCCUGCAAGUCCUGCAUCAGAACCAAUGGGUUGAAGUUCCUCCAAUUCCUGGAGCUCUGGUAGUAAAUGUCGGAGAUCUUCUCCAGGCAAGUCUACUGGUUUCUGUUAAACCAUAGACAUUAUGAUCCUUAAUCUGCUUAAUGAUGGAUAAAUUGUUUUCUUUUUUGAUGGGUUUAUCUUGAUUUCAGCUCAUAUCAAAUGACAAGUUUAUCAGCGUAGAGCACAGAGUAUUGGCAAAUAACGUUGGGGCAAGAGUCUCAGUGGCAUGCUUUUUCAGAAACUUUGAUAUGUCACCCUCUGCGAAGUUAUAUGCACCAAUUGAGGAGCUACUAACAGAAGAGAAUCCACCGAAGUAUAGGGCAACUACUGUGAAAGAUUAUGUGAGCCACUUCAACAACAAAGGGCUUGAUGGAAUUUCUGCUCUGUCGCAUUUCAAGCUCUAGACUUGCAAACAGAACAAUAAGACUAGCGUGUGGAUCUGUAAGAGAAUAUCAAUUCAUGAAGCCUUAAACUGGGAGUUUAUUAUGUCUGUUGAAUGCAUUGCAUGCACCAGAAAUUGGCAAAAUAAUUCUGAUUGAUGUAAUCAAAGUUGUUUAGUAUCCGGAAGAUGUUUUCAAGCUUAUGCCAUGAAUUCACGGAGUUGAAUUCCUCUGUAUGAUCUGUUUCCAUUUCCCUCUUCAGACAAUAUGUGACAUGAAUUUCAAAUAAGAAAAUCAGAAACUUUUAUUCUGAUGAACAACUUAUUAAUCUUUACGAAGUUUCUAAGUAUUGCAUGGUGCUAUACUAUCAAUACCAAAAGCUAAUCAUGUGGAACAACUACUAGAAUUGAUUGCUUAACCACCAAUGAAUGUACAUUUCAGGAACCUCUGCUCUACCAGAUUUCUGAAUUUGGAAUCUCCAAAACUUUCUGCAAAUAAUUAGGAGAUUUCUUAUGCUAUACCUAUUCCUACAGCUUUCAUGAUAGACGCACGCAAACAUUCUCGAAAGCAUUUUGUGUCAUUCCUAAAUUGGAUUCCUCCUAUAUGUCAGCUAAAAAUCUUAAAAUUCUUAGAGGGAACACAGACAUACCAAUAUUGUGUGGCUAAAAUCCUUCAAGAUGCCAGUCACACAUCAUGUAUUUUCUGCUCUAGUUCGACUCAACCUACAAAUAUAAAGAAUAUGACUUCUAAAAUUUACUUUCACAUAUUCCUUCCUUCAUCAUUUUGUCUAAACUUGUAUAAUCUUCCUUUUGAAUCAUCCCCUUCUCUUAGCACAAUGAAAAACAAAGGUCCUGUUACUUUCUGCUUUGAGUACCUAAAAGUGGAGCCAUUUUAAAAUUUGACUAAUAAAAAAAAUCAGUAUGUUGAUAUAUCCUACCGUAUGUGUAUAUGUAAAAUGUAUACUUUUCUUAUGUCCCACACUCAAUAAUAUCUCUUUUCGCUGAACUUGUGGGUUUUAGCUCAGCCAUGUGUUUCUCAUCAUGGAUACAAUAAACAAGUCUGCCCCUUUAUACAGUAGCACACCACUUGUCCUGUAUUAUGAGGUUGUGGGAUAUUGUUAAAGCUUGAAGAAAUCCAGCUGCACAAAACAGUGAGAAUAGAGAAACGCUGGCUACCAUCAAAUGUGAAGUUGAUCUGAUUGCACAAAUUGAACCAACAUUGGAGAUCUUUCGCAGGCAAGCCUUCGAUUUAUUGAUUUCCUGUUUUGUACUGCUAUUUUCUUGAAAUAAGGUUGUAACUAACAAGUGCAUGAUGAUGCGGCCUGUUAUGACAUCAUUUCCAUUGUUUCGGUUGGUAAAUUUUAGUCUUUGGUUGUGAGUUUUCAGCUCAUAUCCAAUGACAAGUUUUGAACAUAGAGUUCUGGCUAGCAGAGUCAGUCCUAGAGUAUCAGUAGCAAGCUUUUUUGCUACUGGUUCAAGGCCAAUAACAAAGGUUUAUGGACCUAUCAAGGAGUUGUUAUCAGAAGACAAUCCACCAAAACAGGGAAGGAACAUACAGAUUACGUCCGUGCCAAAGGGCUUGAUCUUCUGCUCUUUUGCAUUUCAAGCUUUAAACUAAACGACAAAGAUUAGCCUGUGAAUUUCUAAAGAAAGAGAUUAUGUCUAUAAUAAAGAUUGUCACUUUAUAGAAACUGCCCACUUUGUGUGCUCUAGUAACUUUGAGUAAAAUAAAAAAGUUUCUUGUUUCCAAGAAAUUUUUUCGAGUUUAUAUCAAGUUCAUAGUAUUAAGUUUCUUUCUCUCAACCGUACUCGUCUGUUACCCCAUCCAGACACCUUUUUUUUUUUUUUUAUAAAUCUUUUACAGCAGGUUGGGAUUUCAGAAGCGAGUAGAGGACAAGAGGAUUUGAACCCAGGAUUCUAUUUUCUAUUAAACCAAAGAUAUCGUGAUCCUUAAAUCUGCUUAUCGCGGGGCUACGUUGCUUUUAGCCCAUAUCAAUGACAGGUAUUCAGUGUAGAGCACAGUGUAAUGGCAAAUAACAUUGGCCAAAGAAUAUCAGCUGCAUGCUUUUUCUUUAACAUUGAUAUAUCGCCUUCUGCAAUGUUACAAGGACCGAUUGAGGAUCCACUAACAGGAGAAUUCAAGAAAGUACAGGGCAACUAACAACGAAGGACUUGAUGGAACUUCUGCUCUGUCACAUUUGAGGCUUUAGGAUAGAAAAAGGAUUCAGUAAUUAGUAUAUUAUAUGCACAGUUUAUGUGCGCAAGAUUGUUAAAACUCUUUAUGCUUCUUAUUCAUCCUAAAAUAGUAAAUUUUGAAUGGGUAUGACCUUAUCAAGUUCCUUUCACAUAUCACUUUCCCUCUCCUCUUCUGAUUUUCUUGGUAUGCAGACUUCCUUUGUCUUUAUUUCACUUUGAUGUAUAAUAAAUUACUCUAUUCUAUCCAACUUGUAGCAGCUAUGCAAUCUCUUCACGGCAACAAAAAUGAAUCAAUAUUCACUAUUAUAUUCUCUGUCUUGCUGCUUACGCAAGCUAAAUCACAGAAAUAGAAUAAGAGAUUGUGUUUGUUUAUUUGUAUUCUAUCAAUAUGAGAGUGCAUUUUUACCUGCUCCCAUUAUUAAAGUUCUAGCUGCUGCUACUUUAUAUGCAUGAUCUUUUCUCAUGAUCACGACAAAGGCCAAUCUCUUCCAUGACGUGGUAGCCCCACAUUUGGCAUAAAUCUGAGCCUGAGAAACUGCAACCUUCUCAAAAGUUGAAGAAACUUCCCAAAGCAAAGAAAAAUGGGGGCAACCAGCAAAGAUGAAGCUGAAGUUGAGGGUGCAGUGGAAUCCCAAUAUGAUCAAGAGAAGGAAAUACGAGCAUUUGAUGAAACCAAGGCCGGGGUUAAAGGGCUUGUUGAUGCCGGCAUUAACAAGUUGCCUCGGAUGUUCAUUCAUCCAGAAAGCAGCUUGGAGAAGAGUAUCAAUGCCAGGGAAGAAACUUUUAGCAUUCCAGUGAUUGAUCUGGAAGGUAUGGAUAAAGAUCCAGUAAGACGCAAAGAGAUAGUUGACAAGGUAAGAGAUGCAUCUGAAAGGGGGUUUUUUCCAGGUGGUAAAUCAUGGAAUUCAAGUCAGUGUCCUGGAGGAGAUGAUUCAUGGUGCACGAAGAUUUUUUGAGCAAGAUACUAAGGUUAAGAAGAAGUGGUAUACAAGGGAUCGUACAAAGAGGGUGGUGUACAACUGCAACUUUGAUCUGUAUAGUCCAACAGCAGCUAACUGGAGGGAUACAACUUAUUCCGUCAUGGCUCCUAAUCCUCCAGCUCCAGAGGAAUUGCCAGAUGUUUGCAGGUAUUUUUGUGGCUGAACUCUUUCUGCUUCAAAUGCAGCUAUUUUGUAUAAAUUAUAAAUUUUUUAGCUGUAGCAAGAAACUUAGUGAAUGAAAAAAAAAAAAAAAACCCAGCCACCCAUUUGGUGAGGGGGGUAUCAGACUUAUUAAUGUUACCUAUUCUUGAUGUACCUAAGUUCUUUGUCCUGCAAAAAUGUCAAUCUUAUUCGACAUUUCAUAAAUUUUUCUGCAGCGAAAUAUUGAUAGACUACUCGAAGCAAGUGAUGAACUUGGGUUGCUUAUUGCUUGAGUUACUGUCAGAGGGUCUUGGACUCGAUCCAAGCUACCUCGAAGGCAUUGAUUGCGGAGAGGGGCUUAGUGUCCUAUGCCAUUACUAUCCGGCAUGCCCCCAACCAGAACUUACCUUUGGCAGCAGCCCGCAUUCAGACAAUGACUUCUUCACAAUCCUUCUCCAAGACAAUUUAGGUGGCCUCCAAGUACUUCAUCAGAAUCAGUGGGUUGAUGUUCCUCCAACACCUGGAGCUUUAGUAACCAACAUUGGAGAUCUUCUACAGGCAAGCCUUUGAUUUAUUGAUUUUCCAACACUUUUGGAAUGCAUAAACAAUCUUUGUUAUCUGGAGAUUUUCUGGAGGUUGUUUUGAAGUAUUUUUGGUUUUGAUUUCAUUUGGCUUAUUAAAUUUCAGAUUAUAUCAAAUGACAAAUACAAAAGCAGUGAACAUAGAGUUCUGGCAAAACGUGUUGGUCCUAGGGUGUCAAUCGCGAGCUUCUUCACACCUGAUGUAAGGGCAACUGGAAAGCUUUAUGGACCUAUCAAGGAGUUGUUAUCAGAAGAAAAUCCGCCAAAGUACCGCGAAACCACAGCAAAGGAAUAUACAGAUUACUUCCGUGCCAAAGGGCUUGAUGGAACUUCUGCUCUGUUGCAUUUCAAGCUCUAAGCUUGCAAACAGAGUAGUAAAGACUAGCCUGUAAAUCUGUAAUAAAAACAACUAUUCAGGAGGCCAUAACUCAUAUUUGGAGUUUAUAUGCUCCUGUUGAAUGUAUUGCAUGCUUUCCAAAAUGUGAAGGAUUCUGUCAAACUACAUUUUGAUUUGUGUAAACCGUGUGCAUUAGUAUCCGGGAGAUGUUUUUGAGCUAAAAAGUCACUGAGCUGAAUUUGAUAUGGCCAGGCAUUAUGGUGUUUAAUGAUUGGCAUAUCAUUUCUCGGAAUUGUCCAUGUCUCAACUGAAACUGUCUCAACUGAAAAAUUUUUCUUUCUCAAAGAAAAACACAGACAUACCAAUAUUGUGUGGCUAAAAUCCUUCAAGAUGGCAUUUACAUUAUGUAUAUGCUGCAUUAGUUGGACAAAUCCUAGAGACGGGAUGAUUAUGACUUUUCAAGUUACUUUCACAUAUUGCUUUCUUAAUCAUCCUGUCUAAACUUCUAACUUUUUUUAAAUCAGAUCCUUACUCUUACCACCAAAAAAAAAAAAAAAAUUAAAGUCUUGUUGCUUUCUGCUUUUAAGCACCUAAAAGUGGAGCUAUUUCAAAAUUUGACCACUUGAAUAAUUGAGUUUAGUUGAUAUAUUUUACUGUAUGUUUUUUUUUUCAACAAACGAUAUAUUUUACUAAAUGUGUGUAUGUAAAUGUGUACUUUUCUGAUGUCUCACAGUCAAUAAUAUCCAUUUCGUAGAAGUAAAGGGGAAAGGAGGGAAAAAAAAGACAAAAUUUGAAAAUUUUUUCUAUUCAAAAUCAUAAAAAUCAUAGCAAAGAUCAUGUCAAAAAAGAUGAUUAGUCCGUUUUACUGAAUCUUGUGAUCAUUAGUAUAGUUUUGUUGCUUUUCUAUGUUAUCUAAUUUAUUGAAUGUGAACUUCUUGAGUGGCAAAAUGUGUGUAUUAAUUAUUUCUAACUUUUAAUUAUUUUUAUUUUUUUACUAAUAUAACUUAUAUAAAUGCAUAAGGGGUAUUUAUGAAAUAAAAGUUUCAUAUCUCUGUUUAAAGUACUUUUUCUAAUUAGACUAAUUUUGUUAUCAAAACAUUAACUUUAGAGGAGGUUUGAGUAAUUUUACAAACUUUAGGGGAGGUUUAAAUAAUUUUACAGACUUUAGGGGAGAAUAGUGAAAUUGUUAGAAAACCUCAGAGGUGGUUUCUGAAAUUAUCCCUAUCUAUUUUGGUUGAACUUGUGGAUGCUAGGUUAACCAAUCAUCAAGCUAAUAUAAUAACAAGUCUCUCUCCUUAUAGUCCUCCACUUGUCCUUUAUGCUGGCAAUUUUCAAACUUUGUAUUUAGUGAUUCUAGGAUGUAUAUGCACUUAUUAUAUUAUGAAUCAAACUAUUUUAAGAUGUACAUACGUUGUGAUAAAUAUAUAUUCAUUCAUGAAUUUUAAAGUAGCAUGAAUAUAUUUAUGUAUGUGAAGAUCAUUAAAUGUAAGGAUAAAUUCAUAUGUUUUAUUAUAGAAACAUGUGAUGCAUGAAUUAAAGUACAUGAAUUUGUAUACAAUAUCUUGAAUCUAUUCAUACAAGUAUUUAUUAAAUUUAUUUAUUUCUUAAACAAUCUCUUCUAUAUAAAGAAAUCAAGUAGAGAGUGAUUUGCUGCAAAAAAUUAUUUUCCUACCACUAUGAAUUCUUUGAAAAGCACUUCUUAGUUCAAGAAAGUUUGUCUUAUUUUGUGCAAGAGUUUAAGACAAAUAAAGUUUAUCUUAUCCUAAAAAAUAUUUAUCAAGAUUUAUUGCACGUUAUAUCGAACAAAUAAAACUUAAAGAAAAGUGAUAUAUAAUCACGAUUUGAAGCCAAUUAUUAUUACUAUAUUUGCCAGUUCAUUGUAAUACUCCCAACACUUUAUUGCGAGCUUCUGAAAGUUUGAGAUACUCCAGCUACCUAGAACAGUUAGAAUAGAAAUAUGGUGGCUACCAGUAAAGGUGAAGUUGAUCAGGUUGCAGAAGUAGAACCACAUUAUGAUCGACAGAGUGAACUACAAGCAUUUGAUGAAACCAAGGCUGGUGUUAAAGGGCUUGUUGAUGCUGGCAUUACCAAGGUGCCUCGGAUAUUCAUUCAACCGCAAUGUAGCUUAGAUGACGGUCUCAAUGGCACCAAAGGAAUCUUCAAAUUUCCUGUCAUCGAUCUGGAUGGUAUUGAUACAGAUCCAGCCAGGCGCAAAGAGAUAGUUGACAAGGUUAGAGAUGCAUCAGAAACAUGGGGUUUCUUUAACGUGGUAAAUCAUGGAAUUCCUUUCAGUGUCCUGGAGGAGAUGAUUCAAGGCGCGCGUAGAUUUUUCGAGCAAGAUACUGAGGUUAAGAAACAGUGGUAUACAAGGGAUUAUACAAAAACAGUGGUGUACAACUGCAACUUUGAUUUACACAUUUCACCAGUAGCCAACUGGAGGGAUACAUGUUAUUGCUACAUGGCUCCUAAUCCUCCAGCUCCAGAAGAAUUGCCUGAUGCUUGCAGGUAGAUUUCUCAGGGAUCUUCUUUUCUUUGCCUUGUAUGACAAGUGUGGUCUGAAAAUUACUAGAAUAAGGGCCAGUGGCCACUAUUCUGGUGAUUAGAUGGUAGUAUUAAUUGACAAUGAAUCUUUAAGACAUAUCUAAUUUCUAGUUAUGAAGUGGAAAAAGAUUGAGCUGCUGGAAGUUAUAGUUAACUUAAAUCAACUCUUGUUCCUGUUAAACUAUAUCUGAUUACUCAUUUGAUGAAUUCGACUACAGUGAAAUCGUGAUAGAAUACUCAAAGCUAGUGAUGAAGUUAGGCUGCUUAUUGCUCGAAUUUCUGUCAGAGGGCCUUGGACUCAAUCUAAGCUACCUCAAAGACAUUGAUUGUGCAGAGGGGCUUGCUGUACUAUGCCAUUACUAUCCACCGUGUCCACAGCCAGAACUUACCUUAGGCACCAGCAAGCAUUCUGACAACGGCUUCAUCACAGUCCUCCUCCCAAGGCAAUUUAGGUGGAGUUCAAGUACUUCAUCAAAAUCAGUGGAUUGAUGUUCCUUCUACACCUGGAGCUUUAGUGAUCAACAUCGGAAAUCUUUUGCAGGCGAGCCUGUGAUUUAUUGAUUUCCUGUUUUGUACUGCUAUAUUCUUGAAAUAAGGUUGUAACAAACAAGUGCAUUAUGAUGUGGCCAGUUAUGACAUCAUUUCCAUUGUUUCGGUUGGUAAAUUUUUAGUCUUUGGUUGUGAAUUAUAUACUCAUAUCUAAUGACAAGUAAACCUAGAAUUUUGGCUAACAGAGUCAGUCCUAGAGUAUCAGUAGCAAGCUUUUUAGCUACCGGUCCAAGGCCAAUAACAAAGGUUUAUGGACCUAUCAAGGAGUUGUUAUCAGAUGACAAUCCACCUAAAUAUCGAGCAACAACAGUGAAGGAAUAUACAGAUUACUUCCGUGCCAAAGGGCUUGAUGGCACUAAUGCCCUUCUGCAUUUCAAGCUUUAAACAUGUGAACAAAACAACAAAGAUUAGCCCGUGAAUUUCUAAAGAAUGAGAUUAUGUCUAUAAUAAAGAUUGUCACUUCACAGAAACUGCCCACUUUGUGUGCUCUAGUAACUGGCAAAAUAAAUUGCUGUUUGAGUCAAAUAAAAAAGUUUCUAGUUUCCAAGAGUUUUUUGGAGUUUAUAUCAAGUUCAUAGUAUUGAGUUUCUUUCUCUCAACCGUACUUGUACUUGUCUGUUACCCUAUCCAGACACAUUUAAAAAAAAAAAAAAAAUUUACAGCAGGCUGGGAUUUAAGAAGCGGGGAGAGGAGCAGAGGAUUUGAACCCAGGAUUCUUUUUUCUAUUAAACCAUAGACAUCGUGAUCCUUAAAUCCGCAUCUGCUUUUUGACAUAUAAAUUGCAUUUUGUGUGCGCGGGGGGAUGCAUUGCUUUCAGGCCAUAUCAAUGACGAGUUUUCACUGUAGAGCAUAGUGUAAUGGCAAAUAACAUUGGUCGAAGAAUAUCAGCGGCAUGCUUUUUCUUUAACAUUGAUAUAUGGCCUUUUGCAAUAUUACAUGGACCGAUUGAGGACUUACUAACAGAAGAGAAUCCAAGAAAGCACAGGGCAACUACCAUGAAAGAUUAUGUGAUUUACUUCAACAACAAGAGACUUGAUGGAACUUCUGCGCUGUCGCAUUUCAGGCUUUAGACUAGAAAAAGGAUUCAGUAAUUAGUAAAUUAUAUGCAGCGUUUAUGUGCGCAAGAUUGUUAAAACUCUUUAGGCUUCUUUUUCAUCCUGAAAUAGUAAAUUUUGAAUGGGCAUGACCUUAUCAAAUUCGUUUCAGACAUCACUUUCCCUCCUCUCUUCAGAUUUUCUUGGUAUGCAGACUUCCUUUGGCUUUAUUUCACUUUGAUGUAUAAUAAAUUACUCUAUUCUAUCUAACUUGUAGCAGCUAUACAAUCUCUUCACGGCAACAUGCUAAAUCUCGGAAACAGCAUAAAAGAUUGUUUACUUGUGCAUUUUUACCUGCUCCCAUUAUUAAAUUUGUAGCUACUGCUACUUUAUGUGCAUGAUCUUUUCUCAUGAUCACGACAAAAGCCAAUAACUUCAAUGACGUGGUAGCCCCCAUUAGGCACAAAUAUGAGCCUGAGAAACUGAAACCUUGUUAAAAGUUGAAGAAACUUCCCAAAGCAAAGAAAAAUGGGGGCAACCAGCAAAGAUGAAGUUGCAGUUGAUGGUGCAGUGGAAUCUCAAUAUGAUCAAGAGAAGGAAAUACGAGCAUUUGAUGAAACCAAGGCCGGGGUUAAAGGGCUUGUUGAUGCCGGCAUUAACAAGUUGCCUCGAAUGUUCAUUCAUCGGGAAAGUGGCUCGGAGAAGAGUAUCAGUGCCUGGAAAGGAACUUUUAGCAUUUCAGUGAUUGAUCUGGAAGGUAUGGAUAAGGAUCCAGUAAGGCGCAAAGAGAUAGUUGACAAGGUUAGAGAUGCAUCUGAAAGAGGGGGUUUUUUCCAGGUGGUAAAUCAUGGAAUUCAAGUCAGUGUUCUGGAGGAGAUGAUACAAGGUGCACGAAGAUUUUUCGAGCAAGAUACUGAGGUUAAGAAGAAGUGGUAUACAAGGGAUCGUACAAAAAGGGUGGUGUACAACUGCAACUUUGAUCUGUAUAGUCCAACAGCAGCUAACUGGAGGGAUACAGCUUAUUGCUUCAUGGCUCCUAAUCCACCAGCUCCAGAGGAAUUGCCAGACGUUUGCAGGUAUUUUUUUGGCUGAACUCUUUUUUUUUUUCUUCAAAUGCAAAUAUUUUGUAUAAAUUAUAAAUUUUUUAGCUGUAACAAGAAACUUACCUAUUCUUGAUAUUUGGAAGAGCUUUAGUGAAAAUGAAUCCUUUGGUUUGAUUUACCAAAUCCAUGGGUUUAGUCAUUGGCACAAAAUUGAGCAUCUUAACUUUUUUUUUUUAACACCACCAUAAUGAUAAGUAGAAGGAAGAACAGUGGACUUUCUCUCGCAAUUGCAGUGAAUGCCAUUCAUAUCCAAGAUUUAGUCACAUCAGCUCAGUCCGAUUUGGGCUAAUCAUUUCAUUUUUUUUUUGAUUUAGAAAUAAAUGACGUAGAUGGGACCGAGCUUAUGUAGUGCGAUUGCACCUGCAAAAUUUGCCACCCCCUCCACCUAGGCUGCUGGUUUUAGGGAGUCCAAUAGUUGUAGCAGAGUAUUAACCACUAGGCUAUACUGCUUGUAGGUAAUUGCUUGUAUCCUAAUCACCUAGUUGAUAGCUGGUAUUAAAAGAUCUUUGAUUCUUUCUAUGGUUUUAAAUUUUGUGAUAAUGUCAAAAACGAAUUCUAAGGUAAUAAAUUCUAAUGUACCUACUAGUAAAUCUUAUUCGACAUUUCAUAAAUUUUUCUGCAGCAAAAUAUUGUUAGAGUACUCGAAGCAAGUGAUGAAUUUAGGUUGCUUAUUGCUUGAAUUGCUGUCAGAGGGUCUUGGACUCGAUCCAAGCUACCUAGAAGGCAUUGAUUGUGGAAAGGGGCUUGCUGUCCUAUGCCAUUACUAUCCGGCAUGCCCCCAACCAGAACUUACCUUUGGCACCAGCCCGCAUUCAGACAAUGACUCCUUCACAAUCCUUCUCCAAGACAAUUUAGGUGGCCUCCAGGUACUUCAUCAGAAUCAGUGGGUUGAUGUUCCUCCAACACCUGGAGCUUUAGUAAUCAACAUUGGAGAUCUUCUACAGGCAAGCCUUUGAUUUAUUGAUUUUCCAACACUUUUGGAAUGCAUAAACAAUCUUUGUUAUCUGGAGAUUUUCUGGAGGUUGUUUUGAAGUAUUUUUGGUUUUGAUUUCAUUUGGCUUAUUAAAUUUCAGAUUAUAUCAAAUGACAAAUACAAAAGCAGUGAACAUAGAGUUCUGGCGAACCGUGUUGGUCCUAGGGUGUCAAUCGCGAGCUUCUUCACACCUGAUGUAAGGGCAACUGGGAAGCUUUAUGGACCCAUCAAGGAGUUGUUAUCAGAAGAAAAUCCGCCAAAGUACCGCGAAACCACAGCAAAGGAAUAUACAGAUUACUCCCGUGCCAAAGGGCUUGAUGGAACUUCUUCUCUGUUGCAUUUCAAGCUCUGAGCUUGCAAACAGGAUAGUAAAGACUAGCCUGUAAAUCUGUAAUAAAAACAACUAUUCAGGAGGCCAUAACUCAUAUUUGGAGUUUAUAUGCUCCUGUUGAAUGUAUUGCAUGCUUUCCAAAAUGUGAAGGAUUCUGGCAAACUACAUUUUGAUUUGUGAAAACCGUGUGCAUUAUGAUGUUUAAUGAUUGGCAUAUCAUUUCUCGGAAUUGUCCAUGUCCAUUUCCUUUUUCAGACAAAGUGUUAUGUGAACUCUUUAAGGAAGUUUCAAAGUAUAGCACGGUGCUGUAAUAUCCUCUAGAAUCAAUGCCAAAAGCCAAUGAUGUGGAGCAACUACUAGGCUAAAAUGCUCAACCACCAGUAAUUUCACACUGCAGGACCUUCUGCUCUACAAGAUUUCGGACUUUGGAAAUUGGAACCUUAACAAAUUUCUGCGAAUAAUUAGAAGAUUAUGUAUGCUUUAACUAUUUCUAGGGCCUACAGGCUACCUGCAGCAUGAAAUUGUUUCCACAAACAUUUACCUUUAUUCCCAAAUUGGAUGCCUCGUAUUAGUGAUCUUUUCCACUGAAACUGUCUCAACUGAAAAAUUUUUCUUUCUCAAAGAAAAACACAGACAUACCAAUAUUGUGUGGCUAAAAUCCUUCAAGAUGGCGGUCACAUUAUGUAUAUGCUGCAUUAGUUGGACUAAUCCUAGAGACGGGAUGAUUAUGACUUUUCAAGUUACUUUCACACAUAUUUGCUUUCUUAAUCAGUCUUUCUAAACUUCUAACUUGUUUUUAAUCAGAUCCUUUAUCUUACCACAAAAAAAAAAAAUGAAAGAAUAAAAAAAAUAAAAAUUAAAUGUCCUGUUGCUUUCUGCUUUUAAGCACCUAAAAUUGGAGCUAUUUCAAAAUUUGACAUCUUCUAUUGUAAGUGUGUAUGUAAAUGUGUACUUUUUUUAUGUUCUACAAACAAUAAUAUCUAUUUGGGAUAAUUUUAAAAACCUCCCCUGAGAUUUCUAACAAUUUCACUAGCCUCCCUUAAAGUUUACAAAAUUACACAAACCUCCCCUGAAAUUAAGGUUUUGAUAACAAAAUUAGUCCAAUUAGAAAAAGCAACAUUAAAAAGGUAUUUUAAGAAGAGAGAUGAACCUUUUAUUUCAUAAGCACCCCUUUUACAUGUAUAUAAGUUGUAUUAUUAAAAGAAUAAAAAUAGUUAAAAGUUAGAAACAAUUAAUAUACACAUUUCAUCACUCAAAAAGUUCACAUUUAAUAAAUUAGACAACACAAAUAAGCAACAAAACUAUACAAUGAUCAUAAGAUUUAGCAAAAUAGAUUAGUCAUCUCUUUUAGCAUGAUUUUUGUUAUGAUUCUUGUGAUUUUGAACAAAAAAAUUUUCAAAUUUUGUCUUCUUUUCCCUCCUUUCUUAUUUACUUCCACGAAAUUAUUUUACAACUAUUACAGUUUCAAGAGUUUCAAAGAAAAUAUCCUUAUGAACAACAUUCUUUUGCCCUAUAUUUUUUUCUUCUACCAAAAGCCUUCUUCUCACAUUGCGUAUAACUAAUUUUUGGUUAUUGUCAAAUUCUAUUAAUCACAAAAUAGCACCAUUAGUUAUAUCAAUUGGUGUUAUUUUAUAAUUGCAAGUCAUCUUCAUCAUUACAGAAAUUUUCAACAAUUUUUUUCAUUAAUUAGUUAUUAAUAGUUAAUUAAUAUUCUAAUUACUUAAUCGUCAGAUAUUAUUAAAGAAGAAAGGAGGGAAAACAAAAGCAAAAAUUUGAAAAAUUUUUCUAUUCAAAAUCAUAAGAAUUAUAGCGAACAUCAUGUCAAAAAAGAUGACUAAUUUGUAUUGUUGAAUCUUGUGAUAAUUCGUGUAGUUUUGUUGCUUCUUUAUGUUGUUUAAUUUAUUGAAUGUGAAUUUUUUAAGUGGUAAAACGUGUUUAUUAAUUGUUUCUAACUUUUAAUUAGUUUUCAUUUUUUUACUAAUACAACUUAUAUACAUGCAUAAAGGAUAUUUAUGGAAUAAAAGUUUCAUCUCCUUGUUUAAAGUACAUUUUUAAUGUUGUUUUUUCUAAUUAGACUAAUUUUGUUAUCAAAACAUUAACCUUAGGGGAGGUUUGAGCAAUUUUGCAAACUUUAGGGGAGAAUAGUGAAAUUGUUAGAAACCUUAGGGGAGGCUUCUGAAAUUAUCCCUAUCUAUUUUGGUUGAACUUGUGGAUGCUAGGUUAACCAAUCAUUAAGAUAAUAACAAGUCUCUCUCCUUAUAGUCUUCCACUUGUCCUUUAUUACGAGCUUCUGAAAGUUUGAGAUACUCCAGCUACCUAGAACAGUUAGAAUAGAAAUAUGGUGGCUACCAGUAAAGGUGAAGUUGAUCAGGUUGCAGAAGUAGAACCACAUUAUGAUCGACAGAGUGAACUACAAGCAUUUGAUGAAACCAAGGCUGGUGUUAAAGGGCUUGUUGAUGCUGGCAUUACCAAGGUGCCUCGGAUAUUCAUUCAACCGCAAUGUAGCUUAGAUGACGGUCUCAAUGGCACCAAAGGAAUCUUCAAAUUUCCUGUCAUCGAUCUGGAUGGUAUUGAUACAGAUCCAGCCAGGCGCAAAGAGAUAGUUGACAAGGUAAGAGAUGCAUCAGAAACAUGGGGUUUCUUUAACGUGGUAAAUCAUGGAAUUCCUUUCAGUGUCCUGGAGGAGAUGAUUCAAGGUGCGCGUAGAUUUUUCGAGCAAGAUACUGAGGUUAAGAAACAGUGGUAUACAAGGGAUUAUACAAAAACAGUGGUGUACAACUGCAACUUUGACUUACACAUUUCACCAGUAGCCAACUGGAGGGAUACAUGUUAUUGCUACAUGGCUCCUAAUCCUCCAGCUCCAGAAGAAUUGCCUGAUGCUUGCAGGUAGAUUUCUCAGGGAUCUUCUUUUCUUUGCCUUGUAUGACAAGUGUGGUCUGAAAAUUACUAGAAUAAGGGGCCAGUGGCCACUAUUCUGGUGAUUAGAUGGUAGUAUUAAUUGACAAUGAAUCUUUAAGACAUAUCUAAUUUCUAGUUAUGAAGUGGAAAAAGAUUGAGCUGCUGGAAGUUAUAGUUAACUUAAAUCAACUCUUGUUCCUGUUAAACUAUAUCUGAUUACUCAUUUGAUGAAUUCGACUACAGUGAAAUCGUGAUAGAAUACUCAAAGCUAGUGAUGAAGUUAGGCUGCUUAUUGCUCGAAUUUCUAUCAGAGGGUCUUGGACUCAAUCUAAGCUACCUCAAAGACAUUGAUUGUGCAGAGGGGCUUGCUGUCCUAUGCCAUUACUAUCCACCGUGUCCACAGCCAGAACUUACCUUAGGCACCAGCAAGCAUUCUGACAACGGCUUCAUCACAGUGCUUCUCCAAGACAAUAUAGGUGGACUUCAAGUACUUCAUCAAAAUCAAUGGAUUGAUGUUCCUCCUACACCGGGAGCUUUAGUGAUCAACAUUGGAGAUCUUCUACAGGCAAGCCAUUCAAAUAUUGGUUCUCUUAUCUUGUACUGCAAAAUUCUUGAAACAAACGUAGUUGCACCGUGUUGGGGCCUUGUUUCAACAUCAUUUCCAUCGUUUCUGUUGGUUUUUUUAGCUUUUGGUUGUGAAUUUUCAGCUCAUAUCCAAUGACAAGUACAAAAGUGUUGAGCAUAGAGUGACGGCAAACAAAGUCGGUCCCAGAGUAUCAGUACCAAGCCUUUUCAGUACAGGUCCAAGACCAACAGCAAAGGUUUAUGGACCUAUCAAGGAGUUGCUAUCAGCAGAAAAUCCACCCAAAUAUCGAGCAACAACAGUGAAUGAAUAUACACAAUACUUCCGGGCCAAAGGGCUUGAUGGUACUUCUGCUCUAUUGCAUUUCAAGCUCUAAACUUCUGAACAGAAACAAUAAAGGUAGCCUCCGAAUUUCUAGAGCAAGAAAUGAGUACGUCUAUAAUAAAUAUGUCUCUUCUCAGACGAUGCCCAUAUUUCGUGCUCUAGUAAGUAGUAUCUAGUGAAUAAGUUGCUGUUUGAGUGCAAAAAUAGUUCAGUGUCCAGUAGAUGUUUCGAAGUGCAUGUCAAAAUCACGGGGUUCAAUUUCUCUCUCAAUGGUACACGUCUAUUACCCUAUCCUGAUAUAUUUCAGCAUGAAUCUAAUAUAAGAAAAACAGAACAUUUCAUUUUCCAUGAAAGAAAUAGUACCAACUCCAAAACUUGAACCUGUGGAACAGCUAUAGGACUUGAUUUACACCAAAAAGUAAGCAACUGGGCAUCAGUUCUUUGGCUAGUUCACUUUCUUGAACCACUACAAUCUCUUGCUGCCUUUUUCUUUGUACAUUUUCCCAUCAUUUUUACUUCUUCUCGUUUUCUUCAUCUCCACUCAAUGUUACAACUUUUAGUCUAAUUUUCGAAAGCUUUAACAACUACCGGGAUCCGUAAUAGCAGAAGUAGACCUGUAGAUCCUGGGCACCACUUCAAUUCAUCGAUGAAGAAUAUAAACCAUUUCUUGAAUUCAAAGGGAGCAACUUAGAGUGAAGUUGAAGGGCAUUGGUUGAAGUUCACUGAGUUCACUCACGCUAUGACCUUAUGUAAACUUUUUUUACUCCUACUUAGCCCCCUAAGUUUGGUAUCGUUUGCACAUUUUCACCAAACCUUAAAUUUUUUUUCUUGAACUUAGUCCUCCUAAACUCUUUUUCGAAUUAAAAUCGUCAUCUUCAUUGCACUCAGACUAACUGACUGCUUAUCUUGGGUUAAAAGCACUUAGGCUCCCUAAACUUUUUUCAUUGUUGACGUAAUAUAAAGUUCACAAAGUCAUGAUCUAUUACUUCCUCAUGCUGAUAUCUUUUAAGUGAAAAGAAGUACAGCUGGAACAACAUAAAUUUAAGGUGGAAUGUGAAGGAACUUUUUUGGCGUUAUUUAAUCACCAAAGCAGCAUUUUUAACACAAACGUCCUUUUCAUUGGACAAAAAUUUAGUUUAAUUUAUACUUGUUGUUUAAGUUUGUUUGUUUGUUAAUUUUAAGGAGUUCAAAACUGUGUUUAAAUUUGGCUUGUUUAUUUAUCCAAAUGAAUCCAAAUAAACUUUUCUCAAGUCAAGCACGAGUCGAACUCAAAUACCUCGAGUUUUUGCUAUAUAAAUUUCAACUUUUAAUUGAGCCGAGCCUAACUCCACACUUUAUUGAACAUAAGAGUGUUAUUUAUGUACGGGAUGAUUACUUGGCGAUCAAAUUUGAACAGAUUCAUAUCAAAUCAAACUCAAUUCGAGGAUCAAGUAACUUGUUUGGUCUUUCAUCCCUUGUUUAAUUUGACAAAAGAGAUGGUUCUUCAUUAGAAAAGUCAGUCCGCUCUUAAUGAUGAUUGACUCUGGAUCCGGUACAUAUUUAAUUUGGUAAAGAGACCUAGAAAAUUUACUUAUUGUGUCUAGUUGCAUUGAGGAGUAAUGAAUGGUACAAGAUGUAACGCUUGAAAUUGCCAUUAACAUAGUACAUAUACCUAAUUUCUUAUUAACAUAAACCUAAUUUGUUUUAAUUUCCUUUCACAAUUUAAGUGUUCUACUAUUGACCGGGAGAAAAAAACUCUUACAUGAUGCAAGCAGAAAAAGUAAAAUAGAAGUCGAGCAGUGUAUGAAGCUGAAAGAGAAAUGAAGUUCUAAUAGUCAGAGGGGAAGGGAGGGACAAAAAAAAAAAAAUGGGGUUCCAAACUUCCAAUAGUCGAAAGCUGAUCUCUGCUUUAGGGAUUAAAAGAUUGUGUAUUACUAGAAGUUAGUACCUUCUUACUUGCAGGCCCUGAAAACAAUCCCUCUCUGGACAGACAAACGGGCCGAAACAUCCAAAUGCCCAUCUGGCCCGUUUUGAAUAUACCCCAAUUGGAUCUGGAACUUAUCCAGCUAAAUGGAUCAACCACCGAAUCCACGCAUGAUCUGGAUCCGAAUGUGUUGGAGCUAAUUAGCUAAGUAUUCAGAGUAGCCGUCUGAAAGGUAGUUCCAUCAUCCAUGCACAUCUAUUUUAUGGUCACGCAUUAAUAUAAAACACAUGGAAUUCUCAGCGUCGCAUUUCAGUGGUAAUUCAAUGGUAAGUGGAGCUGAUACUGAAUUUGACAGCGGAUAGUGGUAUUGACAAUUCCAACUGAACAUAAAAAGGUAUAGAAAUCCUUCAUUAAUGAGUAGAUUUUGAAUCUUUGAUUUUCUUCUUCAACAAAGACCAAUUAUUUUCUUGCUUGAUGUUUUAAUUGGCUCAAGUUUUCAUCCCCCACCAAAUGAGCAAUUCUCACAUGGAUAGUAGUACAUCCAUUGCCUCGAUGCGGCUAGCAGGCCUAACGGGAUAUACUAUAAUAUUGGGAGCAUGCUUCUCAUGUUUCAUAUAUUUUAGGGAUAAUUUCAGAAACCUCCCCUCAAUUUUAUUAACUUACACCUACCUCCCUUACUUUUACUGUUUAUAUAACAAUAUAGGCCCAAAAGACUAUAUUUUUUCUCAAAAAUCCUAAACUACCCUUUUUGUACAAAAAUAAAACAAAAAUUAGAUUGCCAAUUGCUUUCUUCCAUAUUUUAAUCAAACUCACUAUACUAACAAACUAGCCUAAUAAAUAGUCUAAUUUCAAAUUCUAAACCCAAGCAAUUCCAUUAUCAUAGUCAUAAAAUUGUUUCUCCCAAAGCAUGCAUUCAAUCAUGAAGAUUUGUUCCAUUUUCAAAAAUAUUCUCACUAUAUGGUUCCAUGGAAUGGUCAAAUUCACAAUCAACUGUCCUUACGUUUGCAUAAUCUUCAACAUAGGAUGCCAUGAUUUGGUUCCAUAUAAGUGGUUUAACUCCUACUACAUGAGCCACAUUAUGGCAUUGAAGAAAAUCCUUAGGCGAGAUUUAGGCAUAGAUGUGAUUAAUCAAGUUUAAGAGAAGGAAAGACUUCAUUAUGACUACAGAGAUCUUCAAGAAAUUCAUUUUACCAAAAAUCAAAAUUCUAUUUAUAACUAAUUACACCCCAAACUUCAACCCAAUGCCUGCACCUUCUUAAAACAAAAUAAUCUAACUUACCAUUAAAUCUCCAAACAUGUUAUCAUCUUAAAUACAGAGAAGAACCUCUAUCCCCAUAGCAAAACCACAACCAACAAUUUUCAAGUAUAAAAAGAAAUAUAAAUGUACUUAUUAACAUCUUAAAAAGUUUUUUGGGUGAAUGAUAGACAAAUUAUCAAUUUAGUCCUCUUCAUCUUUGGCCAAUGAUUGCAUUAUUUGUUCCAUUAUUAUUGUGUGCCUCUUCAUCUCCUUUUUAGUUUGACUAUGAAAUCAGAUUUUACUUCAACCAUCAAACUAAUCUCUCAACUAAACUUGUCAUUUUGCAAUUCCAAAGAGAAGAAAGGAGGAAUAGGAAUAUAUAAUAGAGUUUAACAGAUCACUUGUGGUGUGAUUGACUGCAAUUUUAGGCAAUGGUUGGUGGUAAUUUGAGAGUGAGUUAUAGGAGGAAGCGGUUGAUGGAUGAGAACAAAAUGACAGUAAGUGAGAGAGAAUCAUCGUUGGUUGCAACUUGUAAACAUGAUAGACGAAGAGGUUAGGUUUCUUUUUCUUUUUUUAAUCUCAUAUCAUUAUACUGUGAAUUAUUUAUUAAGUGAAGGUCAUUAUAGUCAUUUUAUUGUGACAAUGGAGGUCAGUGUAAUUUAUAAAACUUGUGGGGAGCCGAGUGAAAUUGUCAAAAACCUCAGGGGAGGUUUGUGAAAUUAUCCCUAUAUUUUAGUAGCAAAUUGCUAGUAAUUAAGCUACUUUAAUUUGUUCAAGUUGGGAUGUGCAAUUCAGUAUAUUGGGAUCCAGGUUUAGGGUUGACUUCAGAAUAUUUAAUAUCCGCAUAAUGAAUCUUGAUUGUUAAAAAGAUUAUUGGUGUCUAUUUGUCUAAAAGAAAUUGGAUCAAAUAGCAAGAACAGGGCCAUAUUAGAAUCAACUAGCAACUUGCUUCUCAUUCAAUCUCCAAUAGUAACUAUAUAUGGCAUUGAGCAUAGCUUUGCAUUUCCAGUACUCAUAUGCAGCACGUCCAAUCUGCUCUAGCAGAUCAUGUUUCGUGAAGAAGAUUGUUCCUGUCAAAUAUGGCAGAGAAAUCGGGGUACCAAAUUCAUCACCUUUUUGUUAUGAUCUAGAGCGAGAAUUAAGAGCUUUUGAUGACACAAAAGCUGGAGUGAAGGGCCUAUCAGAUUCAGGUUUAGCAAAGCUGCCUCGUAUUUUUGUCCAUGACAACAUUGACCAAGAAAAGAAGUCCUGGAACGGCAGGCUCCAGUCUAGUAUUCCUGUCAUAGAAUUGGAGGGUUCUGAGAUCACUGACCAAGUUCCCGAUGCAUGCGAAAGAUGGGGAUUUUUUCAGGUUGUUAAUCAUGGAAUUCCAGACAGGACAAUGGACAAAAUGUUGGAGCGGAUUAGGAUGUUUCGCGAACAGGAUCCUGAGAUUAAAGGGGAUUAUUAUACGCGUGAUUUCACAAGAAAUGUUGCGUAUUAUAGCAAUUAUGAUCUGUAUGAAUCAGCAGCAGCAGUUUGGAAAGAUACAAUUACAUGCAAAAUAUCUCCUCAGUGUUCAACCAGGAAGAACUGCCUGUAGUCUGCAGGUAUGUUAUGAACUCGAGCUUAGUUCAUUUAAUCCUAAUCUUACUUUAUUGGAUUAGCAAACAAGACAGACGAGAUGCAACUUUACUAGGAAACAUUUUUUGCUUUUCUUGGAGAGAUAUCAUGGUGGAAUACUCUAAGUUUGUCAUGGGAUUGGGGGAGAAACUGCUUGGAUUGGUGUCGGAAUCUUUGGGACUUGAAACAAGGCACUUGGUAGACAUGGGCUGUAUGGAGGGGCUUGGAAUCAGAGGGCAUUAUUAUCCAGCUUGUCCAGAACCAGAAUUGACAUUGGGUAUCACAAACCAUACUGAUUUUAGCUUCUUGACAAUUCUACUGCAAGUUCAGAUUGGUGGCCUUCAAGUCCUCCAUCAAAAUGAAUGGGUUGAUGUGCCUUGCUUGCCUGGAGCUCUAGUGAUUAACUUGGGAGACUUGAUGCAGACAAGCUUCUGCUUUCUAUGAUUAGAAUUUGUCCACGAAUUACAUGUCUUUACCAUUCUACUUCUGGGGUGAAUCGCAUAAUUGCAUUGACUCUUGAGGUGUGGCACAAUUUUUAUAAAGAAAUCCUUGUUUUUUUUUUUUUUUUAAAUAAUUACCUCUCUUCAGUUGGGCUAAUUUUAUUGAAAGAGUCUAUAAUGCACUCUCUGUAUGGAUUGCUUCCAUUUGGAAGAGCCAUCAAAGCCUCCUCCACUUUUGGCAGUCUGAAAAAUAUAAGGAUUGCCCCGUAGGACUGGGAAUUAUAUCAUCCUGCGGAAUUCUUGUUUUUUUGAUAAACAACGAGAUAAUUUCAGCGGGAUAUAUGCCACAUUUAAAUAAUUUAAAUUAAAUUUGAAUUCAUAUUACUUGAAAAUAAUGUAAAUUUACUAGUGUAAAAAAAAAUUUGUACACUGACAAUAUAUAAAAAAUUUAAUUUAUUUUUUUUUUAAUGUUGUUUCACCAAUUCACGAUUCCCCCCAAUCCUCCAAUGCAGCUAGUUACAAAUGAUAGAUUCAAAAGCGCGAAUCAUAGAGUGCGACCGCAGAAAGUCGGCCCACGAAUAUCAGUGGCAAGCUUUUUGAGGCCACAAUCGGGUAAACAUUUUACGGGUCGAUAUUUUGGACCGAUCAAGAAAUCGGUGUCAGAAGGAAAUACCCCAAUUUACAAGGAGAUAACAAUAGAGCAGUACGACAAAUACUUCUUCAGAAGAGACAAAGGUGGUGGAGACUCUGCGCUAGCACACUUCAAAUUGUAAAUACCCGUAACACUAUUCCUUAUUAGUUUUUUUUUUUAAGUGAAAAAUUUUGAAUUCAGAACUUCUUACUUAUAAUUUUUUCCUGCACAACCAGUUUUAUCGACACCAUCUCCCUAUUUUGCCUGUCACAAGCUAACAAACAUUCUUUAUCUGAAAUGUUUAAUGUUGGCAUGGCUUCUAUGCGUGUACUCCACCUAAAAAUAUGAUUGAACAGUUUACUCUUAAAAAUAUGUUUGGGUUCCCUCUUAAAGUCUUAAUCCACAUUAGUCUAAUAGUUGUCCCAACAUUAAAAACUUGGGUCCAAAUUUCAAACCGACCAUCCUGUCUAGAAUUUUAUGUUUGGUCUUCAGAGCCAGCUAGAGAAGUACUAACAUUUUAUAUGCACAAGAACAGAAUUGAUCAAUUGAACAAAGAAUGUCCCUUCAAUUCAACAGUUACCUUACCCCUUUCUUCCAAUGUGAUUCCAACUAAUAUUUUCACUUGUUUAGUACGUGAUUCAGCAUUCCCAUAAAGAACAUUUUUGUUUACAAUUGAUUUUUAUGAGUACUCACUCAUGUACGAUGAUUAUUCCAUGGUCAUAUGCAAUUUUUUUUUUUAUCGCAACGAUAGAAUUCUUAUAACCUAAUCUAGCCUAAUCUAAGGGGAGGGGGAGGGAGACUCGAUGUGAUUAGAGACUUCAUGGUCAUAUGCAAUUGCAAACAACAAACUUGUGUUGUAAGCUGUAAAGUGAAAAGUAGAUUAGUUUUUGCUUCAAUGCACAAUGUAUCCAUUAGAUGUUAAUACUAAAACAAGAAACUUAAACACAAAACAAAUAUCUUCAAAAUCAAUUCCGUCCAUCCAAUUUUGAAUUAAAUAAACGAAUUUUAAAUCCUAGUGAAAUGUAACGUACACAAGAGAAGAAAUAUACACUUGACUUUUUAGUACAUAUAUUUAAUCAGAGGUCAAAAUUUAGGUUCCUGAAACAGGAAGCAAGAGAUUCGCUACAACCUUAGACUUUUGAAGGAAGACUCGUGCACUUCAUAUCUCCAUUCCAAACUACUUGCAACUUUUUCUUCCGUAUAAUGUUCAACGAGGGUUUCUUGACUGAAUCAAAAAUAUAUAUAUAUGCUGCAAUUUCAACAUCAGGAUUCACGACUCUAAAUUUGAAUUUAUCCAACUCAGUACCUAGUCUUCCAAAACUAUUUUAUACUUAUUAUCAAACAAAAGUCACCAUUAUAUAUAGAUACAUGCAUACUUGCUCGCUUGUUUCUAACAUCUCAAUCCGUUCUUUGACAAAAAAAAAAAAAAAAAAAAAAUCUCAUCUUUAUGCAUUAAUUUGUAAGCUUAAGAAACAAGGCAUAUUCAAAAUCGCAAUGUCGGCAGCUUUGCAUCUCCACUCAUAUACUGCUCAGUUAUUAUUUAUUCAUAAUAACAAAUGACUUUGAAAAUCAAUUCUGUCCAUCCAAUUUUAGAUUAACGAAUUUUAACCAUUGGAUGCACUUUAGAGGCCCUGAUCCUAGUGAAAUGUAACGUACGCUAGUAGAAAUAUACGCUUGACUUUUUGGUUCUAAGAACCACUUACAUGGAUUUAAUCACAGGUCAAAAUCUGGGUUCCUGAAUGAGAAAGCAAGAGAUUUGCUACAUCGUUUAAAAUUUGAAGGACGACUCCUACCCUGAAUGUCUCCAAACCCUUCCAAACUGCUAGCAAGUUUUCCUUUCGUAUAACGUUCAACGAGGUUUUUUGACUCAAUAUAAUAUGCUAGAAUUUCAACAUCGUGAUUCAUGACUCUAAAUUUCAAGUCAUCCAAUUCAGUACUUAGCCUUCCAAAAUUUACUUUAUACUUAUUAUCAAAUAAAGUCACCAUUUUAUAUAAAUACAUGCAUACUUGCUUGCUCAUGUCUAACAUCUCAAUCCGUUCUUCAACAAAAAUUCCUCAUCUCUAUGCAUUAAUUUAUGAGCUAAAGAAACAAGGCAUCAAAAUGGCAAUGACCAGAGCCUUGCAUCUCCACUCAUAUACUGCUCGGUUAAUGAACUCCACACGAAGAAAAAGUUGCAUGAGCAGACAGCACGUUAUUAUGGUCGUCAAAUGCAACAAAGAAGGUCCGAUGACAAUCUCGUCGGAUCAAAAGAUUCGAGAAAGAGAAUUAAAAGCUUUUGAUGAUACAAAAGCUGGUGUGAAGGGACUACAUGAUAAAGGGGUGGCAAAGCUUCCUCGUAUCUUUGUUCAUGAUAAUGACAGACAGGAGGAGAAGUCCGGUAACAGCAUGUUUCAGGCUGGCAUUCCUGUCGUCGACAUGGAAGGUGUGAAUCAAUUAGAUCCCUUUUUGCGAGCCAAGAUCGUGGAUAAGCUUCGCGAUGCUUUUGAAAAAUGGGGAUUUCUUCAGGUAGUUAACCAUGGAAUUUCAGUUGAGGUUAUGGAGAAGAUGAUGGAAGGAAUACGCAUGUUUCAUGAGCAAGAUAAUGAGGUGAAGAAGCAAUACUAUUCGAGGGAUUCCACGAGGAAUGUCUUGUAUAAUAGCAACUAUGAUCUUUAUGAGUCGACAGCAGCGCUCUGGAAGGAUACCAUUACUUGUAAAAUGGCUCCAGUUCCUCCUAAGCCAGAAGAACUGCCCGCCAUUUCUAGGUAAUGUAUAACACCUUUGCUUCUAGCAGUAGCAGCAUAAUUAUGCCUAAGUUAGAUGUUAUUUUAUAAUAUGUGCUUCAAUUCGCAUGAACUAAUUAGGUUAAGGACAGGGAAUAGAGACGAUUGGUGGUCAUGAUUUGGAACACAAAUUGAUGUGUACAGCCUCUUUAAACAGUACCUAAAUAUUACAUUCUUGUUAUUAAAUUGUACAUCUUUUCUUUUUCAUGAUGAAUUACAAUCUUUUUGAAAGGUGGUACACCAUUUUGAAACGGUUGCACUGGGACAAGUUUAAUCAAUGCUUAGAAAAGCACCAUGCCACAUGCUAUAACCUAAACAUUGUUGUGAUUAACUGCACAUAAGUACUUUUCUCUAUAUGCUUUAAUGCACCAGUUGGUUGGACCAGUGUUAGUAGAAUCAGAAAUUUGCCUGUACAUUCACGUUGGCUGUAUUUCGUUUCUUUAGCAGAACUAGAGUUGGAAGCGUACCCUACUGAAAAUCUUGAGAUACAAAUCCAUGAGACACAAAUAAUUCUAUUUCCAAUCAGGGCAGUCUUACGUUCUAUUAAAGAACCAUAUGCAAUCUUUAAUUAACUAGUACUGUUACUGUGGCAGAGAUAUUAUGCUGGAAUACUCAAACGAGGUUAUGAGGUUAGGGAUUACACUACUUGGAUUGCUGUCGGAGUCUUUGGGACUGGAAACAGACUACCUUGUGAACAUGGGUUGUGCUGAGGGGCUUUACCUGAAAGGACAUUAUUAUCCACCUUGUCCACAGCCUGAGUUGACUUUGGGGAUUGUCAACCACACCGAUUUCAGCUUCCUAACAAUACUCCUCCAGGAUCAAAUUGGUGGUCUCCAAGUGCGUCAUCAAGAUACAUGGGUUGAUGUACCUUGCUUGCCUGGAGCUUUAGUCAUUAACGUGGGAGACCUCUUGCAGGCAUGUUUCUACUUUCUACCAACUCAAUCGGCUUCAUAUCCUUAAAAAAAAAAAAAAAAAAAAACACUUUAGCACUUUGUGCUUUAGUUUUUUUUUUUUAAAAAAAAAAAUAUAAUCUUCCUAUAUUUUUAAAACUAUACAUAAUCCCUCGUAUUUUGAACUGAAACGUCAAAGUGACAGAUUAUUUUUAUGUUAAGCAGAUGAAAUAUGAAGAGUACCCUUAGGUCUAGACAUAAAAUUUUUGUUAAGCAUGGAAGCUUUAUGUGUAAGUUUUGAAAUUAUGAGAGGGUCAUGGGAAAAAGAGUUAAACUAUAGAAAACUAUAGUGGAUCUGUUUGGACACCAUAAUUCGGAAAUUUUUUUUAAUAUUAUCCUACUUGUUUCAUAAACACAAUUUUUAACUUCAUUUUAUUUGAUAUAUAUUAUAUCACAAAAAGUGUUACAUUGUUAUUAUAAAUGAUUUUUUCCAAAUAAUCUCCUAUCAAAACACAUCCAAUGUGAUUCGCCCUAAAUAUAUGCAUCUUAAUCACUAUAGUCAUUUUAGUUUUUACAUCAGUUCAACACUUCAUUUCAAAAUAUAAUAUGUAUAUAUUUUGAAACCAUAUACCGAUAAUCUAAAAAAGCGUAAAAUUGUGAGGGGCUAAGUGUAAUUUAUCCAAAGUUUUUAAAAAGUGAAUGGUAGGAAUUUUAUCUUUUCGGCAUAGUCCUGUUGUUUUAAUGAACUAUGUUUAGUUCCUCGCGUAUUAUUCUAUCUCAAACAUUUUCUUUUAAGUACAUCUACCCUCGAAAUGAAAUGGGCUCAUAUGUCAUGUUUACUGCACUAUAUAUUAUAAUCAAUAGAUCAUCGUUAUGAACGGUACAUAGAGAUGCAAUUUUCAUUUUUCAUCAUUUCACAAAGGUUUUAAAGCUUGGGAAGCAUCUUAAUUUUACACUUGGUUUUUGUGUUGAGUGCAGUUGAUAUCAAAUGACAGAUUCAAAAGCGUGUUUCAUAGAGUGUUGUCAAAACGGGAAGGUCCAAGAAUAUCAGUGGCAAGCUUUCUAAGACCACAUUCUGGUGCAGGUUUUUCAGCGAUGCUAUAUGGCCCAAUCAAGAAACUUUUAUCAGAAGAAAAUCCGCCAAUCUACAGAGGGACGACGAUAGAAGACUAUGCAAAAUACUUCUUCAAGAAAGACAAAGUUGGAGUUCGAGCUCUAAAGUAUUUCAAGUUGUGAUUAACAUUUUAAGGGUAUCAAAAAGAAAUCAUUGCUGAAACAUAUAUCUUAAUUAUUCAUCUGUUUAGUAUUUCUUCCCCUUUUUUAUUUUGAGUUUUGUAACCGUAUAUCGGGCCUCAAUGACUGGAUUUUUUCGAGUUUUCUUCCCGUUUUUAAUUAAGUGGUUGUUUAUCUCAUCGUGCAUGUUAAUACUUAGUAGUCAUUAUAGGCUCCACUGUACGUACUUGGAAUUGGCUUCUGACAUUUAAUUUCUUAAGAGUCAGGAGGGAAAUUAUUGAGAAGGACGAGAUGAAGUAUUGUGGUUGAUUGAAGACUAUUGCUGAUUUGUUACAACUACAAGCAGUUUUUCCCUUCUGCGUUCAUUGCAAAAUAAAUACGGUCUUGUACAUCAGAAUUUGCACUGUACUCGAGCUUCUCUUCUAGCUAAGAAAAUGGCAGUUCCAUGACUCGGGCAGCUGAUCACGAAUGAACAAUGAUAUGUUCAAAAGUGAAAACCACAGGGUACUCGCGAAACAAGAAGGCCCAAGGAUUUCAGUAGAAAGUUUCUUCGGGACACAUUUUGAUCAAGAAGGAAGUACAUCAAGGCUCUAUGGACCGAUCAAGGAACUAUUAUCAGAAGAAAACCCACCACUCUACAGAGAGAUUACAGCCAAACAGCUGCUUACACAGCGUUACAAUGAUAGCCUGCAUAAAGCUCCACUUUUAUCACAUUUUAAGUUGAAUGCUGCUACUUGGGAACCAUGAAAUAUGCCGUUUUUGCAAGUUCAGUGUUUUCAUAAACCUUUUGCGGCAUUCAUGAUGCAUCAAUAAGUUGAUGAUUUAUCAUUUGUAUCUGUAUGAGACGUGCUACUCUUUUUUCUUUUUAUAAAGAGGAUCAACAGUGAUUUCCUAUUUAUUUUUUUGAUGACUUGAAUCCUUGACUUAUCAGUUACAGGUGAAGCAUCUUACCAAUUAAGUUGCGUUUCAUUGUCAGACAUGCUACUCGAUAUUCAAUAUUGCUGAUUAUUAAUCUACUUCAUUGUUAGGAGGUUCUUGCUGCCUCUUCCACCCCCCUCCCUUCCCCCCAAACACAACACUAGCAAACUAUUCAUGCUAUUCUAAAAAAUAUAUAUAGCCUCACCACUGAAAUGGGUGAAGUAGUUGGCUGGAAAAGAGAAAACAACAAUACUAGACAAAACAUCAAACCAAUUAAAAUAGCCAAUCAGCACUACACCAAUGAUUCUUUAUUGAUUACCAUGAACUUUUCUGCAGUAGUUUGGCCAGCCAUAAGUCGUUUUCUGACGCCAAUUUUCUAGACUCAUUUGGCCAACCAUUACUUCCGUUUCCCUGCUACAUUUCUUCAAAGUUACCUGGACAGCCACAAAUUUAUACUGAUUCCUCAUGAACAAAUUAUGCUUUCAGUUCCAAAGUGAGUCAACUCUAAAAAUAAAAAAGAGAGGGAAUAUUGCCCAAAGAAAAAUUAAGAAGACAUACAUGGUUAGCUUCUUCAAUUUUAAACACAAGGGAGAAUUUGAUGUUACUGUGUAACAAGUAACCUAGUAGUAUCAAACACUAUAGGCCCAAGAAUUCCAGGAGUUGUUAUCGGAAGACAGCCCACUAGUCACCCGAGCAACCAUGACCCCAAUAAUAGAGAUACCCCUCGCUACACUGGCCCAUUAUUAUCACAAUUAAGCUGAAAAACAUAUAAGAACCUUAAACAUGUAAUUUAAGAAAUUGAUGGUUUUCGAGUUUUGGUCAACUUAUUAUUGUCAAGAUGGAUUGUGCCUCCUGCAAAGCUUGCUAAAACUAUGAUUGUGCUGGAGUUUAUAUAUAUUAGUAAGAGUAAAUUUUUUAUAUUCUGUCAAUGUAUAAUUUUUUUUAUAUUAAGUAAAUUUAAAUUAUACUAUAUAACAUGAGUUCAAAUUUGAAAUUCAAAUUAUAUACAUAUGAUAAUGAUAUACAUCCGUAGUUAUAGCGUAAAAAAAUUAUUACACAAUCGGUGUAUAGAAAGUUAGGAUUGAUCUUUCUUAUAUUGUCAGUGUAUACACCGAUGGGGUUGAAUAAAUGUCACAUUAUUUGAAUUUGAAUUUGAACAUCAAAUUUUGUAUAUAUGACAUACGUCUAGAUUCACUUGUGUAUACACUGUCAAUACAUAAAAGAUUUAUCCAAAAAGUUAAUCCUACUCAUAUUAAUAUUUCUUUUCAUUCUUGUUGUUAUUCUUUUUUUUUUUUAAUUUUCUUUUCCUCUUCCUUGUGUAGCACAACUAAAUUAUCAAAAGUAAGGACAGUUUGUAUUCUUAGCAAUUAAGUUUAACUAUUUGGGCUACGUCCUUACUAGUCCUAAAUUGAAUUUGAGUACUUAGAUUCUAUUUAAGUAUUAGUAUAUAGCACUUUACUUUACCGAUAUGGAAUAGAGUAUCAUGUUAAAGCUGGGCCAAUAGUACUGGAUGUGGCAUUACAAUAGCUGAACAAAUCUCGUGUAGUUUCUACACAAGGGUGAGAUUGGGUUAGUGGCAUUGGAUUGCUACUGCAGAAGGGAGUGGUGUAGUGCUAAGUGCUACAUCGGCCUAAGGGUAGGAAUUAACGCAAGAAUUCGUACAAGCUAUCUUUAAAAUCCUCCACAAUUGAGUGGAUAGUCUAGAUCAUGCUAUUGGGUUGGGCUUUGCGAGGAUGUAAAGCCUAAUAAAGAAGGGUGAAUGUCAUAUUUUAUUGUACAUUGAAAAAGUAAGUGUUAUAGAUUAAUACUUAAGUACAAUCUAAGUAUUCAAGUCCAACUUGAAAUAUCCAUUUUGGACUAACGAGAACGGAGUCCAAAUAUUGGGAUCCGAUUGCUAAAACUUUGGUCAAUAAAAAAUGUAAAUAGUAAUUUAGGAUAAAUAUAUUAGUAUAACUAAUCAAUGAUUUGUAUUAGUAUAAAUAUAUAAUUAUUAAUAUGAUUAAUAAUAUUGUAUAUACAUAAUCUGAUACUAUAUAUAUAUAGGCAAGUGAUGA
RNAcentral lists this long non-coding RNA (92324 nucleotides) under Coffea arabica (coffee). RNAcentral's name for it is "long non-coding RNA (CARA_LNC002098)". The record is from RNAcentral. Lineage: Eukaryota; Viridiplantae; Streptophyta; Magnoliopsida; Gentianales; Rubiaceae.